CCCUAAAGGGGAACUAAAGUUCCCCUUUAGUUCGUCUUCUUUAGGGGAACCAAAGGGGUGUGUUCCCCUUCGGGGAGACGAAGGGGAGACGAAGGGGAGACGAAGGGGUGUUCCCCUUCGGGGAUACGAAGGGGAAGAACUAAAGGGUAUCAAAUCGCCUAACAUCACUUGGGUCUGUGGCCGAUCACACACACACACACAUACACAUACACAUAUACAUAUACAUAUACAUAUACAUAUACAUAUACAUAUACAUAUACAUAUACAUAUACAUAUACAUAUACAUAUACAUAUACAUAUACAUAUACAUAUACAUAUACAUAUACAUAUACAUAUACAUAUACAUAUACAUAUACAUAUACAUAUACAUAUACAUAUACAUAUACAUAUACAUAUACAUAUACAUAUACAUAUACAUAUACAUAUACAUAUACAUAUACAUAUACAUAUACAUAUACAUAUACAUAUACAUAUACAUAUACAUAUACAUAUACAUAUACAUAUACAUAUACAUAUGUGUGUUACAUGGUUGGGCUGCGUGACCCCAUACCUGUAAGACUACCCAUACGAGCCGAAGGCCCAAGGGCAAUACUACAACGCCUAAAAGCCACGGAGGAAAGGAAACACCGCACAUCAGCCCAGACUAGGGUCCACACACACAUAUAUACAUAUACAUAUAUAUGUACACACAUAACCACCUUCGCAACCUCCUCCUUUCCUGUUUGACCCCUCCGUUUGACCCUCAUGUUUGCGUCCCGACAUACAUACAUUUGCAGCGACUGCUCAAGUACAACCUGGGUGACAACGAAGACAGCAGAAAGGUACGACAGUUGUACGGCGACACGCAGGGAGAUGUAGGUAUGCAUUGCUGCCGGCAGACGAUCUGGGGCUGUACGGCACCGGCAGGUGCAGUACGGUACGGCAUAGAUGCAGCAGUAGCUAGGGCAGGGACGACGAGCUUUAAGGAAGACCCCCCCCCCGGGGGCAUUCCCGGACUUUUGUUCCGGCAAGUUGAUUAUUAUCAUAUACCAAAGCUAAGGGCUGUUUUCUGUUAUAUAUAAAAUGUCUUUGUUGCGAUUUUAUUUAUUUAUGGAAUGGCGAGACCUCUAGCAGCGAUAUGUGGUCAAAAGAGCCCUGUGGGCAGUCGGCGUACGUCAGCAGCAAUCAGUUGACGGUUGACUGUUGUCACCAUUCCUGCGACGAAUAUACGGCGAUCUCCGCGUCACCGCCCCGCCCCCCGACUUCCUGCCUGCCUGCCUGCAAGUCACGCAUAUGCGCAAUAACCCGCGCCCCGCUCACGCCUCGUAGAGGGGUCCUCCAGGGGGGGGGGUCGUCCCCACGUCGUCGUCUCAUUAAAUCGUUACAUGCGGGUCGGCGCAGUGGGUCGCGUGGCUGGGGGGAUAUAAGAGGAUAUAUAUACCGAUGCGCUCGCCACGCGUAUGUACGGCAUGUGUACUGCAGGUUGCCAUGACAGCUCCAGUGUUAUACGGUCUGGAUAUUGACUGGAAGGCCUCUUCACGGCGCGAUCUCCGCUUUCGCGACCGGUUCUCCGUGUCCUUCUUCGUGCCGUUCAGAUACCAGGUGGGUCGGAUGCGGAAAAAGGUGAUAUGUGCUGUGUGAUGCCGCCGUUGCUGUUAUACUGAUGUGAUGUGAUGCGGCUCUAAUGACGGCAACAAUCGUGUUGCUGCCAGACACGGACAGACAGACAGACAGACAGACAGACAGACAAGACAGACAGACAGACAGAUGGCUUUAUACUUUCCUUUGUGCCGUUGUCAUCAUCCUUUUUUCUGAAUUUAAUCUCGUCUCGUACAUUUCCUGCCUGUCGUACGUUCGUUACGUGGGCAAAAAUGUUGCAUGUACUGCAUGUAUUGCUGCUGUUGCAGGACAAACCGCCGUCUCCCUCGAACCCGGAUGUGUUCCUCGUGGAUGUGAAGGUGGGAUGAUGGGCCUUAUUUGGUUUCGGGGUGGGCCGUAUUAUUAUUAUUAUUAUUAUUAUUGUUAUUAUUUCUUUCUUUUCACGAUGUACGAACGUAGGAACGUUUCUACACGUGCUCCAACAACUUUUAUAAUUAACUGUGCUCAAUAUUUAACUGUGCUCAAUAAUAACUGUGCGGAUAAUGAAAAUAAUAGUUAACAACAUCAAAAGGCGCACCUGUCACUCCCGCUGUAGGAGGUCGACAUCUUUGUCCGUUCCUUUGACGGGUAUGCCACCGGAGCUCGCAUCCACCGCGUCGCGGCUUCCUUCCUGCGAGAUCUGUACGACGAGGGGCACCGCGUCGACUGUCGUACAGCGUACAUCGCGCAGUACAGCCCGCCAUUCCAGGUGCAAUGGCUCCUCCUCCGGGGGGAAGCAAAAUGAGGAGAAAGGGAUAGCGCGCGAAUAAAUAAAAUAUAAAUAAAAUAUAUACAAGGGAAGUAAAGAAGCAAGCUCCCGUCGUAUUACGUGGCGUGAGGAGUUCCUGCUGGACACAAGAGAGAAAGCACUGGGCAAGAAAGAGGUCACGCCAUCUUUAUUGUUGCCUAACUUGGCAAGGUUAUGUCGCCCACUUCCCGUAUCAGCCACCUGCCCUAGAGAACCCCUCCAUAACCAUCAUAUAAGGGUGGAAUGAAACCCCCGGGGCCGGGCUCACCCCCGGUUGGCGCGCCUUGACCUCUUUACUAAUGUCGGUGUCGGCUCCUCAACUCGCUGUCCAUUCCCUCUCCCCCCCCCCUCCACCGACCCACACCGACCCACACCGGCUACCACACAUUGCUGCCUUGAACAAAAUUCCUCGCACAACAGCCCGUCUUCCGAUACAACGAGGUCUGGUUUCUGCGCCGCCGCCGGCGGCACCUCGCCGACGAUGAGGAGACUUUCCCCUCUGCAGCCGCCGCCGCCGCCGCCGCCGCUGCUGACGAUGACGAAGAUGUCGCCGACGAUGAUGAUGGGUCGUGCAGCUUCCUAACCGGGGGUAUCGAGUACGAGGCGGAAGGUGAGGAUGAGGAGGUACUGCAGCAUCAGCAGCCGCAUCUGGAUGGGCUGGACGAGCAGGACGUACUUGGGCAAUUGCAACAGACAGCAACUGCGCGCCAGAGGAGAGCGGCGGUUGAAGAGGAGGUUAUCCAGGCCGUAAAGGAAGUGGUUUCGGAGGCACGUCGGAAUGGCGUGUUUGUAAAUCCCCUGCCGAUGGAGGCCUGAGGGGAGGGUAAAGGAUGCUCUUCUUUCCUUUUUUUCAAAAAGCAGUAUGGGUGGCUGGCUGGUUGGCUGGUUAUGCCUUGUUAUUAGUUGCGCCAUCAGUUUGCGGUUGGCUGACCGCAGAUUCGGGUUAUGUGCAUCAUCAUCAUCAUCAUCAUCAUCAUCAUCAUCAUCAUCAUCAUCACCUCCUCAAGGACUGGGCUCUGUGUUGUGUUGAUUGGCGAGAGGAGAAGCAAGUAGUGGUGCAUAGGAUAGAUUGGGUUUAGGGUUUUAGGGUUUGUUUGGAGAGGCGGAUGGAUGAAAUAGAUGUUUAUGAUGCUGAUAUGCAGUAAGUUGCAGACGUUGAGAAAGGCGGGUUGGAUGGUGGGUGUAUGUGCACGUGUUGGUGUUGGUGGAAGCGUGGAGAGUUUUUGAGACGAUGAUGGUCGUUGUUAACGUUGACCGUUGGCCUUCAUUUUUCUGCUUCCUUUUUCAAAAGAAACACAAUCGUAUAACAAACAUGUAUAGCUAGCGCCCACGACUCGGCCAUGCAUACCUCUUCAUCUGAAAUUUUGCGCAACGGAUAGGAUUUUUGCAGGAUGUUGGACGAGCAAAGUUGAACCCGUACAAGUCACGACAUAGCGACCGGCAAUGACAGCGGGGCAGGCGCCUGUCCUUCGUAAUAGUACUCUGCGUAAUAUGCGUACGUAUCCUGGUGUUAAUGGAAUGGAACGACAGCUACCGCCGCCUUGAUCGUCGAACAGACUCCCUUAACACGUCCUUUUUCCCCCUAACCCCCCUUUGGUUGAUUUCUAUAUUGCUUAAAAGGCAGUCUUAGCGCCCACCGGGCCGUUCAGGAGCUGCACCGCACCUGAAGUAAACUACCACCCUUAAUUGUUGGAAAUUCAAAGAUCUACACAACGUACAACUACUUGCCGCCACUUUUAAAACAAUAUUAAAUGAUGUCUCGCAAAAAUAUUACGCGAAUAAAAAUAGGAUUAUUAGUAAUGGUUAGGUAAAGAAUUGCAAAAAUUGUAACAAGAAGCGAAAAAAAACAAAUCCACACGCACCAGUAUCCUGGACAGUAGCAAGCAGCCAAAUCGAAAUGGUUGGUAAGCACACACAGCUGGUAUGUGGCCAUAUUCGCACACAGACGCACUACAAAUCCCCGGGAGAGCAGCCGAGCAUGCGCUCCUCCGGCACCCCACCUUCUAACUCACCCCACACACGCCGGCAACCAGAAGUUGCCUUUCUUCCCAUCUUCUGGUGCACUAUCAUCUAAUAGUUCAUCACGCGCCCACUUCCACUUCCACCCCGCAGCUCAACAACUAUCACCACUACUAUGCUGCAGCCAUCACCACCACCACCACCACCACCACCACGGACCUCACACCCCAUCAGGAUGAUGAUGAUGAUGAUGAUGACGAUGAUGAUGGAGGAGGAGGAGGAGGAGCGACAUCAGACGUCGUGAAGCCACACAGCAUGCUCCCCAAAAUGACCUCGCACUUGUCACACAUGCCGUACAUCUCCCCGUGCACUCGGGUGGAUGCCGCCGCCUCGGUGCCGCUGUCAUGCCGCGCCCUCGUCGUGCCCUGCGAUGUUGCCGUGUUGGGCGGGCUGCCGUACCAAAACUCCACCAACCCAACCGGUGUCAAACCUUCCUGUACGGCAGCCCAGAUCAGUUUGGGUGCGCAGCAGUCACCUGUGCCCGCGGGGAAGCCCCCCGGACUGCAACUUGAAGCUGCGUGUGUGAGGACUUGCCGCUGCUGUUCCUGUUGCUGUUGCUGUUGCUGACGAUGAUAAUUAUGGUGGUGGCGAUUAUGAUGACGAUGAUGCAGGGUACUACUGCUGUGGCUACCGAUGCUGCUACUGCCACUGCUGCUGUUACUGCUGUUGGCGGUGGUCCCAUGCUCAGCACUCCAAAGGCUCCGUCGCCCCUCUUCAUCACGGUGACGGUGACCGGGUCGGGGCUGCCCUUCCUCUUGCUGCUGAUGUCCCCCCUCCCCCUCCCCCUCCCCCUCCCCCUCCGCCUCCGCCUCCGCCUUCUCGUCUUCUGGCCGUAUCCGCCGCGCUUGCUGUUCGUGCUGUUGGUCUUGUUGGCGUUGGUCUUGCCGCUGGCGCAUUGCCGUGUCGUACACAUCCAGCAGCCGCAGCUCCUGACCGGCAAAGUUUCGGAGGCUGUAGCUGUUCUGAAUGCGACCCAACAACUCGAGGGACAGCGCGCGGCGCCGGGCGCGCAGUAGCUGCCGCUGCCGCAGCAAAAAGGCCUCCGCCUCCGCCUCGGGCUCCACCCCGCUGUUGGUGCCCCUGUGGCUGUUUCUGGUGGUGUUCUGGGAGCCUUGCCUGAUACCACCUGGGGACUGGCGUUCGCGUCGUCGCAGGUUCCGCUGGUCACGUUCCUGUCGUCGUUGCCGUGGUUGCUGGUAGUUAUGGCGGUUGUGGCGGUUAUGAUCGUUAUGUUGCUGCAGUGCGGCAUCCAGGGAGGCCAGUCUUGCGGAGUGGGCCUCCUGUGGACGAGGUCGUGCAGCGCGCCGUACUAGUCUUAUACUGGGCGGCAUAUGCCGAAAGGACGAAAGGCGUGCGCGCGUGUGUGUUUCAUAAAGACUCAGCAGUAAGGACACUUGGUAAGAUUUGCCGAAGUAAGUAAGCCAGGAGAUAAGAUUUAGAAGCUUCCUGUAAAUCUGUACACAGUAUUAAACAGUGCGAAGCCCCUUCUAAGUAUUUAGAACGGGCGGAAAUGAUUUCAUUUUUGAGGAUUGAGCCGCGCGCGCGAGCAGAAGAUUAUGAAGAGGCGACAAAGGUCGUGAAGCGCACGGUAGAUUUGGCAGGCAGGCGUUGCAGGGAGCAUUGCCAAACGAACACGUGCAUGCGUGUGUGCGUGUGUAUGCAUGUGCAGUGUCCUGGCCCCAGCGUGCUCGUGGGCAGGUUAGUCAGUUGGCCAGUGGAUCAUAGUCUGGUUUCGGGGCGACACGGGUGUAGGGGGAAGGGGAAAACUGGAGAGAUUGACGCCGGCUUCGGGGCGCGGAAUCACUCGACUGUGGAACUCUGCUUUAAAUCCAAAUGCUUUCAAUUCGCGCGGCUGCAUAUACGUCACUACCCCGUCCCUUCUAGUAUCAAAUUAUCAUGUGGCAGGAUUUCAGAGUGUGCGACGUUCAGUCGGGAAAUCAGCGCAAUUGACUGACCGUGAGGGCGCGGUAGUCCUGGUAUAGCGGCGUUGCGUUGAUGACAGUAGCAAUAGGGCCCACCCAUCCAGGAACGUGCCAAUAGUUGGUCAUCUGACCGCUGAAGGCCUUUAGGACAACAAAUGCGGACGUUCCUUCCCCAUCGUCCGCUCCCUCCCAACUGCCAUGGGCUCGCUUGCAAACCAAGACGCCGAACAUCCUGCCAGGUCCUUUAGUCCAAACGUAAUCAAUAUGGAGAAAUUGAUUGGGCGUUGCGCUGUCAAAGUCGAUGCGUCCCUCUGCAUCAAGCUUCUGCAUCAAUUUCCUUGCCGCGUCCAUAGCCUCAGGUGUCGGGCGGACAAAAUGGGUUCCGCGACAACAUGUACAAAAUCCUCCAUAUUUAAGAACAGCACACGCCGAAAGCGAAGAAUCUGCUAAACGCAAAGCAUGCUGCCGCCAGCUGUCGCUGUUUCCUAGACGUGUGCGGCGGGAUGACUUGACAAAAUGGCUUCUUAGGCGUUUAUUCGGAUAGCAGCAUGCGGGUACAGGGCAAGCCUGCCGCCCCUGAAACAGCAACUGCAUAGAGGUUGAUGGACGCCUUCCAAAGGCCAUGACUGCCGACUAAAAGAAGGACGAACUAUCCUUAUUCAAAAGGGCAAAAGCACGACAUCAUGCUAUGCCCAAAUUGCCCACAUUGCCAAGCAUGGAUGAUGUUACCGACUGACUGGUACCGUUGGACCCUAACCACCCAGAGUGCGCCGUACGUUGGGGAGCGAAAACGCCGCUGCCAGAUCCUCCCUCUCUAUACCACCGCACAAGGCAUCAACCCUCUCCCAUGCAACUUGAACCCAAUUCUCCUCGUUGCUCCUCGUCCUUCAGUCACAUGUCACAUCUCUAGGUGGAUGGUGCUGUAUGGUAUGAUAAAUUGUAGAAAUGACGACGUGUUCAAAUGGCCCAGAAGCCUCCCACUCUGUAACAAUUCAACAUCUCUAGGUAUAUGCGGUCUCCGGUCUGCGGCGCACUCCGGCAAAACUUAGAACUCCGAAUCCUCUAGCCCUGGAAUCCUGGACGAGCUUUCGUACAUGCUCGGCACCGCCGCCGCCGCCCCGCGCUGCCGCCGCAACUGCUGCUGCUGCGACCUCCAUUGCAGGCUGCUCAUACCAGAUUGGCGCUCGGCGACAGUCGGCCCCAAGCCUGGCGGCACAGCCGCCGCCGCGCCACCGCCGCCGCCGACCAUGCCCGCCGGCAGCCCAGACAUCUGCGCCUCCACAGCAUCCAUCUGCAUCUCCGGCGCGCGGCUGUAGUACGCGGAUGUACGGGUAUCGUACUCGCCUUCGAGCUGACGUUGGAUGAUAAACUUAUUGUUGCGAUGGCCGCCGCCGGUGGCGGCCUCCGUGUACGGACUUCGGUCGUGUACGGCGGCGGCCUGGAUUCGUUGCUGCGCGUGCCAGGUACGCGGCUCGUACCUUGCAGCAUACGACACCAACGGGUGUACGGCAGCGUACGACAGACGUAUAGUAAGAAGAAAGGCAUUGGCAGCUAUCAUACACGAAGCAAGAGAACGGAGCUUCGAGGUGAUGAUUUAAAUAAACAGAAUUUCGUCUGUAGAACUUUCAUCGUACAGCCAUGCGAUGUUGGAGCAAAAGAAUGCUCCCGGGAGCACACGCCGCGGAUUUCUCCAAACGGCAAACUCAUGCAACUUCGGAUGCUUUUCCGAGAGCACAUGCGCCAUGUUGCAGAAGAGUCGCGCUGAAGUCGCCCCGCCCCUCUCCUCCUUGUAGCCCUCAUCAGAUCAGUGCUGUCACAACAAUACAUCCAAAGUAUCGUCCCCCUCAUCAUCGUCGUCGUCGUACUGCCGUACCUGUACAACACGCUGUACAGCCCAAAAUACAGGAACGCCGUGAUGCCCAGUACGAACGACAUGAAGCGGCCACUGUGGGGCAGUAGUAGCAGCAGCAACAGGACAAGGUUGGUUCUGACUAGAUCGGUUGUCGGUUGUCAGUUAUCGGUUGAAGGAUAGAGGACACUCCCAGUGGAUUUUCGAGUAAACUGACAACUACUUGGGGCUGAAUACGACAUUCAGCCCCAAGUAAACCCAUUCCUCUCAAGCACAUGACCACCAGGUUAACCACCACCACAGCAACAGCAGCAGCAACAGCAGCAACAGGAGGAGGAGGAGGACGUUGCGACUGCGGGUGAUGGACCCAUGGGACCAUGGAUGGAUGCGGUGGUGGAUGCGGUGGUGAUGAAUGUGGUGGCCCUCCUCCACUUGACAUCUCACUCACCCACCCACCCACCUCUCAUGCAGGCCCGCGUCCACGACUUUUUUGGCGAUCAGGCACAGCACUGCAGUGGGGACGAGGGGAAAGUGGGGGCGAGGGUGGGGAGGGACGGGAGGCAGGGACCCGGAGGAAAGGCGCCACAGGGGGGUGGAAAGGAGUGGAGUGGAGGGGGUUGGAGGGGGUUGGAGGGGGUUGGAGGGGGGUGGACGGGAGUGGAGGGGGGUGGACGGGAGUGGAGGGGAGGGGAGGGGGGUGGACGGGAGUGGAGGGGAGGGGAGGGAAAUCUUUAAAAGUAGUUUCUAGUUGUUAGAUCUUUCAACCGGGGGGAGGCGGUGAAAAUCCAGGUUUCUGAAACCCGGACAGAGACACUGGACGGUGACACGGAGCCGCGACAUGGCGCAUGGCGGGACUCAUGCAGAUGCAGUAAGUACGGCUGAUGUACGGCACUCCUUCCCCAACCGGUGUGGACGAACGAACCGGAAGGGGAACAUUCCACUCAGCCGGCGGCCAAGAUACACCAACACACACCAACACACACGUGUGCAAUGCCCCUCGCUCUUGCCGCUCGCUGCCUCGUCGAAAUGCAUCACGAUGUGUGAUCGUGCCAAACGAAACACAGACGCGUCGGACAAACGCCUGCUGCUAACCUACAUACUUACGUAAUCCGACCGGUAUCAGCAGCAGCUGACCGUACUGACCUGCGCGCGCAGGGGGGGGGUUAGGGAGAGCGUGGGGGUGUAGGGCGGGUAUGAAUAGGAGGGUGACAGGGAAAACAUACACACACAUACAUGCAUACAUGUGUAAUCAAAGCUAUACAUACAUACAUACAUACAUACAUACAUACAUACAUACAUACAUACAUACACACAUAUACACACGCACCCGCCGCGGUCCUGACACACUCUCUCGGCGCUCCCGUGGCCACCCAGCCCAUGGUCAGGAUCUUUAGGGCCCCCGCCAGCAUGAAGGUGUAGCCCGCGCCAGGAACCCGCCGUUCAAGGGAGAUCUGCGGAUAGAUCGGAGCAACCAUUACAUCAACGGCCAAGACAAGAUCCGGGAAACAAAAACACCCGAAAUCAUCGGAAUCGAUCAAGCGACCCCGGGGUAAAAGUUUGGGGCCAGAUCGCCGGAAAUUCCUUUUUCCAGGACAACUAAUAUACAUUAUAACAUGGUUGGCCUUUCAGGGUGAGGUUUAAGGGUUUUACGAGGUUUUAGAGGCUUUACAGGGUUUUAGUUUUUUUUCCAGGUGAUGCCCGCUCCAGGGUUGGUCUUAGAAUUAAUACAGAAGAAAUCGGUGACAUCGGCUGUCGUUUGUGGUUUCGCGGUGUACGGGAGGAGCCGACUUCGUGUACGGUGAGGUCAGGAAAAGCGGAUCGAUUACAUGAGAGCGGAUGGAGCCUGGCGAUUGGAAGUUGGUCCAUUCUCUACCCCCAGGCAUACGAAUAUAUGACAUGCAUACAUGCUGCAUAUACAUACAUACAUAUAUAUACGUAUAUGCAUGCGUACAAACACGAUUUACUAUAAUUCCGGGUUUUGUGCCCUCAGGGGUAAACCCCAGAGGGGGUGAGUGGCGACUGACUGUCGUUUACAUUCCCGUCCUACGCCGCGCCUCCAUCUCCGGGAGGGCACACUAGGGCACAGGACAGAGAAAUAGCCCUAAGGGCCCAAGGGAAGGCAUCAGAAAGGGGUUGGGUGAGGGGAGGCGGGCUUCACCGCAAUACGCACGUAUGCACACGUACGCGCAAACCUGCGCGCGCACGCCUACUGCUUCCACUGGGCACAUCGAAACGAUGGAGGUCUCCAUUGGUCGUAAGGAGUUCUCAUAUGUUGGAAACCCGCGUGUACUACGGAGAAGAUGAGGUACUAAAAGUAGGGGAAGUACGAACCUCACGCGGUCCUUCCUCGGCCGGUGAUCCCUCUGCCGAUGCCCGGACCUAGGGGGUUCCGCAAUCGACAAUCGACAGGGAACGACAGGGAGGAGAAGAAAACGGCUGCUUCAGCGAGAAGGUUUCAUGGAGGAAGCUGGCAUAUCCACGAUACCAUACCAGCAAAAGAUGGCGUCGUCCGCAUAGUCGGAAAGGUCGCGAUGGCCAUCGCUGCGGGGGCGUGACCCGACCACAGGCGGAAGGGCGCAGCUGCGCCCCCAAGGGCAUCCCUACUAAUAUGAUUUAUGACCAGGUGCGCAGAAUUGCUUAUAUAAAAGCGGGCUCGUUAUGCAAACGCAGUAAAUGGAACAGUCAGCCUUGUAAGGGUCCGGAGCCUUAUAAAUUACCGUAGCUGCUUCAAAAGAACAUGUACACUGUAAUAAUUGUGAUAGGAAGCAUUCACACAAGCCGGCUGGCCCGAUUUGGUACUGAUUGCAGUAGAGCGUAUAGGGCUUCUGCGAAAUGCAGACGACUUGCAACUGCAUGCUAAGCUUUGCAUAGGAAAAAUCUUUCAAAAUCCUUAUACGUGUUGUGUCGUUUGUUCACUUGUCAUCUGCUGUGUUACUGAGGCAGUAUUCUCGGAACGUCGCGGCGCCGCCGCGUUGACGACUGCGAUCUACAAAGCCUUCCACGCAAUCCACAUCAACAUUUUUGCCCUAUAUAGAAUUUCAUCGAAUUAGUCUAUGUAUCCGGCGAUGCGGUGACCUCUGCCAGCCACUCAACUUCAGCUUCCGACACGCCUGUCGCUCGGCUUCUUGCCACUGCCAAACAUCGCGCCGCAAAAUUCCAGCACAAAAUAGCGACCACUCACUGGCGCCAAUACCUACAGUGCUGUUUCAUUCUCAGGUGGGAGGUGUCAGGGCUUCCUAGAGAUUGCCUCCCCCUGCCGCUCCUAUCCUCCUACCCCGCCCGUUGUAAUGUGUAUGCCCAUAAAGGACCUCAUCUGAUUCCGUACCUCUCGGUUAUACCCCUGCAUUGCUCCUACCUCUUAACCACCUAACCGCCUAACCACCUAACUACCCACCAAACUUAGACCCGAAUCUGUAUGACCACGCAAUGAUCAUUCCCCCACCUGACACCGCCAUACCACCCGCCAGGUUGCCCCAGCCAUGUCCCUGCCGUACCCUCCAGGGGUUGUGUAGCCGGGGGAAAGGGUCGGCAGCAGGAGGGUGGGAAGGUGUACGGCACACCGGCGCUGUGAUAUUAAACACCACCACAGCGCACGUACGUGCCCGCGGCCUCGUAAAGACAACGUUGAGGUUACAGGGCACGACGCGACGCAACACCACACGGCAGCAGCAGUAGCACCAGCAGUAGCACCGGCAGUAGAAGUAGCAACAGGAACGGUGUCGGCGAAAGGACAUGCCGUGUCCUCAGCUAAUUGGAUCGUAAAACCCGCACGAACAUCCCCGCAGACAUAAAACCAGCGGACAGCAGCAGCAGUCACGUCGUCCACCGGUUGUCACUGUGUUGUUGCUGAGCCGUUGUUGCUGAACAUCCCUAACCGCCCGAAACCUAGAACCGCCAACGGCCAACCGAAUAGUUAGGUAGAUGGGGCUUAUCAACCUCCUCAACGAAAAGCCCGUACAUCUGGUCUUGGCCAAGGACAGAGUGAGAAGCAUCAAGAGAGGCCACCCCUGGAUAUUCCCGGAAGUGAGUACGGCAGUACGGCAAUAUGUGCGUUGUUGUACAUGUGGACGAUUCCGCGAUCCCGUCGCAAAUAGCGGCUCAACUAUCAAUCAAUCAAACGCAAAUGCCGACAGUUACUGUACGACAUGCACGGCUGUCAUAUGUCGUGCCGUACACACAUGCAGGUACUUCGAGAGUUGCCCAAAGCUCCGCCCGGUUCAUUAGCGUUACUGAAAACUGCAGAGGGGGAUGUUUUAGCAAAAGGAUAUUACGACCCGGGAUCGAAGCUCGCAUUCCGCAGUUUUGCUCUUCAACGGGACAAAUUGGACGAGCAACUGAUUGCAGCGCGUCUGGAGCGUGCAGCGCAGCUUCGCGACAUGUUGUUUGAACCGUACGACACCACCAACGGUUUCCGGUUGGUCAACGGUGAAGGAGACGGCUUGCCAGGCCUUGUGGUGGAUAUGUACGACAGCGCGGCGGUGAUGAAGCUGGACGGUGCUGGUACGUACGUACGUACAUAUGUACGGCAAGCGCAUUGCUGGUUGUCAUAUCAGUGAUUGUUUUCCUGCCUCCAAUAGCCUUCCAUCCAUCUGUGCGUGUGUGUGUGUGUCUGUAUGUGUAUGUGAGCAUCAGGGUACCCCCUCUGCUUAGUCCUCCAUCAAAUGUGUUCUUAUAGCAAACGCAAUACACGCAUAGCAAUGUGUACGGAAGAAGAUUUUGUAUUAAAUACGAGCUUACGAUUCGCUGCUGGCGGGAUUGUGUGUAUGCCCGGGAGCGCGUGUCACUCCGUCACACGUCACGCAGCCAAACCACCGAAAGGGCAGUAGUACGGAAACCGCUGAACAACGAACACAAUAACAGCACCAACACCCCCACCCCCCACCACGAACACAAUAACAGCACCAACAACAGCACCCACCCACCCACACACACACACACCACCAACACCAACACAAUAACAGCACCAACAACAGCCGCUCCUCGCGUCCUGGGGAGACCUAUAUCAUCUUCCUGAACAGCUCGGAAAGUCUCCUCAAAUCCAUACAGGUGGACUGCAGGUAAAGCAGCAGUUUAAAAGAGGCUCCAUCCGAUCACCCACCGCCUCCCUACAAACCCCUAACCCCCCCCCACACCUACCCCUUGGUGCACAUCUUUCACGAGUUCGUACGGCAUACACACAGCGCCCCUGUCCCCACCCCCACUAGGUGCCGAGUCCUUUUACAACUCCCGAGAGAUAGCCUCCUGGCUCAUGUUCCGUUUCUCGUCUCGUCUGAAGACCGUGUUUUUAAAGUACCGGGCAGGGGCCAGCUCCAGCUCAGAUGGAGCUUUGGGAUCUGGCUCCGGUUCCGGGUCGGGUUCGAACCGGGGUUCCGGUGUUUCUGCGAGUUCUGAGACUCCCGGCGCCGGGGUUGAUGAGGGUCGUGGUCGCCUGCUGGCUGGGGAACCCCCGGUGGCCGGGCGGCCUGUGCGCUUUUUGGAAAAUGGCGUAACCUUUCAGGCAGAUAUAGUGCAAGGACAGAAGACAGGUGGGUGACGUUGGUGUUUGAUGGUUGUGAUUGCAGUUGUUUGGUGGUUGCUGGUUGGGAGUUUAAUUUGGUAGUUGGAUGCCACCUUCCGCACCCCGACCGGUACUGUCCGUCUGUCUCUAGGGUAUAUCUGCUUCAAUCGUCAGUGGUUCGUCUUAACCCCCCCUUUCAUUUAAAGCUUUCCUUGGCAUCAGCUUUACUCGCUUGUGGUUGGUCUUUCCCUCCUACCACCACCCCCCCCUCAUCAUCCACCUUUCCGCACCUCACCCCACAUCACGCCUCUUUCCCGCCUGCAACCUCGCAACCGACCCCCCCACACACACCUUGACAACCUCCGAAGGCUUCUUUUUGGAUCAGAGGGACAACCGCGCCUUCGUGGGGAGAUUGGCCGGGGGGAAGCGUGUGCUUAAUGUGUUUGGCUACACUGGUACGACAAAGUGCGGUAGUGAGGGGGCCGGAGGGGGAAGGGAGGGGAAGGCGAAAACAGCAUGGCAGGUCAAGGGAGCAGGUGGGUUGGGGGGGUUGAGAGGACGUGCGGGGGGCCGAGUUCAUGAGUCCAGGGAGGUGAGGAGAGGGGGGCUUCGCUUGACUCUUUUUUGGAGGUGUGGCUUCCCCGGCGGGUAAGGCCCCCCGCCCCCGUCCCCGCCCUCUGCCUUCCUCUGUCUGACCUCCCUUUUUGAAUAUACACAUACAUACAUACAUACAUACAUACAUACAUACAUACAUACAUACAUACAUACAUUGAUUACAUUGAUUACAUUUAUGCACACACUCCCACACACUCUUGGCGACACGUGUAAUAAGUAAACACACCACACACAGAGAUACGCACGUGGCUUUGCGGGCCUUGUCGCAGCCGACGUUCCCUUUAUUUGUUUUGCCAUUCCCUUAGUCGCGACAUAGACAUACGCACCUGUACGCGAGCCUGGCAAACACACACACAUACACACCGUUUGCUCACGCAGGGGGCUUCUCCGUGUACGCGGGAGUGGGCGGCGCCCGCCACGUGACGACCGUUGAUCUUGGUCGCGCCGCCUUGUCGUACGCAACUGCCAACUGGGCACUUAACGGUCUGGUUCCGGAGCGGCACGUUGCGGCGGCGGAGGACGCGUUCGAGUUUCUGGAGGCGGCGAUCAAAGGCCGGGAAAAGUGAGAGGGGCGUGAGAGCUUCAGUGUGCCUUUCUGUCUUCCUAUUUUUCUGUCUGUCUGUCUGUUCUGUCUGCACCUCAUCGUUCUUAGUUGAAAAGAGGAGUACAUUUCGAGUCACUGGUUGGUUAAUGAUAUCCGUUCCCCUCGGGAAGACAGAACACAGAGGAGGCAAAGCAGCUGACGGUCCCAAAUCGGCUGUCUAACUCCCACUCCUUACCUCAAUCUACCCCCCCUCCCACCCCGGGAUGAUCCCUCCCUUACCCUCCCCCCCCCCAAAAAAACACCCAUCCACCCAUGCACCCCUCCACACCCCUCCACACCCAACCACCCACCCUCUCAACCCUCUGCCAGGUGGGAUGUGGUCAUCAUCGAUCCGCCAUCUUUCGCACCCAACAAGCAAUCUGUGGAGAAGGCACGUGCGUCGUACACUCGGCUCUUCGCCGCUGCCGCGGCGGUGACGGCGGCGCACGGGUCUCUCUCUCUGGCGUCUUGCAGCAGCCACAUAGACUCGCCAAUGUUUAUGGAGGUGGGUUUUAUCGUUUUGUCUCGGGGCCGGAGGGAAUGUGGGGGAUAUCCCGUGAAGGUGAUGGGGGCAGAGGGAGAGAAGGAAAAGGCGAGGCGAGGAAGGAGGGAAAAGGGAGGAGGAGAUUUGGGGGGGUAAAAUUUUUAAAGUAUUCUUUAGUUCAGGAAAUGGCCAAGUGUAGACGUCAAAAACCCCACGAACCAAUCUCUUGCUCCGUACACCAUCAUCACUAGUAUCCUCCUCCUCCUCCUCCUCCUCAUCAUCAUCAUCAUCAUUAGUCGCAUCAUCACCAUCAUCAUCGUUAGUAGCAUCAUAUGAUUCCCGCCCACCCUCUGUCCCCCAGGUGUGCUCGGAGGCUCUUGGCAAGGCUCGGCGGCAGGGCUAUGUGGUGAGGGUGGCGGGGCAGCCCGCUGACCACCCCUUUCCCGCAGCGGCAGACGAGCUGAGCUACCUGAAGUUCGUUACCUUCCGCUUGGAGGGCUGAGUAACGAUUAACGAAAUGCGUCUCGUCCUGUGUUCUGUUGUGUUUAGUUAAAUUAGGUUUACUGGAUGAGGUCGUUGUGUUUUGGUAUCUCUGAUGCUUUUUAAGAGGCCUUAGAAAGGGGAGAAUAUCGGUAAGAGUUUAUGUGACAGGCUCGGAGAGACGAACUGUUUGAAAGAAGGCAAGGCAAGGCAGGCUGCGGGAGGGCCCGGGAAAUGGAGAAGAUGAAUAUCAAGAUGGAGGAGAACUCGGGCACAUUCACACGGCCAGAUACGCAAUAUAUCCUGAGGCUUAAAAAGCACCACCGCGGGUGCGCGCGCGUGGGUCACCCGCGUGCUUGCGAGCGAGAUGGAGUGAUGAGCGCCCCCAAACGAUCCAGGUACGGUGAAAAGGGCUAACGGGUGGAAAGGGUUUGUGACCGAAUAGCUGACUUAAGAGUGAAAGGAGAGCGAAGGGGAGAAGAAGGACAGCUAAGGUGCCGGAAGACUUUUUUCCCCUAAGAACCUUUUCCUGUUGUGAGACAGAGCGCCCUUCUGGGUGCGGGGGAUCACGCUGUUCAGCGGCCUCUCCCACGCUGUCUUGAAGCGUGGUGAAGCGUGUUUGGAUCGGAGUCUAAAGCCAUAAUGUUAUAUAAUAUCAGAGGGCUGAGGACAAGCCGAUUUUUUAUGUAUGUUUGUCGGUAUGUGUGUCGGUGUGCAUGCAUCGGUGUGAUACGUACGUACAUAUAUGUAUGUAAGGGUAUUGACAUCCGCUGUAAUCCCCUCUCGAUAGUGCAUCUGGUGGGUUAACUGUACCCAACGGCAAUAACCGCUGGCCAGCAACCCCCAACCCACAACCAACCCCAGCAACCAAUCAUCCCACCAGUCCGGGAACCCUCCAGCCCACCAAAGGGGAUGAACCAAAGGGGAACCCCUUCGUCUCCCCGAGGGGGAACACAAUGGAACUGAUGGAGGGGGAACAAAGUGGAAGGGGAGGGGGGGGGCCGGGGGAGGGGACAUACAGACGUACAAACAAAACAGGCUGCGAGUCGCAGAGAAGAUUCUUGACCUGGAUAGAGCAUGCAAGCUUGGGGUAACCUUCUUCAUCCAGUUGUUGCAUGUUGUAUGUGUUUUUAUACAAGUACAUGCAAGCUGGAUUAAAAGAAGCACCAAGCGCAAUUCAGUGAAAUGUUAUACACGUACAUAUGUAAUAUGAUGUUGAGUCUCGUCCAGGACAAGACGAAGGAAACGAUGCUCGAAGUCUGGAAAGCGCGGGAAUAAUCACUUCAACCCUGCAGCCGUUUUUCUUCUCUGUCCUCUCCGACGUUUCUCCUCUUGCAAACCCAAAUCGUUAUCGCCGCCGCUCCUCUCUCCCCGCACCGCUCGGUCCUCAGAUUCACACAGAGACACCUCCCUCCCUCACUCCCUCCCUGCUCAUUCCUAGUUCAUUUCUUAAUAGAUAACUACUUCUUCCAAAACCAACAGCAAUGAGAUUCCUGCCAUCUGCUUGCGUGUAACGUACACUUGUACGAAAUACCCUGCCAGUACAUCACGCGGUACGGCACUGGAAACAGCACUACGUCAAUCAAGGACACCUUCGUACGCACCUCCAGUGAGACCAUACAUACAUACGUACACAUAUACAUACAUAAAUAAGACGAACGUAACUGGUGACUAGGUAACGUUUCUUCCCUGGGCCCCACCCCGGGCCGAGGUGUUGCUAUGUAAUCCGGCACCUCUCCGGAGGGGUCGCCAAGAGACCUCAGCCAAAAUCAAACAUCAACAUUUUACACAACACCGCCGGAUCAAACUUUUCUUUCUAUCCAGAAGUUCUAAGACCGCGCACACCGCACCCCCUCCUUAUACAUCUAUACAUCUUUUUUUACAUGACACCGCCGUACUGUACGGCAAGCGAUCGUGUGUUGAUCCGCUCGUCGUUGAAGACCUGGAGCGAUGGCGCCAGGAUACGAGUGUAGCGGUCGAAGUAGAGCAGCUGCUUUAGAAAGAGACCAAACUGCGGUUUGGAGGCGCCAGGAAGGGGUGAUCGGGCGCGAGUGAGGGAAGGCGGGAGGGAAGGGAAGAGGGAAGUGGGGGAAAGGGACGGGGAAAGGGGAGGGGGGAGGGAAGGGAGGGGGGAGGAUAGGUAAGCGAGGUGUUCUCAAAACAACUAGGUUCCUGACGCGCUUUCUCAUCAAGCUGAGCCCCUUCCUAACAAACAAAGUGCUAUCUCCGGCCAGUGCUUGAGAUGCCAUAUUCUUUAGCGCCCCAGCUACUCAUAACGCAUAGGAAGGAAGAACUCAUUCACAAUAGGAAGAAGGGCCCGGAGGGAAGAAGGAAAAGGAAAAACGAAAAAAUAAGUUGCCAACACAGCAGUUACCAGCCCCCGUAAAAGCCUCUUUCUACUCGUCGUCUUUUAUCUGAAGACAAACAAACACAAACAAGCAAAACAAUUAAGAAAUCAUCCUUAAAAAACCCCGAUCAGAAAAUGGCCCUCGGACUCUCACUCACCUCCCGUGGGAACUUCACCCCGUGGGUUUCCCCUAUCCGUACAAGUUGUACGAACAGACGGUUAAGCUGAGCUUGGUCGACUUCCAGGCUUGCAGAAACCCCCCCGGCGCGACCUUUAAGGGGGCGGGGGCGGGGGCGGGGGCCGACGUGAGACCGGUGUCCCGUCCCACACGGUUGUGAUGUUGAUGGUGGUGAUGGUGGUGAUGGUGGUGAUGGUGGUGAUGGUGGUGAUGAUGAUGGUGGUGAUGGUGGUGAUGAUGAUGGUGGUGAUGGUGGUGGUGGUGGUGGUUGAGGCAGACCGGCGACACCACGGGUCUCUAUGUCUUCAGGGUUGGUUUUAGGAUCAGACCGCCCACCAUCCGGAGACUCGUAACAUGCUCUAAGCCCCACUAAUCCCCACUUUCCCUCUUUCCCCCCGGGUUUUACAAAACACACAAACACACACACACACAUCCCCUAAGCAUCCCACCGCAUUUCCCCCCCGGCCACCCUCAUCCAUCCGCAAACACAUUUUACCAGCAGAGCACAGUCUGUGCGGGUCCCUUCCCCUCACCCAGGGAAACCUCCACCACCUCACGUUCUCCCAUUCCGCCCCAUCGCACGCACCCAACCCCCUGUUCCCGUCAACCAACCAACCGUCAUUUCAACCGCUCCCCUGCCAACACCCGUUCCCCCACCCUUUCCCCUCCUCUUUCCCGUAACGCCAUCCGCCUUCCUGCGGCAGUCGGUGCUUUGGACGAGCCGACACAAACCAUUUCCUCCACGUAUUUCAAACGGCCAUAUACACACACAUACACACAUACAUACACUGACACGCGACUACACGUCUUUGGUAUCUGCCCCAUUCGCCAGUGCUUCGUCUUAAACCCCUUCCCCUUCCCCCCCCCUCCAUCUCCCCACCUUCCCGCCCGGUCAGCCCCGGCGGAGGCCCACGGGUCACCACCAGACUGCUGUUGAUUUGCUCCAGCUCCGCGAAGAAGGCCUCAAGGUCCCGGGCGAAGGCGGGGAAGUCCACAUCCGUGUCGCAGGCGCCGAUGGUGGCCAGGGCGCGAGCCUGGAGGGCGGGGGAGGGGAGGGGGGAAGACCACGAGCCACGUGAAGGAGAGAAGCUGAUGCCAAGGAGGAUAUAGACUCUGAUAAGCCUCGAAAGUAAAAGGAAGUAAGCAAGGACGAACCAGUCGCGGCUUGGGGGGGGGGGAAAGACGAACCUUGGGGGGAGGGGAAGAGAUGAGAAAAGAGGGGAAGAGGGGUACUUCUGCCCACGUGCCGGCCCAUAUCCCCCACCCACAUCCUGCAAUGCCCGGGGGCGCGAAAUUCCCCCAUCGCACCUACAAACCCCUCCCAAAACACACACACACACACACACACACGCGGAUCGAACCCCUGGCCCCAUCCCCUACCCCCGUUCGCCACACGACACAUACACAUACACACACACACACUCUCUCUCACACACACACACUAAAGGGGAUGUGAUAAAGCGGCCCAGAAGCCCCCCACUCUGUAACAUAACGUAACAUAACAUAAAGGGGAACUUUAGUUCUCCUUUAGGGGAAGACACUCUCUCUCACACACACACACACACACACAGGCUCAGACCACUUGCUUCAAUGUGUUUUAUUACUUUUGUGCUCGUACCCUCCUCACCAGUUCUUGUCCUUGUAGCACAGAUUAUCAAGACAUACAUACAAACAUACACUUACAUACACACAUACUAUGCAUGUGUAUGUGCGUGUGUGCGUGUAAAUAAUGUUCUGUAUCAACGCACACACGCACGCUCAGCCCCUCCUAAAGCCGGCACCCCUGGCGUGCUCCGAAACCGACCCACCAUCGUCUCGUAGUCCGCCAGCGCCAUGGAGCUGAUCAGGGUCUCCACCGCCCGCCACGUCACGGGGGAGAUACGGCCCACGAUACCGAAGUCAAUGAAACCCACACGCCCGUCAGCCAGAACUAACAAAUUGCCUGCGGGAUUAGGCGGGGGGUUAGGGGCGGGUGAGGGGUUCCCCCACACGCACCCACAAAAAAAAGAACCCUGCCCCCAAUCCCCCUUUCACCCGAGGCACAAAGAAUAUAAAUACACACAUAAAUACACACGCACACGGCAACUCCCCCCCCGGGCCCCCCCCCACCCACCCGCGUGCACGUCUGCAUGGAAGGUGUCCGCCGCCAUAACGCUCGCAAACCACGUGUUGAGUGCGUUGAUCAGAACCUGCUCCGGAUCCCGACUGCCGUUCGUUACGGCACGUACGGCAGCGAGAUCCGUCAGGGGGGCGCCCACCAGCCGCUCCAUCACCAGGAUCCUGAAUACAUUGGAUCCAGAAAUUCAAUCCCAUCCGAUUAAAACCAGUGCGGAAAAAAACGUACAAGGCAAGCAUAAAGAUAAAAAUUUCGUGUGUACGUGUGUGUAUAGGGAGGGGGAGGGGGAGGAGGAGAGCAUGGGUGGGGACUCAAAAGGAAGGGGGAAAACCUGAAAGCUGUGAUUCGUCGAACGGACGCAACCGCACGCGGACGCACAGACAGACAGACAGACGUGAUCACAAGGACACCCCCCAUCGCCCGACACAACCCACCCAUGUCGUACAGCCUGCAAUACCUCCCCUCCCCCCCUUCCCACAAUCAGUCCCGCCAACAAAUACACACCUUUCCCCCCCUUUCCUCCCACCCCCACGUAUGCCCCUCCCAGGUUUCCCCCCGCCCCCCAUCAUCCCAGAUUCUAUCCACACCCCACUUUCCUUCUUUUUAUUUGCUGCCUUCUCUCGCCCCCUCUCUGUUUGUUAAUCUCCCCCCCUGCCUUCCCCUCCCCUCCCCAACCCCCCCCCCCCCCAUNNNNNNNNNNNNNNNNNNNNNNNNNNNNNNNNNNNNNNNNNNNNNNNNNNNNNNNNNNNNNNNNNNNNNNNNNNNNNNNNNNNNNNNNNNNNNNNNNNNNNNNNNNNNNNNNNNNNNNNNNNNNNNNNNNNNNNNNNNNNNNNNNNNNNNNNNNNNNNNNNNNNNNNNNNNNNNNNNNNNNNNNNNNNNNNNNNNNNNNNNNNNNNNNNNNNNNNNNNNNNNNNNNNNNCGGGCCCCCUGCCCAAAUGGCCUUCAACCGCUGUGCCAAUUGUACGACCAGGUGUGACCAGGUCGCCGGUUCUUCCCGCACAUAACAUCACCCCCCCCCGCUAAACCCCCCUCAACUCUUUCAAAACCCUCCCCCCCAGCCCCUUUAUAACCCUACCCCCCUACCCCCCCGACCUCCCCCCCCGCCCACCUGCGUGAAGUCCACCUCCGCCAACAUGCUGCUCCGCAUGUCCUCUAGCACCCCGGUCAGGCUCAGUCGCCCCAGCUCGGGCUGUACGAACUCCAAAUAACGCGACAUCAGGUACACGAAGGACAUGUCUGCAGUUAGCACGUCCUCAACACCCGGCUUGAGGACCUUGAUGACGACCUGUUGGGGGCCGGGGGGGGGGGGGGAAGCCGUGUGUAUGUGUGGGGGGGGUUAGUGCGUGUGGGUGUGUGUGUGUCUUUUGAUUAAUCUGAGCCGCGAUACGAUAACAAAGUGCCGAAGUGUGUGCACGAAUAAUGUGGGUAGCGGUGCGAGCUCCGUAAUCUAGCGACGUGUGCGCCUCUUCCGUAGUGUGUGUUUGCGUGUGUGUGUGUGUUUGUUUGCGAGUGUAUGUGUGUGUGUGUGUGUGUUUGCGCGCGUGUGUGUGUGUGUGUGUGUGUGUUUGGGUGUGUGUAUGCGUGUGUGUGUGUUUGCGUGUGUGUGCCUCUCUGCGUUUUGGGCGUGGGUCGGGGGCCGGGGCCGGUCGAGAUUGGCAGCAGCCAUUGGGGAAUAGGAAGAAGGCGGGAAAAUACACAGCGGGGGAAUGUCAAUGGCGAUAAAAGCUCAAAUUGGUCUCGGAGGCGGGUUUGGGUUUGAAGGUGUCUGGGACCCGCCUUCCCUGCCGUACCUGUUUAUUGGAAUCACGUAGUACGGCAGCAUGUACUUGCGCCACCGAGGCACUUGCCAGGGGGGUUGGGUCGAUGGAGGAAAACACAUUGGACCAGGGCUGCCGAAGCUCCUGUGUACGGCAGGAAAAGGGGCGGUCCCGCGGGAAAAUGGAGCGGGAAAAAGGCGGGCGGGGGUUCCGGAGCUUUGUCCCAUAAACCACCUUGCGGAAAUGUCUGUAUGCAAAACAGUCCAAACCAAUCCAGGAAACGCCCAACUGAUUUGUCUUAACCGCCAACGUCCAAUGCAAUGCGGGCCGGGGACAGAGGGUUUGUGUGUGUAUGUAUGUACAUAUGUAUGUAUGUAUAUAUGUAUGUAUAAGGGGGAAGAUUAUCAGGUGCAACAACGAAAAGCCAACUGCCGGAGGACUUGUUGCGGUGGUUGCGGUGGCUGCUGUGUUGUGUGUUAAUUAGAAAGGAAGGAGGGCGCCAAGAGGGCAGGGGGGAGGGAGGGAGGGAGGGGGGGAGGGAGGGAGGGAGGGAGGGAGGGCGGGCGGGCGGGAGGGAGGGAGGGAGGGCAGGGGGGGAGGGAGGGUGAGAGGGUGAAGGAGCGACCUGAAGGUAAAAACAAGAUGGUUCAGUUGAGGGGAGGUGAGGUGAGGGAAGGUGAGGUGAGGUGAGUUCACUGCGCGAGUGGGUUCCGGAAGGCGGGGAAAACAGCAGCGAGGUGCAGAGGUGCAGAGGUGCAGGGGAACUUCAGGUAAAGAAAAGAAAACAAUGAUGCAGCAGACCAACCAGCACGCGGAGGGUGAAAUCAACAUAUGGACGUUUCAAGCGGUCGAAGCUCAGCUUGUCGGCCUCAAUACACCGGGGAGGAGCUGUUCUGUUCCGUUAUUUAAAGGGUGAAAGAGAUGAGCGGAUGACAAUUAUAAUAUGCUGAUGCUAGUGAUGCUAGUGGUAAUGACGCGGACUAAGAGAGCAAGCGCCGGGGGCCGAGGUAAAAGGCAGGCAGGCAGGCAGGCAGCACAUACAUGUGUGUGCGUGUGUGUGCGAGAGAGAGAAAGAAUUUUAAAGGUAAGACAACCUGGAGCGACUUGCGAUCCAUGUGUACGAGCCACGUACGAUGUUGCCGUACCUGCUCGAUGAUGCGCUCAACUACGCUGUACGGCACGGGAUCAGUCUUGUCCAGACAUUUUUGGAACUCCAGGACGUACUCGUCCGGGAAGAGUGAGGGGGAGGAGGCGAUGAACUGGCCCAACUUGAUGUACGUGGCACCUGCAUGAACGUGUGUGUAUGUAUGUAUGUGUGCGUGUGUACGUGUGUGCAUGUGUAUGUGUAUGGGUGGUGUAGUGCGACGGCAGUCAUGAGGUCAGUGGGGUUGGGGGGAACUGGUGGCCCCCGUACAUAGGAGAUGUUACAUGGCAUGACGCGCAGUAGAUUGAACGGCUGUCAGGGUCUGUCCUCUUCCCGUGGGGAUGUGGAGGACUAUAGCUUUCUAUAGCUCUUUUUUUAUUCGGAUGGAGGAGAGGUGGUCCACCUCCCUCACGCCUCCAGGACCUUCCGGCGUUUCCCCACUCCCCAACAACACACGCACAUGCACACGCAUACGCGCUGCGACAUGCUGUUAUACUGUAAGCGCUUCAAAUGCAAUGGUUUCCCCAGAAGAAAAACAAUGACCCGGUCUGUUGCCUGAACCCGGAGAGAUGCUGAUUAAGAGGUGGAGGGGACGCGUGAUGGUCGGGAAUAGGGGGAAGUAAAGUACGCAGGAACAGGAAGCCCGGGCAACGAGGUGGCCUUUGUCUGAGACGAAAUCAAGGUCGCGCUCACCCAGCUUUUCAAAUAGCUUGCGAAGGAAAACCGGCAGCGGGUCGACAUUGCCCUUGGCCAGGUACUCCGCCGCGAGGGCAGCGAUUGACUGGGCUGCUUGAACUGCGCGGAAGAGGCCGCGGGGCCCCGUGGACACGCUGAGACGAAUGGUUUCUUGAACAAGUUCACGCAGCUGUUCAACUCGCUGGCUUUGAUCGCCGCUGGAAGUCGCGGAACUCAUGGAAGAUGCUGCCUGGUCGCCGCUGUUUGAACUGCGUCCAUUGCGUGUCGAAGAAGAGUAACCAGAGCGCGAGCUAGGCCCUGUGUUGCCGGCAGCGGAGCCUGCUGCGCGGCAAGCAAUCUCGAGUCGAACUCCUCGACCGACCGAAUGCCCAUUAACUACAGCAUUUGCCCGAUUGCUACGCACUAUAGAUCGAUGCAACAUGGUUAAGAAUGCAGGCUAUUCUAUCGCAUAACCGUGGAAUUAAGAAGGUUACUCAGAAGGACUGGUUACAAAAUAAUUUAGCUAAGGAAUCCUGAACUAUGGGCUUCUACAGAACUUUUGUAUCUUUCGUCCAAGCAAGAUUGUACAGGGAAUACAGCGACCAGCGCAAGGUAAAAGGUAGGUCCAUGACAUACGCCACACGUCCACCCAGCCACCACAUGCCUACCCGUACGUCCUGAAGCGCACAUUUUGAUCGCAUGUAAAUAACUGACUCAUCACUUGUUCUUGUACACGGGUGUCCAGGAACUAGACAGACUUGAGUCCUGCCUUGCAAGUCCUUUGCUUGGUCGCCAUCCGAAGGGAACAUCCCCAACCCCAACGCGGCCUUAGCCCGCACGGCUAGCACAAAAUCCACUAAGAUUGCAAAACUUCGCAGCUCCGGAGCAACCUCCCCACAUCCCCUUUCCACAGCCUUCCCAACUUCUCCCACACGCGCACGCUCAGAAAACCUGCGCUGCUAAAGCAUUCUGGAGCCGUCUGGACUCAUCGACCCCGCUAAGCAUAUUGAAUCAAAUGCAAAUGAACAGGACCCCUACUGCGCCCGCACCCAAGAGUGACCCCAAGGGCCCACAUGCCCUGGCAAGAAAUCACCUUGGAAAUCGUGCAAAUGAAACAGAACGGCCCACAUUGAUGGGAACAUACGGACAUGCCGGAUUUCGCAUGCCUACGCGCACGCACAAGGAACGAAGACAUGGGUUGCAGCAUGCCACUAAAGCUAGGCGUGGGUCCAAGCAUGCGAAUGGAGAGGGGAUGGACCAAAAAGGGUCAUUCCCUAGCAUUUCGGCGCGUGCGGCAACGCCAUAAAACCGCUACUUUUUCCAUGUCCCAAAGAUCCAUUAAGGCUCCGGUGUUAAGCAUGCGUCCAUCGCCCCGAAAGGCUCCCACCAUCUCCGUGCAACCAUGCCAAGGCUUAGUCCGCCGAAAUGUUUUAGUCCUGGGCCUGGAGGUGCGCAAGGCGAGCCUCGGCAUCGUUGACCUCCUGCAUGUGGGCCGUGAGAGACAGAGAGAGGUGACACCGUCGCUCUGUGGGACCAGAAACCCCUGGCAUGUCACGAUGCGAACGCGAACAGGCGUACAGCUUUACGUCAACCCAACACUCGGGAGUACGUAUACCGCUAUCCUUCAUACCUGAGCUGCCAGGCCGGCCGUUAGCUCAAGCUGCUGUUUGAGCGCAGUUUUCAAUUCCAUAAACUCUGCCCGAAGCCCUUCUACCUCCGUGUUCAGCGUCUUCCGCAGGUCGCCCACUUCCUGCAGGCAGGGAAAUUUCGCGGGCGGGUAGUAAUCGCCCCUGCCAAUACUGGCUGACUUCGGUGCGUCACCCUUACCGCUCUGUACGUUUUAACUUGCGUGUCAAGCUUUGUCCGCCAGUCCUGUAACUCCUUCUUCAGCGUGGCAACCUUCGAAAGAAGCGCGUCCUUCUGCUCAUUGAGCUCCUACAUCCAGAUGUGUUCUUCGAUUAAUAAUUACGCUGUUGUUUAUACUGGCCUCUGAAUUCAUUGGAAAAGAGUCCCUUGAACUUGGUCAGGCAUUGCCAAACCUCGACUCACUGCUAGCUUCUUCGAGUCGACAGUAAUAUCAGGUUCCUUGAACGCUUCAGGUGAUCCUUCCGCCAUAUCAGCUCGCAAGACAAUUCCCUUCUAGAAGGCAGCUAGUCGAACACGGCCUUCAAGUCAACUUUUGCUCCAAGUGCACUUUUCGAAGGCAAAGAUGGAGUACGCAUGCACUGUUCAUGAGAAGGAUACGGAGUCUAGGCAAUCGUCCCCACCUCUCAUCGUGUCCCUUGGAUUCCCUUAACGGACACCGUACAAUACAACUGUCAAGACUCCCAUGAACUCGUGGACGCCUAUACCCAAGUGUGCUAGUAUUACCUCGUGCAUAUAGGCAAACAUUAAUAACAUGCGUGCUGCAGUCGAAUGGUGAGAACAGAAUGGAUGCGAGUGGUACUCUUAUUUAGUUCCAUUUGCCUCCGCGCCAGGUGACUGUUCAACACCUGGCUGAGCCUGGCUGAGCGCGAUUAAGCGCUCCUUGACCUGACCUCUGAACAAGUGGCCGACGGAGAUAGCUUUUAUCAGUUACAUAUACCAGCAAUGUCGACCAGAAAAAGGAGGAAGUGAGCACGCGAGAAAACAGGACAAACCCCAGGGAGCUAGUCAGAUGCAUGCACUACCUGAAGUCCAUGCACACGCACCGCCUGACUGAUCACCCAUAAGACCGGCCACAUCAAAGCUCAGCACGGAAGAUAUCAUGGAGGAGAGUCCCUAGCGCGCGUCGUCCCUUGCGCCAAUCUUGCGCCAAUCUUCCUCCUCCCAAACAACAGUACAUCGAUAACACAUUUUUUCUCCCCCACAACGGAGACCAACCAAACCCAGCCCUUGUCUAUCUUGACCGAACACACCCUCAUGCACGGGCACGGAAAACGGCAUCAAGUUCUUCUUCUGUUGAUGCUAAGGUUUGCUUUUCCGCUGUACACAUUAACCUACGCCAGUUCCAAAUUGCCGCAACCGCAGCGGCGCCCUUCAAUAAGCGGAAAACAAAAGGUAAAUUAACAAAACAAAGGUAAUUAUCAAAAAUGAAAUCGGCCUUCCCGGGCGCCAUGAGUUAGGAGAUAUUACCGCAAAGCAGUGCCAGCUGCUCGUGAUGCCUGCUUAGGACAGGCACUCGCGCACCCGAAAGGAUGCAACACCACAAGCUCAUUUGUUUCGCCUCUCACAAUGUCACCUCUUCUCCACGCACUCUACUCGCGCGCGCGACACUCUCCCAAUGGCCUCCUUGAAAUCCCAAAAGCUCCUGCACUUUAGCGCCCGAACGACCCCGCGCUACCUUUGCACCCACCAUCAAGCGAGACCGGCAUAAAACAGGCCACCGUAGCCCAAACCAGCGGAUUCGGUAGGACACGUGCCAUACAAUCCCGAUCAGGUAAUCGAGAUCGUCAAAAUAUAAUACAAGUAGAUUUGGAGCAGACGGCUGGUUUUUGGAGUUUGGAAGGCUCAGCAGUGUUGUGCUUGGCGGUGCGGUGCCAAGUUGAACUGGGUGAGCUUCCUUCCCGUCAACCAGUCAUCGCUUCAGGUAACCCAGACAAAACUUCUUCACAUACAGACACACAUAUACACAGUCACCCCCAUCUCCUUAUAUCUCCUGGAAAAGCGCCUGUCGCGCUAUUUUUUCCUGCCUUGCAUUCAGAAGGAGUCCAGAGAUCACUCAGCCGCCAUCACCCGGCUCCUGCCGUACAACGCGAAAGACCCCAGCGCUGAAACCAUCAGGUCACGCAGACUAACAUACAUACAUACGCACGCUCACACCAAGACGGACACGUCUACACAAGCUCUUAUAGAUAUGACGUUUUCCUUACGAUAUGUUCUGCGCAGCCUCUCGACCCCUUCCAAAGAGAUACAGACGCACAAACAUACACACAUACACACACGCCAACGCCGCGGUUGCGGCUUGUGAGGCAAAAAUACUUCAUGAACGGAAAACAGAGGUUGUAUUUCUUUUGUGUACCUUUUGCACGUUGUAACUCAGGUUACGACGAGGUUAGACAGAACAACAAAAGGUACAUUUUGCUGAUGUGUAUAUAUAUGCGACUUAGCCGGAGCUGCAUUUAUGUAGCAUCAUGGGCAUCAUCGUCCGCCAAAAUUGGGAAAGGAAAAAGAAAGGAAGAUAGAAAGAUAAAGAGGCGAGACUGGAUAUGACCAGUCCACUUCCGACCUGCUUCAGGAGGGCAACAACAUACGUAGCCUGAACAGGACAUCUCGCAUUGACCGCAUACACCUAAUUAGGAUACCUAUUAUUUCCUGAAGUGUGGCUGUCGCGAUAUGGCUGUGCAAUAACAAGCACAUCACGGCGAAACUAAACAGCGGCAAAAUUAUGAAAGGAACGCCAACACACGGAGAUGCACAUGAAAGCAUAUAAACAGACGCACAUACAGUUGCACACAUACACGCCUAAACACACAUCCGCAUGUAACAUGUCGGGGAAGCCCCAACCCCAGCCCGGGCCCAAGGUCCCAAAGGCACACACCGCAGACGGGGACCCUACGUUACCCAUAAACCAAGUUACUGUCCUUACACACUUCCCUGUCCAUAUUUCUCAAAGCACACCACCGCGACAUACGCUUCCUUUCUUGAGAGCAACUUGACCAGAGAGGAUCGCAAACCACACAAAACACCAUCAUCGUCCCCAAGCUCCCUGUGUAUAACAAGAAAAAUAGGUACAAAUGUAACAUAUAUAAACCUGCUUGUCGGCUAACUGGAAAAUAGACAAGCAUCCAUGAAGACGCCCCGGCACACUGUCCCCCAUUAGGGGAACCAAAGUCAUCGUCCUUGAGGACGCGACAAAAACUGUGGGCAAAGUAGGGCCUUUUGGCAAUGGCGGAACCCGGAUUCAUUUCCUCUUCUCCCCCCCCAUUCCCCGGAGGAUAGGGGUGGAAUUGGACCUUCCAAGAUAGGUCCUUGAUAACCACCACUACAACCAACACAACCGCCAUCAUCAUCACCACUGCCGCAAUGCACCAAGCAUCAUACCCUGCUUCUCCUUCUCCUUCGGCCGCAUAUUCAGCAACUUCUGAUGCCAAAUUCUCAUCCAGCUUUUACCCACCAAGCUCAGAAUCCUCAGAUCCUCUCACGAUCCUCAGGCUUCUUGGACCUUCCACAACUACAAUCGCCAGAGGUAAACAGCGCUCUCUCUCCCCCUCUUCCCCCCCCCCCCACAUACACACGCACACGCACAGUCACACACGGGACAAUGAAAGCAAAAGAACAACAUUCUCAUAAUGCAUUGCAGGACAUCCCCUAAGAACGGCCUUGCUUGUGAAGACGAGUGGAGUCCGUCCGUGCUGCUGUUAAGCCGUUCCUUCUAGCAGCAGCAACAAUGAAGCAAUCCAGAGGGUCAAAGAAGCGUUACGGUGUUCGUACUCGGCAUAAGUGGACGGCUAGUGGCCGUCGCCGCCGCCGCCGUCGCCGCCAGCUGCCGUCGAGUUUCCUUCCGUACCCAUCCCGUCAAGGCACUGUCGUGCUGCCGGUAAAGCUUUGACGCCGCCAACGCAAUCUUACGGUCGAGCUCUAGGAGAUCAUUCGCCGUCGCGUCGAUGCCGUCGUACCGCAGCCGUACACUGCGCCCUAGUGCCGUACCUAGCUGCGUCAACAGCGCCGCCAUGUCGGCGGGCGCCACCGGUGCCGCCAGCGCCUGCGCGAAAGCGGCCUCCUCGUCCGCUGUCUCGUCCUCGUCGCUGUCGUCGUCGUCGAUCAGCGAACGGCCUGAGCUCAUUUCGAUCAGUGCACGACCGGCCCAGUCGCUGACCGUCGACGAAGAUCGGGAGAUAUGUCGAUACGUCUCCAACGGGGCCGCUGUGAUGACAUCAUCAGGCCCCGGAGCGGCAACUCUGACAGAACUCGACGGCGGCGGCGGCGCCGCCGCCGCCGAUGCCGUGACCGCAGUAGCACCUGUUGCUGCCACAGCAGCAGCAACAGCAGCAUCUGGAGCAGCAUCCACAACAGGCGCGGUGCCAGCGGCAGUAGCACCCUGACUGUCCGUUGAAAGGAAAUUCGACAUAGACACAGACACAGACGUGGCGGCUGUUGCAGCGGCCGGCACAGAAGGGGAGCCCAGAGCGGCCUGUACGGCAGACUCCAAGGGAUCCGAGCCGCGCUCUUGGCUUGCCGUCAGGAAGUCGAACGACCCAUGGGUCAUUCCCAACGCCGACAUAGAUAAUGAGGAUGAAGGCUCGGGAUCGUACACAGCGUAUGCCUGGACAUCAAAGGGCGUGUGCAUGUACGGCAGGCCAUAGGCUGAUGCAUAAAUGUCGUACUCCAUGCCCCACAACGAAUUCGGUCGGGCGACGGACGCAUCGCCGUUAGAACGCUUGCGGUUGUCCUGGUCGCCGUCUUCAAAGGCAUAGCUAUAACUGCAGCUACGGCUCAAGUGGGCAGCAUUGCCAGGACCAGGGGUAGGGGCUGCUGCCGUCGCCGCCGCCGCCGCCGCCCCCGCCGUCAGUUGGCCGGAAGCGGCCGUUGAGGGAGACGUCUCCCGCUCGCUUCCGCUGAUGCUGCCGGGCGACAUCACAACAUCGAAGGCUGAGCUAUGGCCUGUCGUAGCCAUCACGUCAAGGUCGGCAACAUAGUGACUUUGGAUGUUGGAAGACGUCGCCUUGCCGCUGCUUUCACCGCCAGCGGCGGCGGCAUAAGUGUCCGAAAGACUGGCGGCGGCAACGGCGCCGCUGCUACUGAUGCGCGCCAAUGUUGGCGUCAUGUCCAUGAGCCUGGAGAAAUUCGAGCUGAGACUGAGCUUGACGGGCGGACUCUUAGACCGGGACGGCAGUACAAUGCUCAUCGUCGGCUCGCCGGCGGCGGAAGUCGGCGACAGCUGGAAUGACGUCAGCGACUUGGCGGCGGUAAAAGCCGUCGGGUCUGCUGCCGCCAGCGGCGCCGCCGCCGCCAACGACGACGAAGGCACCCGUACAACGCUGAUGGCGGCCUGGAUUAGCGUGGAGAUUUUACUGCUGACAGUCGCUGGCGGCUCCAAUACCGUCAUGGACAGCUCGCCGCCGGCGGUAAUCGUUGAUGCUAGGGCCCCAGCUUCUGCAGGCUUCGUGGUGACGGCUGUAGCUGUUGCGGAUCCAACGCCAGCGAAGGAAUCUUGCGUAGGCUGCGCCGCCGCCACCGCUGCCGCUGCCGGGGCAGCCUGAGCAGCGGCGACGACAGUGAUGGCGCCUUUCGGCAGUGCCGCUGCCGCUGUCAUCUCAGCAUCUGGAGAUGCAGCAGCGGCUGUAGCGGCCUUCGUCAAUCGUUCAGCGACGGCCGCAGCAGCUGCAGCUGGAGCGUUGAGAGGCUGAGCCCGGAAGUUCCCAUAGCCCUUGCACCACGAGAUGCCUACGUCGUACCGUUGUACGGGCAGACCCUGACAAGUGGUUGGGACCUCAACGACCAUGUUGCUGCCCUCCUGCCAUCGCUGCUCUUUUCCUUGCUCGUCCACGACCACAUACUUGCACUCCACUGUGGACCUGCAAAACGUACGAAUGGACGGCUCGUACGCUUCAGUCCAUAUCGUGCGUGAAAACCGUGACGUGCGGUAUGCUGUAACUUGCGAAAAAUUGAAAAUGUAAGAUCCAAUGGAUCCAUUGAGCGCUGCAUGGCCGGCAGUCGAGAACGUUGUAACGAAGGAGUGGCACUGAAUUGCAGUACAGUCACUCUGCGAAUCCGCAGUAACUUUGCGUGCGAGCAUAUGUUCGCAGUCUACAGAGUGUGAAGAAUUGGAAAAGAUUGAAUCGGUAUCGUUGAUGGUGUGGCAUCAUGUUGAGGUUGAGUGCAUAGCUAGCUGCGGUAGGGGCGCAGCUCCCAAACUCAACGCCGUGGUAACGCAGCUUGUACGUCAGAGGGUUUGCCAGCAUACAAUAAAAGAGACCCGUAGAGUUUAGUGGAAAGCACGAGCUUCGUUAUAUAUGAUGUCGCAUGUCGCUGGACGAGACAACAUAUGGCUGCGUCAACCCCAGGAUGUGAAUGCUCACCCCGCUGGAAGCAUCACGUUGCAUGACCAUGUGUCGCCGCGGCUCCAAUGCAUGCGUUGUCCCCUUUUAGCCGACCAAUUGCCCAAUGGCGCCGUAUCGCCGACCAGGGUUAAGCUUUGGCCAUAUGGGCACUUAUACUCCACCUUGAACGAAACAUUGACUGCAAGAGUGGUAAAACUUGAACACAUGUUAAGAUCUACAUGCAGAAACGUCGCAUAGGACUGCUUAUAUUAAAUGCGAAGCCAAACAGCUAUUUGCUGAGCUAGAUCCCACGUACCCAUCUGAGGCCGUUGGUCUACAAUAUGAGCUUGCGACAUGUUUACUGCUCCUUGCAACCGACGUGACAAGCAGCGACACCGGACCUGCGCCGAAAACAAUUGGGCAUGAGCGAGGCGUAUUGAAGGACAAGACGGCGAAUCCACAGCUCCAAAUUUCGCACCUGUUGUGUCACAGGACGGCGCCAUGUUUGAAGAGAGGGCUGCAUUCCGUAGCGAUGUCAGUGUACUAUGGCUCGACCUUGUCAAAACGCGGUCGAGUUAUCGAGAUAAUACUCGAGGGCGAUAAUCCGUAGUAACCCGUUUGUCUUAAUUUUCAGUGCAUAUGCGCCCGCGUAAUGAUGACGCGCCGCAAUCUAUGUCAAGACCCUCCAACAAAGUCGUAAGCAAAACCUACCACCAACUCUGCAUCGCUUGCUGAUAAAAAUCCCUGCCUCCAACAUAAUCAAAGAUCCUUAAAUUAUCGAAACACAAAUGGAGCAAACACGCUAGAUGUUGCAUCAGAAGGGUAAGCUAGUCGUACUAAUCAUCUUGCGUACGGGAUAAUAUCCUGCGCUGUAAUCCGUUGUCUGCCGGUUACUUUGUGCAACGAAGGUUACGUGACUAGCCAAUUACAUAGAGAGUUAGAUUCGCAGAUAAUGGUGACAGCUGCAAGCCUGUCACCAAAUUCCAGUGAACUGUUUCCUUCCUUAGGCGUGCCCGAAAAUACAUGUCUAUCACUGAUUGCAGCAAUGAAAGACAUGUAACUUCCUGCAUUAUCUAGUCAACAGCCAGAUCUUGUAUGGCAGCAGGUUUCCUGCUGGCUACUGGCAGCGAUUGGGCUGAUAAAGUCUGUAAAUCGCAUCAACAUAUGCAUAUCGCCUUCCACGCUUCGUCUGGUCGCUGCCAUUGCAUCUCUUGGUCAUGUGUUCUCGGCGUUUGCAUGCCAAAUACCAGCGCCACGAAACAUGUCUCGCAACACAAUGACAUCAGGCGUCUUUAACUUUAAAGAACGUUGAAGAAUACAAAAAAUGUUAUGGUAUGAACAAUUAAAGGCUAUCAUGACAUACCUAGGCCUUCUGCAACCCGCAGGGCACCCUCGCUUACACGUGCGAGAACCGUGACGCAUGAUUUCAAUACGGUUCUCACCUUCAACCGCCUUUACUGCGCCGCAUAGCAGCGAUUACAUGUCGAAAGGAGCGGGUUCGAAUUGGUUGGGGGACAAUUUGGAACUGGCAGUUCUGUCCGCGUACUUGACGUGGCCACGUCCUUGGUUAGUAAUUCUAGAAAAUGAGGGGUGCUGCAGCUAUAUCAUAGGCUAGGGCAGCAUCCACUCCAAUCCAUCACGUGCUCAGACUCUUCCCCCCUCAACCUCCUCAGCGAGCGGCACCUUGGCCCCUUACUUGUCCUCCCAACAGAGGGAUGCAAAGAUUAGGGAUUGGGUUCGGAUACCGGUCAGGCAGGAAUUAGGAUUCGGAAAGAGGGGCAGGAUUAGGAUACAAAGUUGAGGCCAGGUUUAGGAUGAGGACCCGAGUGUAGGAUUAGGAUUGGGACCCGGCCCCAGGAUUAGGAUUGCGACCCGGCCCCAGGAUUAGGAUUGGGACCCGGCCCCAGGAUUAGGAUAAAUACCUAUAUCCAGGAUUACGAUUAGUACACUGGUAUUGGAUUAAGAUUAGGGCACAGCAAUGAUUGGCAAUUAGGAUACUGCUAUGUAGGAGGACUAUCGAAUCCAGCUACCGUUCAGACUGGGUUAGAAAGUUGCUAUGCCAUGUCGUACUAAGUGAUGUCGCGUGUGAUGUGUGCGCUCAUGCUCCUGAUCACGGAAGCCAUACGCUCCAGGAGCUCCAGCCAUGCUUCUGACAGGCGUCUGCUGAUCAGUAAAAUUGCGAUAAAACAAUCUGCAAAAAUUGACGAGGACGGUCUAGACACGAAGACGUAUGGAUGGCGUCCGCGCCUCCUCCGGAACCAACUGCACGACAUUGAGGGACGCUUCCAAAGGCAGUCGCGUGGUAUGCGUCCUCAUAAAAUAUUAGUAGGUUAAAUGUCGGAAACUUUAUGCAUAAUUUUUCUACUAUGCGCACGUGCUAACAUUACUGGCUCAACAUCAUAGGUCGACAUCGUGUUACGAGGCAUGUCCUGCUUAUUGGGUUGUACUUCAUAGCUGCGAAAGCCCCUGGUAUUUAUGGCAUUGAAGGUCUCUGCUUCGCUGCCAGUGUGGAUGGUGAUCCAUUGGAUCACCUCUCUCAGCUACUCCUUCCAAGGACGUGUUUGCUCUGCCUGCUUGUUGUUAAUUCUCGGGCUUCGGGCUUUGUAUGAAUGAGCCUAUUGUUAUGCGCACAUGUUAACAUCUUUUGGCUCAAUAACAUACGUAGACAUCGUUUCACGAGGCAUGUCCUGCUUAUUGGGUUGUGCUUCAUAGCUGUGAAAGCCCCUGGUAUUUAUGGCAUGGAAGAUCUCUGGCGCGCUGCAAGUGUGGAUGGUGUUCCAUUGGAUCACCUCUCUCAACGUGCAUUUUAUCUUCGACCGCUCCACAGUCGCAUCUGCAGAUGCUUGAAUCAAGGUGUUUAGACGCAGUAUCCCUGCUUAAACUCUUCGUAUGGCACGAUACUGCAGAAAUGGCCAGGAUGCGCAGCUUCGUCAGCCUGCUUUUUAUGUUUCAAGUUUUGCUUCGUUUGAUCAUAUACCCGCUCUAAAUUUGCAUUGGUUUUUUUUACGCACUUGCAUUGCCAUCGCCUCGCGCCUGUAUGGCACUGUGUGUUUCCGUGUCACGGCACCCUUCUAUUAGGAUUGGGGCCCCCAGCCAAAAUUAAGGUUUUAACGAAUCAGUCACACGAUAACAGCUCCACGAUAAGGAUUACGACACGACCAAGAGGAUUAGGAUUGCGACCCCAGCCUCAGAGUUAGGAUUGCGGUCCGGCCCCAAGAUUAGGAUUGGGCCCCCCCCCCCAGGAUUGGGAUUGGGACCCGGCCACAGGAUUAGGAUUAGAACCCCGCCCCUAGGAUAUGGAUUAGACCACCACUCUGGAUUAGGAAUUAGAAGUGGUCCACCCCUGUUGAGAUUAGAGGAUUGCUGACCGGUACCCACCCCCUGGAUUAGGACCACUUUGCAUCCCUCUGCUCCCAACUACUCAAUCCAAGCGUGCCACCUCCCGUUCCGACGCAGCUGUAAUUCUGCGGUCGAAAUGACAAUCACAUGCAUAACACUGGACUAUGCUCGCACACUUUAUAUGUAUCGGGCCAUUAAGGUAGCAGGUUGGCGAAUGCCUUCCCUGUCUUGUUACUUCCCUGUCUUCACCUUCAGUUUUGGGCCUAUUAUGGGAGUGGACUUCAAGUCGAGACCCAGAUCGCGGGCCAGCCUGAAGGCAAGGGGGUCGAACUAAGGGCCAUUUCAAUAUAUGGAUGUUCAAUACAUUGCCGGACUCAAAGUGAAGUAGCAUCGAAAGUGCCCCACUCAACGACAAUGUCUUGUGCAAAAUUGUUUGGACUCGCAUGACGCAGAUUCGAAUCGGACUCAGGAUCGACUUGGAACCGACCUUUCGGCAAACGGAAGGCCACUUAUGAUGUGUGGGACGGGGGACCAUAUCUUCACCCGUGGCAGCUACCCUGCGAAACGCUGCCUUCCCCGGUAUUUCGGGGCACCCUCAUCCAGUCACCCUAGCCAACUUCUCUGUGGAUCGCUCAGGUUCCGCACCCACCACCAACAUCCAACGGAAUCUGCCGGAUUGACGACGGCCCAGCUCCAUUCCUGGUCGGCUCACAGGUUAACUUUAUCCCAGGUCACCACUGUCCAUCAGCUAGGGGCACUUCCCUGACAGGUCUCUAAAUGGUCCGUGCCUUACCAGUAGUACCUAACCUAAGCAUGAAGUCACAUUGCAAAAGCAGGCGCCUGGUUAAAAUAUUGGUAGGUAUUCUAGAUUUCGCAGAGGCUGCACAAACAAGCCUAGGUUACGGGAUUGUACAACACUUUGGUCUAGAGGGUAGGACAAACUGUCGGGCAGAGCAAUUCUUUUGACUGCCCCGGUCGCACAAUUCCCGUGCUUCCCUAAUUCGACACCCGGACAGGCCAAUUCAGGCGCAGCACAGCCCAAUUCCGAGGCUCCACAGCGCAAUUCGAAUACCUCCGGCGGGUCCGCCAGAACAAUUCCCGACCUCGGCAGACCAAUUCUUUUGUCAGGAAUGAAAUCCAGGCUAAUUCUGCGACAGAGCUCUUCCCUAAUUCCAGCCCGAAUCCUACCCUCCUUUUGGUCAGACUUCCAUGCUGACGCGGCAGUUCCUAACAUCGGAGCUCACCUCGUGAAGUGUUAAAUACAUCUGCUUUACCACCCUUGAUAGCUGCGAAGAUGCAAAAGUUCAUCUGUGCGUUACAUUACAUAACGGUGUUUGGUGUUCCUUCGUCUCCACACCAUUCUGUAUUCUCACAUGCUCACUUCAUCGCCCAAUCCUUCCUUCAACAUCACCACUUACACUCCGCCGACCUUCCAGCAUUGAACAUGGUCGUUUCGCGUUCGUUUGGCCAACGGACACCUCGCCCUCUGCUCCUCCACCCUUCCCAACGCCCCCCUGGCCAUCCAAUCACACCAUGAGCACACCACCUUCUUCACCCUCGACCUCGAGCUCUUCAUCGUCGUCGCCAUCGUCUUCGUCGUCAUCGCGCCAUCGCGCCAUCUCUUCGUCCUCUUCACCUCGUCUUCGUCCGCCUCAACAACUAUGUCUUUCGAGAACGAGUUCCCGCUUCCGCCUCUUAACUUCCCUGCCGCCACCGACCCCGUGCCCGCGGCGCUCCCGCACCCACCACGUCCGAAGCCGCUCUUCCCUGGGAUCGAAUCUCAGAAAUCGCCGCCCAUGCUGCCAUCCGAACCUUACAGAAUCGAUCGUCAACGGCCAACCAAACCAACCAGCGCGGACGAUGGCGACAGCAGGCUCACUGUCUUCGUGCAAGCCGCAUACCGUGAAGUGCAGGCGUAGGCGGUUGGCCCACGAGGCGAGGUCGGCGUCCUUGGCAGUGGGGUUGAAGCGGGGAGCCGGUCCGCGCUGGUUGGUUUGGUUGGCCGGUGACGAUCGAUUCUGUAAGGUUCGGAUGGCAGCAUGGGCGGCGAUUUCUGAGAUUCGAUCCCAGGGAAGAGCGGCUUCGGACGUGGUGGGUGCGGGGGGCGCCGCGGGCACGGGGUCGGUGGCGGCAGGGAAGUUAAGAGGCGGAAGCGGGAACUCGUUCUCGACAUAGUUGUUGAGGCGGACGAAGAUGAGGUGAAGAGGACGAAGACGAAGUGAUGAGGGCAAAGACGAAGUGAAGAGGAUGCAGACGAUGGCACGAUAGCGCGAUGACGACGAAGACGAUGGCGACGACGAUGAAGAGCUCGGCGAGGAGGAUCACCUAGGCUCUGAUACCAAUUGAAAGAGAACCAGGCCGCUCCUAACAACUGGGAAGCGUAAGCUGACUUUACUGUCCGAUAUACUUGCGUAGGCACAGAGGAUCGGAGUUUCAACCUCAACCUAGGCUUACUAUGUUCAUAAUUUGGUCCGCUUACAUAGUCAUAUUAGCGCGCCACAACCUCACACAUCGUACACACAAGUUCAAGCUCCACUAGCUCCGAAGUUACGACAUGGUCUCAGAAGCGCGCGCUAACGAACUGCAAGACAUUACACAUGCGUUGCAGGUAUUAAAAUCUGUCCUAUGCCCUCUGCCGUGAGUUGCAAGGUACUGCUGGCGUGUAUACCAUUCAUUGGCGACUUUCGUAUUCCCCGAUCGUUGGCCUCUACAAACCUCUGACAUGACAUGUCAGAAAUGUCAUGACCGUUGAUGACCGUUGAUUGUCACGACCGUUUCUCGCAAAGAUACCAAACUCGCGAAAAAGUGUGAUCCCGGCCGGGGCCUGACGGCCAUGCCAAGCUGUGACAUCAAAUGACACUUGUAACCUUGAGCUGUGCGGCGUCUGUCUGCACCAUUUUCAGCCAUGGUACACGUCUUCAAAAAAACACUUAGGGUGCCUGGUGACGGGCACGCCAACCGCCAUCCUCGCAGCUUCAAAUCCAACUUCAACAGCACCAGCAGACGGCGGCGACGGAGCGAGUGUUCCGGUCGCUGGAGCAGGUGCCAACCUCUCUAGCUUGCUGGACGCAGUGGGCCGGACGCAGUGGGCCGGACCAAGUGACGCUUCCUUGCCCCCUGGAUUACUAUAAACACCCAUUCUCCCCACGUGUGUGCCGCCACCCCAACAGUACAACCACAAACCAAUGGCCCCCCAUCCCUGCAUCUCCAAGCCAAGUCCGUCUGUUGGCCCAUGUGAACAUAGCUGUUGGCCCGUGUCGGUUGUACCCCUGCUACCCGGUACCCAGAGUGUGAUGCUGAAGGAGGGAAACACAUCCGCAUCGACUCAUGCAGCUGACAGUGUGAGGGCCGCAGUAACAUACUUGAAUUGUAGUUUUUAAAGCCCACAAACCAAAUUCAAGCAGCAAGAAAACAAUUUUUGGAUAUUCUUAAAAUGAUGGCCUUGUCAAGCGGAAAAAUAGCGGGCGAGUUGACAAAAAUAACGAAUGGGAAUCAUAAAAAAAUUAUGGGUAGAAAUUUUUUUGAAUAAAGCCCUAUGUGUGCCUUAUUCCCAACCCCUGCAACCUCCAAACAUCUUGCACACACACGUUCUUGCUACAUCGUGGACACAGCAAACCCCAGUGCACCGCUACUUAUUUUAGAGGUUCAUAGCAGCAGUUUGGCUUACGGAGUUUUCAAAAAACCUAGACGCAGUCCUUGCCGAACAUGUCUCCUUGAGAGAUCAAUGGUCUACCACAGUUCACCCGCAACCCCAGAGCAUCCAAACCCCCGCUCCACCAUGCAGACCCUUAUGGUGCUGACCACCCUGCGCAGAUCUCGACGCCACCGCCUUGCGAUUUGCUGUCUGACUUCACCACAACAGCAUCACACGCAACAGCCGCUGCCGCCGCUCCUCAUGGUGUCGCUUUUGUGCCUCCCACACUGCACCACCCUCAUGUCUCUCUCCUCCUGUCCUCACCCCUCCGCCACCACCACCUCAUCCCACUCCCGGGGAGCCCUCCUCCACUGCAGGACCGGCAGCAUGCAGCCUCGUUGUACGGCGGCCUUGGUAAGCGGCCUGCCAGAGCCCCAUGGGAGAUGCACUGGUGACACAGGUAGCACAGUACGAGGAAGCCACAGUUGGUGGCCGGCAAGAGGUAAGCGCCAUUACAAUGCACGCCAAGCCCCUGCACGACCAAUAACAGGGUUGGCGCUUGUUAACAUGAUGCUUCUGGGGAGGAGCAUGUGCUCUGGAGUUCAUCCCAGAAAUCGCCUGCUUCCACCCUCUAGCAGUGCAACCCCGCAGUAGCAUGCCCAGCUGGCCUACGGAUUACACCGCAUGCAAGCUUCUGGGAAGGGUGGGUGCACUAGUCAGGUUGGUACGAGUCUUGGACAUGGCCGCCUCCCGUCCGAUGUCACCCCCUCGGCGACCAACCUCAUGCCACCUCGCUUUCCUUUGCACUCCCACACUAGCGUGACUUCCCUGGUCUUCAGCCGCCCCCACUGCUGUCCUUCUCUCUCACCACCUUCAGCCUCCUUUGUCCCAAACCGCUAUCGUAGCCUUGUUCCACUAAUCUGAUAGCAUUGAACUGGUAGGAUUGGCAUCUUAGCAGCCUUUGUGCCUGAUUCAGCUAUGCUAAGAUGCAAAAAAUUCAAGGGGUGCUGGUUCCCCCAAACCCCAAAGCUCCCACCUCAGUUGUUGACCUUCUGCAGGUACAUCGGGAAAGCGGUCUUGAUAGCGUCGUACAUCUCGAUGACGCGGCACUCCCAGUUUAGCAGCUGUUUGACAGCCGGCGUAAUCAUGUGGCUGACUUCCUCCACCUCGUCAUUCAGUUCCUCGAGCGUAGAGGGGUGGACCGACGCGUUCCGCCGCGUAAUGAGAGCAUCUGCUUUUCUGGCAAACGUCUCUGCCGAAACGCCGAAAGCUGUAGACGCAGCGUUGAGUCCAGCGUCUUCAGUGCCCAGCUGCUGAAACCGCUUGCUCUCAGACUUCUUGAAACCCUUCAGCGCUGCGUCUAGGACCUGCGCCGCAGCGUUCUGCACUCUGGGCUUGCAGCUGUAGGCGAAGGCGCGCUCCAGUUUCUGAAACCGUGCCUCCAGGCCAUCACUACUGUUACUAGUCACAGUGACGAUCACGUCCCGCUCGUCAACUCUGACUUUCAUAGGGGGUGUUUCCUCUUGGAUUAAAAGUCGCAGAUCAAGGCUUAAUCAAUCUCAUAUGGAAAUAUCGGCGGAUUAGGACGGAUUAAGCGGAUUAAGGUUGGCGCGAUUAGUUAGAGAUUUCCGUCCGUAUUCGCGCGCUUCGCGGAUAAAAUAUAGAUUAAUAUGCUAUAGUGCUAUGCAAUCUUAUCGCAAAAGUGGUACUUAACGAGGUUAAUCGUUUCCUGUAGUUGUAGAGGCUUUCUCAUGAAUAUAUCGGAGUAUACAUGGUUAGGCACUACUGGUAACGCGCGACCAUUGCCCCCGGGAGAUCCCGGGAUCAACACCUGCCAGGGUCGUAAGGAAGGUACUGCGCCCCUGGGUGAUGGACGGUGUUGACCUGGGAUAAAGUUAACCUGCGAGCCGAUCAGGAAUGGAGUUGGGCCGCUGUAGACCCGGCAGAUUCCGUUGGAUGCUGGUGGUGGGUGCGGAACCUGAGCAAUCCACUGAGAAGUUGACUUGGGUGACUGGAUGAGGGUGCCCCGAAAUACCGGGGAAGGCAGGGUUUCGCAGGGUAGCUGCCACGGAUGAAGAUAUACCCCCUUUUACACACACACACACACACACACACACACACACACACACACACACACACACACACACACACACACACACACACAUACAGCCACAACAACAACCACAAUCACAACCGGUUGUAUUGUCUUUGGGGGAACCCCCAACUCUGCUUCCCCGCCCUUGUGUGACGGUGUACGGCGUGGUCGUUGCUGUACUUGGCAGCGUUGACUCUUCCUGCGUGGCGUGCAAUCCUCGGACUGUGUUACAGACCCUUGAUGGUAAGACCGCCGGGGGCCGUGAUGUGGAGCUUGAUGGUGGCUUUGGUUCGUGGGUCGCGGUAGUGUGUUCCAACCUAGGGCUCCCUGGGUGCGCCUCGUGCCUUAAGUCGUUGGCGGCAAUCUGCUGUAGGCUUGGAAUAAGCGGCCCUCGGGUACUUGCACCUGCCCGGCUCCCGCAGGGAGUCUGUGUGCAUAUUCUGCUAGCGUUGGGGGUUGGUUCCUUGUCCUUCUUCUCGUCCAUGCACCCUGUCUGAGAGUCCGGGUGUAUGCUGUGCCCUUUCUUUUGUUUAAAGGCAUGGAAAUUUGUGGAUUUGGGUUGCUUGCGAAUGCACGGCUCCCUGUUUUUUGCUUUGGAGUACGUGCCCUGGGGAAGGUUUUUUUUGUCAACCGCUAGCAUGUACGGCUAGUGAUGUGGUUUGGUUCCCUGUUCCCCUUGUAAUGAUUGCAUCCUAAAGAAGAACUAGAUAACUUAGUCUUAUCGACAUCAACGCUGACGCAGAUAAGUAGCCACAUAACUGUAACUGAUCCUUUCCGAUUUGUUCCGCAUGACUAAGCGAAAGACCGGCGAUUUUACCCACUGUUCGUGCCCACUUGAAACAUUUCAGCAGCAGCUGCCAGAGACGCACAAGUGAUAGGGAAUCGCGCCAACGCCAUUGCGGCCAAAUCCGGCCGCUAGAAGAAUGAAAAGAGCUAAAGCCGUACAAUGGAUUUGAACAGCAGCAGUGACAACGAUUCCCAAUGCUCCAAAAUUGUCAAUUUCCUUAGCAAAGUGCAGGAGAGGUAUUGUAAGCAUUUUUAUGGCAUUUGUAUUGUUAUCUCCUAGGCAUGCUUGCAGCGGAAUUUAAGUGCCUUCCUUAAGGAGUGCCCCGGGGGUCGUUUCUGGUUCACGCGCGCAUACAUUUGAGGUAUACUUUCCUCCAUGACGAAUGAAAGCCACCACUAGUAUUUAUUUUAAAGAUAGAGCAGAUGCCAGGGGAAUGUCGUCGGUGGAUUAACGCAGCACAGGAAUCCAGCGCACCCCUGAUCCGUUUACUGGUGUCAUCCAAGGCUGGAAGCCUCUCCACAGAAAAUGACAGUUUUGGUGAAGAAGACACCGCCGAGAGACUUGCAGCCCUGCAGCUCACCGCAUCUUUGUGCGGUCUCCAGCCCGGCGGCCCUUCAAUUAGCUGGCCUACUGCGACCUAUGAACAGGUCACCGUUGUCGUUUGUGGGAAGGUAAGUUGCUGUCAUGUGGACAUCCUCUUUUUUGGCUUUAACUCGCGACAUAUGCUGGACAAAGCUUCCAGGUUUGCUUCAGUCUUGAAAAAAACAUGCCGCCGUCCUGCACAGCUUCGUUCGCAUCUGAUUUUGUAAUUGUUCAUGCGCGCUGCCGGUCUUUCUGUCCCGCAGGCCAACGCUGCUACUGGCUAUAAGGCGCUUGCAGCAAAUGCCGCAAAGCUGGGAUUCAAACUUGGAGACGUCAAAUCGACCGUGGUUGUGGCACCCAUGCAAUACGAGGACCUGCAGAGGACAGCAGAGGCAGCCGUGAGCCAGGCGCUGCGUUUGCAAGGCUGGAACAGGCGAGUACAGUACACAUCCGCGAACUGAAAUAUGUAUUUCCUGCAACAAGCAGAGAAAAAAAAGCGAUCAUCUUUGUUGGUCCUAGAUCAUCCUUGUACGUGAAUUGCAUAUGUAGGUAUUUAUCGUUCCCGUCCGUCGCUUUCUCCUACAUCGUUUCAAAAUAAACGGCAUAAGUUUGACCCAAGUUUGAAACCCGAGAGACCGAAUCGCACAAGCUAUCCUACCGUGCCUUUCGUUUGCACCUUCACCUUUCAAAGCACAUCCCUGGUCUGUCACAUUAAUUGAAAAGCCUGGGACAAGUCAAGGCCACCCCGUCCACCAGAUCUGGGUCGCUCAUUAUUUUCUCAAAGAUCUUAUGUCUUAUGGAAACUGGAUCUGAUUUGGAUUUGGCUUCGAUCUAGAAACUGGAAUUGAUUUGGGUCGAUUUGGGUCGGCAUCCGGGUUGGGAGUCGUUAGCCGCGUCGGCACUCGAUGUACGAACAUGCAGUACGGCAACCAUUUUGGCUCUGCGGGAACCUCUUGACAUUUAGACUAGCAAUUCCUACUCGUAUCCACUACCAACACUAACGCUGCUAGAUCCCACGCAUCCAUACUAUAACCCACCAUGCACACAUGCAUACGGCGAUGUUCCCACCCACAAUAUCACUUGUCCAGGAUGAAAUAGCCAGUCAACUUUAAAAACACUGGUCGACAAGCUCCAAAACCAGCUGCUCUUUUUGAGAACCCUAGGCAGGUAACGUUACUCACUGAGGAUCCACCGGCACGUAACCACAAAGCAACGGCUAAAACUCUAAAACCCUAAAACCUACCCGCACAUGCAAUGUCCGCACACGUGUGGUCGUCCCGACAUCUCGCGACUCCUCCUCUUCUGGGGAUCUGUGGGUCUCACAGACUGGGCCCUAUGUGGGUCCGUUGUGACUUCUUGACCGCGACACCGGGCCGUACGGCAAUCGUCCCAGCUACGGAGCUAUCCGUACAGCCCGUCUCUCCCUCCACUGCGACUAUGGCUCUGGAUUUCCGGAUUCCGGGUGAGUGUGGAUGGACGUUGGUUACCUCGGUCACGGGGUGCCAUUCAACCCCGGGUCGCUGAAUGUCCUCUGCUCACCUUCCUUCCCUUCUUCGAAUUGACCAGCCUUCCUGUUGGCGCUGGGUCCUACGUGCUGUGUGGGGGUGGGUGUUUUCUUGCAGUACAUUGCAGUAUUUCUACCCCCGCCCCGGCCCGGCCCCAGCUGACCCCAUGGGGGGCCGGCCGCCCUCUCCCGGUGUUACCGUCGCCUCUGUAUUUCGCCAACCCUACUCUCCACCCCUUUCCCCCUUACCAGCUUCACUCGUUCGUGGUUCGUCUCCCCCCCCUACCACACACACACACACACCCCAACUGUGGCUGCGGGGCCCCAGGCAUGUACAAGUUCUGUCCUCUGUGGCCGCUUGGGCCGCUCGGGCGGCUGCAACAACAAAAACAGCCCACGGCCGCGGCACCGCGAACGUCCGCUGCCACUUCUUCUGGUACUGCCGGUGCGGACGCUGCGGUGGCGGCGGCGGCGGGCCCGGCGGCGGCGGAGGAGCCGGCGGCGGAGGAGAAGAUGACGGAGGCGGCUCGGGAGGUCGCCCUGGCAGGGUUGUUUGCGGACCGGGUCGCGAUGCGGCGGACCGUGGCGCGACUCUCAGAUAGCCGGGUCAUCGUUGUGGGUCCCGGCGUGUGAGUUUUGCCGUACUGUACGGGAAAGGCUGCAUCCUCCGAGUCGACUUGUUGUUUUAUAUUGUAGUUUUAAUCUGAUCGAGUAUUUUGGUCAGUAUUGGUCAGUUGCUGUGUGGAACGAUGUUAGCUGUAAAACCCUGUAUAUACCCUAUAUAUUAUAUAUAUAUAUAAUAUGUUAUAUAAUAUAUUUAUAUUUAAUAUAUGUAAUAUGUUAUAUAAUAUAUUUAUAUGAAUAACAAACGCCCACAUCCUGGCCCCCCUAAUCGGGUACUGGUAACCUUCUUUUACGGUUUCGUCGUCUGUACUGUCCUGCGGCUCUCGCACAGCCCCAUUUCUAGUUCCACAUCCCUCUUCCCUCCCCUCUUCCCCUCUUUUGUACGGCACCCUUCGCUCCGACCUGCGGGACAGCGUCGCCUGCGUUGUGGGCCUAAAGCCCCUGCCAGCCAACCCCGCUGCGGUACAGCGCCUCCGAAACACCUGGCUAGCACGCUUUGGCCUGCGGCUGCCGGACGGCCUCGGGGGGUUUAUAGCGGAGGUGGCCGCCAGCCCGGAGGCCGACCCCGACGACGCACUGGACGUGCCCGGGUGCUGCUUGUGGACCGCCGGCGCCGCAACCUCGGGCGCCGCGGCCGCCGCAGCUGGGGGGCUUACGCCGGUUCCGCCGGCUCAGGCGACAUGCAGUCAUGAGCAUGUGGUGGAGCAGCUGGUGAAGGAUUUGGUCCUUGCGUCCUGUACCUGUGGCGGCGCCGGCGGCGGCUUUCCGUUUUGGGGAGCUGCCGGCCUUGCGGCACGGAUGGAGGCGCCGCCGGGUGCUGAAGCGGCGCUGGCGAAGCGCCAGGCCGUAGGUCCGCCGGUGGCGGCGGCGGCGGCGGCGGUGGUGGCGGGGACUGCAGCAGCAGGGACGGCGGCGUCCGCCCAGCCGCCGCCAGUGGAGGAGAAUACCGGGUGGACGGCGGCGGUGGAAGUGGUAGCGUCGGGCUUCCGGGCGGCAGUCUCCUUAGCACCGGCGGCACAAGUCCUCCGCCGUACAAUCGAUCCGGACAUCAGCGGUGCAGUCGACGCCGGCGGCGCUACAGGCAUGUUUGACGCCGCGCUGGCGGAGGCGCUGUACGGCAAUGAGGCUGACGGCACCGGCGGCGGCGUCAGCGGCGGCGACGGCGGGAGCCUAGCGGUACGGGAGGCGAUUUUGGAACGCAGCAGUGACGAGGCACUUCGCGCGGCGGCGGAGCUGAGGGCCGCUAACAGAGUCAAGGAGAAGGCGUUCUGGGAGCGGCACCAAGGGUUUGUUGCGGCCCGGAAGGCAAGUGGUAACGGUGCGGCGGGCAAGAAGAAGUCGCGAGCCAAUACCUCCUACGAGCCAACCUUGGUGGCUGCGCCAGCUGCGGCUGUCGCUGUGUGCCCUUAGGUAUAGAGGAGGGUUACUGGGAGGGUUUUAACCUGCCGUACCGCCGGCUUACCUCCCAAGUUGACGGGUUAGUUAGUGGCGGUCUGGUAAAGUGCUUGUGGAGGGGGGCCAUGGGGUUGGGGGGGUGUCCUGGGGGCCGGCCAUGGGGUGUUGCCUCUGCGGGGUUUCCUCUCGCUGUUUUGCGAAAGGGUGGGUGGGUGGUUGGGUGUUGGGCUGGUUUGGGGCUAGCUGGAGUGAUUCGGGGGGUUGUUAAAUGGUAAGUUUAAUUUGUAGGUUGAAUUGAAUUGAAUUGAAUUGAAUACAAUUCAACUCAAAAAUUUGUAGGUGUCCAGUUGUUCAGCUUUGUAUCACAUUACCCCUAGCUUCGUUGUUAGUUGUAGAUGUCGUUGCUGUCUGAUGCAUUUUUUAUUCUCUCGGGAAAAAGAUGUGCUGGAUGCGCGGAAGGCUUGAAAACGCAUUCCUUGGUUUCGGUGCCGACCAUCCCUGUCCCGUCCUCCAACGUUUGAUAGUUUAAAGCAACUAAGGUGCAAUACUUUUCAAACCCUAAGGUACAUUACUUGUGAAACGCCUACAUCUCCUCCAGGCCCUCUAUCCGCUAGUCUAUCUCUGGUAUCAGCUUCACUCGUGUGUGGUUCGUCUCCUUUUCCCCCCUCCCCCUCGCGGUGUGGGGAACCUGCACAUCCAUGCGCAGCUAGAAGCGGGAGAGGAUGACCUCGGGUGCUCAUCUCGCGCAGCUGUCUCGGAAAGGGGCGAGGCUAAUCGUACAAGGUACGGCGGCGGUGGCAGCGGUACCGCUGCCGCCGCGGCCCGCUGCGCGCCGCGCGUGCCGCAGUUUGGUUCGUCCGCUCUAGGGCUGUCGCGAAGUACUUUGAAAGCUGGCGGCGGUGCUGCUGCGCGGGCGCUGCUAAAGGCCGCAGGGCCGGCGGCGGCGGGCAAGAAGGCUUCCGCCGCCGCCGCCGCCGCCGCGGCAGCCACCAAGGCGGGAGGAAAGGUCGCUGGCGGCGCCGCCAAGACCGCAGCGGGUACGAAAACCAAAGCCGCCAAGACCGCCAAGGCGGCAGCGGUGGCGGCAACGGGAGCAUCGGGGGAAGCGGCGGCGGAGGUCGGCGGCGCUGCGGCGGCGCCCAAGGCGGCGGCGAAGCGUGCACCCAAAGCCGCGACGGUGGGCGCCGACGGCGCUCCCAUAAGGAAGCGUGCAAAGACGGCGGCGGCGGCGCCACCGCCGCCGUCGGGGCCGCCUUUGGCGCCUGCUGCCGCGGCAGACGCGCCUGCUGCUGCCGCCGCGUGUAUUGUGCAGCUGCCGCCACUUGCAAUGCAUGACGGCGCCGUACCGCCGCCGAGUCCGGCAGCUGCUGACGGUGCCGCCGCUGUGGCGGCCGGCCUAUGCGAUGACGUCAAUGUGGGUGACGGCGAGGAGGGCGUCGUCGUGCAGCCGGCGCCGGUACCCGUGGCGACGGCUCCCCCGACAGCGGUCGCAAAGAAGCCUUCUGCUGCUGCGGCGGCGGCGGCAGGAAGGAGUGCAAAAGCCGCCGGCGGCGGCAAGCGUUCCGCAGCGGCCACGGCGGCGGCGGCGGUAGCCCAGGAGCAGGCGUGUGCAGGAUCGGCGGCGGCUGGAUCGGCAGUAGCCGUAGAUCCAGCGGUGACGGGCGGCGGCGACGUGGCGGCGGCGGCGGCGGCCGCUGCCACUGCCGCUGCCGCCAAAGAGUCCCGCAAGCGCACCAAAGCCUCUGAUUUGGACUUGGCGGCAGUGGAAGCGAAGGUUCGUGUCGCGUGUUCGGUUAGGAGGGGUUUACGACGUGUGUGAGAGCAUGGCGUGGUGGUUGCCCUGCUGAUACCCAGCCACAGCGUCAGCGAGGUGGAGUGAGGAGGGAGUGUGGAGUGUCUCCGUUCGUUCUUAGAUUUUCCUAGGUUGUCAGACAGCUGGCACUCUUGACUGACCUUUUCCUCUCUUCUUCAUUAUCAUUACGGUAUUAGUGUUGCAUUUCCUCCUGUAUUAGUCAGAGGUUUCUUUGAAAUGGAACUUGAAAAGCUUCUGCAUCGCCGAAACCUUUAGUUUUUUGAACUGAAUCGCUGCCACUGGUAGCAUACAUUGGCCUCCUCCCCUUCUUCUGCGCCUGUCUUUUGUUGGCUUACCUGCUGCCAAUUCCAAUUGUCAAACCCAGCACAUCAAAUAUCGUCGUCAUCACAAUCAUGGUGAUGGUCGCAAAAUAGCGACCAUAUGUCGUGGUCCCCAUUCCAUAUUUUACAUUCCGUACCCCGUACCCGUACUACCCAACCGCCGUAUUUUUUUCUGCCGCCGUGUUUCUGAGCCGCAGGUAUCCGCUGCGGCAGCCGCCGGUCAUCUGAGCGACUUGACACUGCCGGAAAUGCAGUGCUGGCUGAGGGCCCGGAAGGCGCCUGUCAGCGGCAAGAAGGCAGACGUGGAGGCGCGUUUGGCGGGGCUGCUGGGAGUGAUGCCAGCGGCGGCGGCGGCGGCGGCGGUGAAAUGACAUUAGCGGUGUCCGGUGUCACAGUGUCACAGCAUGUUUACCCAGCCCCACCACUUACCCAGCUACCGUGUUUUGUUAGUGAGCAUUAGCACCAUAGCAGGAGGAGCUUAUAGCUUUGAUGUCCGCCGUAUGUAUGUAUGUAUGUAUGUAUGUAUGUAUGUAUGUAGGUUUGCAUCUGUGUAGGCCUGUCUGGUUGGAUUUACGUACGAGCGGCUUCAUUGCGUUGUCAUGAGCGAGAGCAGGAUGGCGAUCUAAUAAAAAUAAUCAUAUGAUAAUGAAAGACAGAACGUAUCGCAAUACCUAGGCCAGCUGGUCGCCGGCUGAACCCGAGGACCUCGGUGCGGCGCGGCGCGUACGUAUGGGUGGCGGGCGGUGGGCGCAUGGUGGGCGGUGGGCGGUGGGCGGCGGUCGUGGCUGUUCCUUCCAUAGCCCCUCCCCACCCAAGCCUCUCCUGUAGAGAGCGGUGAUGAGGUUUGGGCGCUGGGCCAGGCCGUCCGGCCAAGCCGCCACACGGUUCUAUCGCAGGCUGUAUAUAGUAGGCAGAAGUGUCGGUGACCCGCCUUUAGCAGGCUGUGUGGGUGGGUUGCCUCGUUCGUUUCGCUGCUGUAAUCCUACAGGCAACUCACUCGGGCUGUUGGGCAUCAUCGGCUGGAUGAGAGGCUCCCAGUCAUCACGCCAGGAGUGCAGCCGGAAGACCAUGCGGCCGCACAUGAUUUCCUGCCUGUGCAUAUCUCUGACGUGGCCCGUCCAGAGGUAGCAUAAUACAUGUGGGAAGCGGUCGAGCAGUCGGAAUAGAGUGUGCAUGUUCGCGAAUACAGUAUACCGGUGUACUAGGAUGGGCGAUUUCACUGUUAGGUUGUGGAUGGUUUUGCUGCUGUUAUAUUUGCCGUUUGUUCUGUUAAGCAGUUUGCUCGACAUCCAUGUCGCAAAGCAUGUCCACCGACUCCGUGCAGACUGACCGUGGUGAUGUGGAGGUGUCUUCGUCAUUGCAUGCUUUUCAGCCUGCUGCAAGCAGGGUGCACAUCGCGGUACAGGCAUACUUUGAUACGGCAAGGACGCCUUUCCUGGAGCUGCAGACAUUGCUGCCGAUGGCAGUUGCACGUGGAAUCGAUUGCAGCGGCCAUGUGGCGAGCUUCAUUGAUCGUAGCAGUCUUAUCCGGAACCACAUCACUGAGAUGCGGCCGGAGGCUUCACUGCCCGUGUACCAUUUGGGGCGCACAUUAGAUAUCACCGGCCUACGGCCAGUGAACCGGCCGCGCCCGCCGCACAGUUCUAUGUUGUCCAUUAUUCACAAUUAUUUCCAGACCACCAACGCCAGUACCGUCCAUGAUGGCUGAGGAUCCGCUGCCCGAAAAUACGGGAGCGAGUACGGGGAGCUGUACAUGGCUCCCGUGUACACCCAUAUUCGAUACUGGUGCCGCCUACACGUGCAGCCGGUACACUCGAGGAAUUCGUACGCACGAUGCAGUACACCCCUCAUAUGCCCGCGUUGUCAUGUUUGCAUUGGCGAGAACCAGCGUACGCUGGUGGGCAGCCGAUGCAGUGAAUGCUGCCGCGACAGUGCUGUGCAGGCUGGGCACAAACGCGCUAAGAUCCACCUAUGGAUUAAACAACAUGGGCGACAGUUGGGAAGUAUGUGCUACGACAGAACACCGUUCAAGGGUGUCCAUACCUGGAGUGUACCCGUGUCCGUGCGGAGGCCAGCCGUGGACAUAGUAGUGAACCGAGCAUUGUCCACCUGAAACAUGCUGCCCAACUCCUGCACGUCCUCGUGGCGGAUGGGUGUAACCGUGACGAGAAGAACGUGCCCAAAUGUGGAGCCACCGGGCUCCAUAGUGAGGACGCUGAGGUCACGGUGUCCAGCGUCGGCAGGCUCUGCACACCACAGAGCACGGUUACAGAAAGAAAGGACACACGGUGCAAGGAAGCACGUCACGGACGACUGCGGGAGGCGGAAAUUUACCGGCGCGUCAGGUGCCACACGGACGGUACUGGUGUUGGUGGUCUGGAAAUAAUUGUGAAUAAUGGACAACGUAGAACGGUGCGGCGGGUUCGCUGGCCAUAGGCCGGUGAUAUCUAACGUGCACCCCAAAUGGUACACGGGCAGUGAAGCCUCCGGCCGCAUCUCAGUGAUGUGGUUCCGGAUAAGACCGCUAUGAUCAAUGAAGCUCGCCACAUGGCCGCUGCAAUCGAUACCACGUGCAACUGCCAUCGGCAGCGAUGUCUGCAGCUCCGGGAAAGGCGUCCUCGCCGUAUCAAAGUACGCCUACCGUGACGCGCACCCUGCUUGCAGCAGGCUGAAAAGCAUGCAAUGACGAAGACACCUCCACAUCACCACGGUCAGUCCGCGCGGAGUCGGUGGACGUGCUUUGCGACAUGGACGUCAAGCAAACUGCUUAACAGAACAAACGGCAAAUAUAACAGCAGCAAAACCAUCCACAACCUAACAGCGAAAUCGCCCACCCUAGUACACCAGUAUACUGUAUCCGCGAACAUGCACACUCUAUUCCGACUGCUCGACCGCUUCCCACAUGUAUUACGCUACCUGUGCAUGGGCCGCGCAUGAUUUCCUGCCUGUGCAUAUCUCUGUUAUUUUUUUAUCGCGUGCUUGUGAGCUGCAGCGGUUUCACUGCCAUGCAGAAGCCCUGCUAUCUGCAUCGCUGGACGAUUUCCUUGAGCGCCAUUCCUUCGUACAGCUGUUUUAUAUCGGGAUUCGCUUGCCACACUUUUAUCAAGCUGCUGGCUCCCUCCUGUUCUGUACAUGCUUCUAGCUGUGUGUGCUGCUGUGGAGCAAGUACAGCCUGCACUGGAAGCAUGUAUGCUGCUGCUUCAUCGGCCGCAGCUUCGAGUGCUGUGAAAGCAGCCUGCCGUUGUUCCUGUACGCUCCGUCUGUGCAGGCUCCCAGUCAUCGUGCCAGGAGCGCAGCCGGAAGACCAUGCGGCCGCGCAUGAUUUCUUGCCUGUGCAUAUCUCUGACGUGGCCCGUCCAGAGGUAGCAUAAUACAUGUGGGAAGCGGUCGAGCAGUCGGAAUAGAGUGUGCAUGUUCACGGAUACAGUAUACCGGUGUACUAGGGUGGGCGAUUUCGCUGUUAGGUUGUGGAUGGUUUUGCUGCUGUUAUAUUUGCCGUUUGUUCUGUUAAGCAGUUUGCUCGACAUCCAUGUCGCAAAGCACGUCCACCGACUCCGCGCGGACUGACCGUGGUGAUGUGGAGGUGUCUUCGUCAUUGCAUGCUUUUCAGCCUGCUGCAAGCAGGGUGCGCGUCGCGGUACAGGCGUACUUUGAUACGGCGAGGACGCCUUUCCCGGAGCUGCAGACAUUGCUGCCGAUGGCAGUUGCACAAAUCAUUACGGUUUGGUCGCCUAAUUGCUAGAAUGUGGGCAAUUGGACCGGUCCUGCUCGGAAUUCCACUGGUCAGCGGGCUAUUUGCGGCUGUGGAUAAAGGAAAAUACAAAAGUCAAGGAAGGACCUUGCGGAAGGAAAAUGGCUGACUAUAAAUUUUCCCGCUCAAUUUGUAUUGGAGCCCGCAUUCAACAAUGUCCAGCAAACAUAUACUGCUCGCUUGCCUUCCUUCGCGGGCCGGCCGUUGCCGAUGCACCAUGCACGGACAUCAUGACGCAGGCUGCGCCGCAGCGGAUCUUAAAUACGCGAAUGCUUAACGCAGGUCACGUGCUUCCGCGACCUGUGUACCUGCAGUCCCAGAUGAUNNNNNNNNNNNNNNNNNNNNNNNNNNNNNNNNNNNNNNNNNNNNNNNNNNNNNNNNNNNNNNNNNNNNNNNNNNNNNNNNGGUGUGCAUCAAGGGGACGAAAUCGAUCUGGGACUGCAGGUACACAGGUCCCGGAAGCACGUGACCUGCGUUAAGCAUUCGCGUAUCCGCUGCGGCGCAGCCUGCGUCAUGAUGUCCGCCAUGAAGUCCGCAUGGUGCAAUGGCAACGGCCGGCCAGCGAAGGAAGGCAAACUAGCGGUAUAUGUUUGCUGAACGUUAUUGAAGGAGGGCUCCAUUGCAAAAUGGCGGUGUUCUGAGGCUGUCGGUGUUGGGCGUGCGCAAGUCAACGCGGCGUUUGCAUGAAGGAAAAAAGAUAAGCUGCUUACGUCUAAAGUCUGUGGUCAGAAGGGACAAUCCAGCUCCUAAAAGUUGCCCGCCAAAUAGUUAGUGCUAGGUCUGAAAGUUAAAGGCACGUCUGAGGUCCAAUUAACUUUGUUACGCGUUAGUGUGGACUUAGUGUACGGGGUGUUUCCACUAGGUUCUCCGCCAGGAGUGCCCCAACCUCCAAUUUGUUUGAUGAAUAUUUUCUACUAUCAUUAGUUAUAUCAAUUGAUGUAUUUAGAACGGUGAGAGACGAGUCCAGGACGAAGAACAUUCAAACUUAGUGUUAGUGUUCGGCCAAGUGGAAACACCCUGUAAAUUCCAUUGGUCCAUCGAUAGAGAAUCAGAAUAGCUUUCAGACGCAAUUUUAACGGGGUGAAAUAAGAUGAAAUGUUACACCAUGACUGACUGACGGACGGACAGCAGUGAACCUAGGGGGCUCGGCCCCCCGAAUGGCGCUUCGCGCCCGGGGCCUCGCCCAAAAACAGAAAAAAAACAAUACAUGACCAACCUAACCACCCGCUAACAAAUAGCCUGCGGAAAACCUGUGAAACUGCGAAGGUUAAAACGCGCUAAUACCGCAUCUACUUCACAAAUAUCGUCGAUGUCUCUCCGAAGGACAUGUCUGCCUAAUUUGUUCUCAAACAUUCUCAAACAUCGUAAAAAGUGGCAGAAUACCGUAAAAAAAGCAGCAGUAAUCCAAAAGUACGAUGCACUGGCGGACAAACAAACAAAACGAAACAAAACCAAAAAAGCCAACAAAUCAUGCAAACAAGCACGAACGCACGCAAAUGACGUGCACGUACAAAUAGAAGGCAGCACACAGUAAACCCAGAAACCAAUCUUUCAGCCUGUCCGUGCUGCGCAUACAAUAUAGCUGUGCAUGCAGCACACGAAAGGAAAUGUAUGCUGCAUUCACGCGAAAGGUGAUGCCACAACAAAGAACAACAACAACAACAGCACUACGACUGUGCUUACUCCAAUCUUUCCACGACCGUCAAAAACAUAUUUCCAAAAGAAACGUCCCACAUGCGGUUGGCACCACAACACACUACACCACCGCUAGCUAGGUCGGAAAAGAUCUGUUAAGGUCAGUUAAGGGCGGGACUUUAGAAUCAGUUGCUCGCCGGACGCGCGCCGGCCGCUAAAAGAGCAUUUGCUUUUGAUCAUGCAUAGGUACUCACGUUUCCGUUGAGUGCCCCUCCUCAAACGUCCUGAUUCUUGGUUAUUUCAUUUCCUGCAUGAAAGCGCAGCUGCGCAUAAACAAAACUCUCGUCACAUACGCGCGAAACCCUAAGUUCCUCAGCCUGGUCUGAACAAGGUCGCGGCAAAUGGACAAUAUUCGAAUCUGGUCGCAGCCACCUCACGUUACGUUUACAAGGAGAUACACAACACCUUGUGGAUAUUAGUUUUGAGCUCAACCAGCGCGAAGCGCGAUUUAUUGUCCCCCGGGAGCCCGUGGAACUUGUUCAAACGCAAACGAUUUUUCUUUUAGCCAGAAGAAAUGCACGCUGCAAUGGAUGAUGUAUAAGGCUAAAAUCAUUGCUGAGACAAUAUGUUUGGUCGUGUUACCGAGCGACGUCGCGGGUAUGGCCAACAUUACACGCGCGUCGCGCUACGGCCCCCCGCCCAACAACCAACAAACAAAAAAAACAGAAAAAAACAUUGCAUGACCAACCCAACCACCCACUAACCAAUAGCCUGCGGAAAACCUGUGAAACUGCGAAUCCAUGCCGCUGAAGGUUAAAACGCGCUAAUACCGCAUCUACCUCACAAAGCUCGUCGGUAGCCUUCCGAAGGACAUGUCUGCUUAAUUUAUUCUCGAAAUCGUAAAAAAAGGCAGAAUAGCGUAAAAAAAGCAGCAGCAGUAAUCCAAAAGUACGAAGCACUGGCGGGCAAACAAACAAAACAAAAGGAAACCAAAAAAGCCAACAAAUCAUGCAAACAAGCACGAACGCACACAAAUGAUGUGCACGUGCAAAUAUAAAGCAGCACACACAAAACCCAGAAACCAAACUUUCAGCCUGUCCGCGCUGCACAUACAAUACAGCUGCAUGCAGCACGUGAAAGGAGAUGCCACAACAAACAACAGCACUGCGAUUGUGCUGACUCCAAUCUUUUCACGACCGUCAAAAACAUAUUUCCAAAAGAAACGUCCCACAUGCGGUUGGCACCACAACACACUACACCACCGCGCAACGCUACGCAACGAUCGCGUUUGACUGAUAUUCCACCUCCCACCCCCUCAUCCACCUCCGGACUGCAGGAACCGGGAAAGACGGGAGGAGUUUUAAUCCUCCCCUCCCUGAGCCGUCGCUUUCCUCAACCCUCCCUCCCUCUGUGUAUGUGUGUGUAUGUUUGUCGGAAAUCUCCAGUUCCAUUAUUCUUCAACAAAGCCUCUCCUAGGCUCCACAGGGCUGCGCCUCACAACCCCGCCCCUUCCUCCAGAACGGACACGCAGACACGCCCCCACACACGCACACACACACAAAGACACACACGCGGGGCCCGUCAUCACUCUUCGGCCCUCUACAACUUCGGCCCCUCCCCCCGGCUCUAGCUUUGCAUCACUACACGUAUGUCCCAAUUACCACGACACCCGACACCCAGCACACCACGAAAUCCUAGACCUCUGAAGCGCACGUACACGCCGUUCACUGCCCAGCCUCCUGCCCCCUGUUCCUGCCCCCUGUUCCUAGCAACAAGCCACCUGCAGACCUUCGAAAACACAAGGAGGGAGCAGCAGCGCCCAAGACGUGCUGGAAAAGGACCCCCGGGGGCUGCCGUCUGCGGGAAGGCAGCGCACGGAAGGCUCCACAGAGACCAUUAACCAGCCAGUAUGUGAGCAUUUGAAAAAACCAAUCUUUUAGCAUAUCUCUAUCAUCAUAUCUCUCCCAGAGAUUGCAUUUACAAGGCAGCGCUGGAAAGGGCUACGCCGACCAAAGGCCGUCAUGGCGGAAGUAGAGUUGAAAGCAUCCGCUGUGUGUGAAUGUGUGUGUGGAAAUGUGACCGUUGACAUACGUUUUCCGUUAUGCAUCUUUUUUAUAUUAGCACACCUUCACCUUCACCUUCGCAAGGGCUCCGUCUCGAACCUAUUUACACGCCCUCCACAGCUAUACCAUAAAGGCCCUGUACCGCCCGUGGUGUGCUGCCGUACUGCCGUACGGCGGAUUUAACGUACGUGUCGUGCCCCUGCAGGCCGUGGGCCACAUAGCCGCCCCGUCGGGGUCUGGGUUGCGUGUGUUUGGGGGGGGGCCGCCCGGGGGGGUGGAGGGGGAGACAUCUCAUGUCCUCCCAACACUUGGCGUCCCGCCCAUCACCUCCGACAUCUAGGACUGCUGCUGCUGUACCGGUGGCGGCGCCUCUCUCAGCACCGUGAAGAUGCUCCGAAACUGUUGAGGCGUCAUCCGUACGUGCUUUAGCUCCCCUCCCGUAAUCUGCGAUGCAAGGGAAGCAUACAUACAUACAUACAUACAUACAUACAUACAUACGGACUAACCCUGAUUUUCUUGCCCCCGGUCUUGUGCCCGGUGGUACGGCUCUCUCCAUUCCGCCACACAUACAUCCCCGCUCCGAACCCAUUACAAUACAGUCUAUCCAUCCCCCCCAAACCCCUGACCCUCCCACCCCCGCUGUCAGCCUCCCCGCCCUCCCCAUCCCCAGCAACCCCGCCACCAAAACCACACACGCAAACGCGCACUCGCCAUGCGCCUCCAGGACACACACGUACACGCGCGCUCCGAACCUUCCUAGCAGCCCAGCGCACCCCAAGACUGAACACCCACCAUCACUCACCAGUCCUCCUGGGUUUACACGUCCCACAUCCAUUUCCCCCGACCGACAAAACCACCGCCACUGCCACCGCCACCACUUCACCCGUCCACGGCCCUCCUUCCGGCGUCAGUCCACCCGUCCCUGAACGCAUAAAGCACCCACCAUCACCAUCAGCGCCGGCACCACCCGCCUUCAUUUCCCCAGCUUCAUCAUUACUUCAGGAUUACCUGCGUGUACAGCGGCUGCAUGAGCUUCUCCCAGCCGCCCUCCCCGAACAGCUGCCCAACCAACUGGUCGUUACUCAGAUCAAUCUGCUUCAGAUCCUCCGAAACCAAGUAGUACACCAAGCCGUCCUGGCCCAGCAGCAGCAGGGAACCUGAACCCGGGGCGCAAACACACACAUACAUACAUAUAUACGCGCAUGACUCCUCCUCGCAGCAUAGACCAUUAAGGAAACACACACAUCGGGGGGGGAGAUGUGCGUGACAAUGCGUGUAUUUGCGCUUUUUGAUAUUUGGGUCGCGGACCGAAACUAACAGAAAGGUGGUACAAGGGAAGAUCUGUGUGUGUUUGUGUGAUAUUGACAGGAGAACACGUGUAACGCCAGAGCAGACAAAAGAGUAAUGCGGGAGAUACCGAGUAAAAGGGAAAGGGAUCCAAUUCCUUCUUACAAUACAACUGAAAUAUACUGCUCCGAAACCUGGUUCUUCCCUCAAGAGGCCUAUCCUGAGCAAGCAGCUCCGGAUGGGGUACGGCAAUGUACGACGUGGCAGAACCCGCGUCACGGCUGGGUACGUGGUAUGGCAUGAAAGGAUCCUGUUAGGAAUCUGGUGCAGACACGCGGCCACGUACCUUCAACGUAGCCGUCGAGCUUGGCCUCGAGCCACGUGUCGCUAUCCUUCCCAUGGAGCAGAACACGUCCGUCAACUCGGCGGCGGAAGUUCUUGGCUGCACGGUAACGAUCUAUUGCAGCCGCAUCCUCCUGCUCUUCUCCAGUUCCGGAGCUGAAGGGACGAAUGGCGGCUCGGAAUGACCCCUGGGUCAGUUGGUAAUCCGACAAAAUAUUUUGUUAUGGGCUUCAGGCAGGAUGUAUAUCAAUAGAUCAAAUGGGAUCUUUCUUACGCGGUGUGCAAAGUAAUUCCGAAAGGUAAGGAAACCUUCCGAUGACGCACUUACGCCGGGUGUUUGGCAGACAGUGAUUGCGUUCAGGACUUUGAGGUGAAAACCAGCAUCUGCUGCGUGAAAUCGUAGGCCUGCGGCCCGGAAUGCACGUGUUCGUCAGCCUGCACUGCAGAUGUAGCCAAAGUCGAACCUGACUUGGCUGACCUGAAAAGCAUGCUGCACGUGCAAGAAACGACAUGUGAGCUAUUAUAGUUGAAGCUUGGACUUCUAAGACAGCCUUCAGGUGCAAAGCACAACUACAAGGGCCGCCAGGCCGACCCAACUUUUCAAAUUUUUACUGUACAAUUAGGAAAACUUAACUUAUCUUCCUGUGUAUAUAUGCUGCGAUCUGAGUUGCGCACCUGUAUCUGGCCAUAAUCUGGGAGUGGCUGACUUGUCCACGAAGUCACGGCAUUAUGUAACAAAGCAAAGGCGUAACCCGGGAUGCUCAGUUGGGCCUUGCGUCGUUACAUUGCCCCCCCUUUAGCAAUGGACGUCCGCGGCCAUUAUAUCGAGCAUUGGAGCCAUCCCACCUCACGCAUUGUGCGCUGGUUUAUCCAUUACCCAUGAUAUCGCUUUCUGCGAUACCUGCUUGUUGUCAGAAUCGAACCACCGACCCGAAGAUUUCAUCGGAAGUCGUGCGGCUCCGUCUCGAUACCAUUGUAACAAAGCAAAGGCGUAACCCGGGAUGCUCAGUUGGGCCUUGCGUCGUUACACAUUAUCUUGGAUGACCACGUUGCUGAUUGGGAUAUAAACCCAACACCCGUUUAAUUAAUGUUUAUCCUCCCGUGGGGCAAUAAGUUUAGAUGUCUUGUUUUUUAUAGGCUAACGUUGGAGCCCUAGUUGCGUGCAAAAGCGCGUCCUUAUCCGUCAGCCCUGCGAGCUAUUGGAGAUCUUGGUUGUUCUCACCAUGGCUGUGAGGUUUUUAAUUGCUGCCUUGCUGGUCGCAGCUAGCGGUGGGGUUGGUGCCGCGCCUGAGCUCCAACUCCGGGAGCAGCAUGAGAAACUGCUCCUGGACGCCAAGGCGAACCCCAUGGCAGCCUUUCAGCAGUGGAUGAUGCAAUAUACGAAAGCCUACGCUAACGACAUAAAGGAGCUCGAGACCCGUUUUUCCGUGUGGCUGGAGAACCUUAACUACAUUCUCGCCUACAACGCACGAACCACUUCCCACUGGCUCCAUCUUAAUGCCUUUGCCGACUUGACAACCGAUGAAUUCCGCAAUCGCCUGGGCUACGACUUCAAGGCUCGUCAGGCGAGCAACCGCCUUCAGUCCUCGCCUUUCAUCUACGACAAUGUCGACGCGAAUCAGUUACCAACGGAAAUCGACUGGCGCAAGAAGGGAGCGGUGACUGAGGUGAAGAACCAGGGGCAGUGCGGUUCUUGCUGGGCUUUUGCGACAACGGGCAGUGUCGAGGGCAUCAACGCCAUUGUGACCGGCGAGCUCGCGUCGCUGAGCGAGCAAGAGCUUGUUGACUGCGAUACGGAUGAGGACAGGGGCUGCAGCGGUGGCCUGAUGGACUAUGCAUACCAGUGGAUUAUCAAGAACGGAGGCCUUGAUACAGAGGAUGACUACCCAUACACGGCCGAGGACGGAGUCUGCGUCGCUGCCAAGAAGAACCGCCGUGUCGUCACUAUCGAUGGCUAUGUCGACAUCCCUGAGAACGAUGAGGUCGCUCUGAAGAAGGCCGCGGCUCACCAACCCAUCGCUGUUGCCAUCGAGGCCGACGCCAAGUCGUUCCAGCUAUACGGAGGUGGUGUUUACGACGACCCAACCUGCGGCACAUCCCUCAACCACGGUGUACUGGUUGUUGGUUAUGGCAAGGACCCCCACUUCGGCAACUACUGGAUUGUCAAGAACAGCUGGGGUCCCGAGUGGGGAGACAACGGCUAUAUUCGUCUCCGGAUGGGCGCGGAGGAUGUCCAGGGCAUGUGUGGCAUCGCCAUGGCGCCUUCCUUCCCCACUAAGAAGGGUCCUAACCCGCCCACGCCUGGCCCUACCCCGGGCCCGGGCCCCAAGCCAUCGCCUUCGCCCAAGCCCCCAUCCCCCCAGCCUGUCAAGUGCGACGAUGACAAUGAGUGCCCGGCUGGCAGCACGUGUUGCUGCGUUAUGGAGUUCUUCAACAUGUGCUUCCAGGUGCGCCUUGAACCGGGCCCUAUCCCGCCUGAGGAAUUGUCCCCUGGCAUUUUUGUUAAUACCCAAAUGCAGGGGUCAUAUAGGUAUUGCUUGCCUUGCCGAUGUACAUGACAAACUUUGCAUGCAUUCUGUUGAACCAAUUGCAAAGAUUGUGAAAAGGAUUACAUGCUGGAUUGAUAUGCGCUCCUUUUAUAAAAGGCAGUAGACAUCAACGUUUCUUUUGUCGUAUAUUUCUACCGCAGCAAUUACGCACUCUUGAGCAUUUGUUUGAACUCAUCGUGACCUAUUAUGCAGACAGGCCUUCCAUUUCGACGGUUUCUUCUGACCAUGGACUUCUGGUUGACUCAACCUUUGUUCCUAGCGUCUUUGGGUUUCUCACACAUUCCCCCUCCUGCUCCCCCACUUAUCGCUUGUGCAGUGGGGGUGCUGCCCGAUGCCCAAGGCCACCUGCUGCAGCGACAACCAGCACUGCUGCCCCGCCGACCUGCCUGUGUGCGACACCGUCGGGGGUCGUUGCCUGCCCAAGGCUGGUGUCAUGUUCGGCUCUCAGCCUUGGUCGCGCAAGACGCCCGCCAUGCGCAGUCCAGGUGGCUUCGUGGACCGCAUUUUUGGCCGCGGCUUUGUGCGCAAGAACCAGGAGCCCAAGGAGAUGAAGCCGCAGUAAUGAGGAACCCGUUAGGUCUUCUUCGCUCCCGCGCUGCCUCGAUCUGGGUCGGCAGAAUUUGUCUGGAGGUUUUGGGGAUUUAUGAAACGUGUGCGUCAGGCUGUGGGGGUCCUCGGCGUGCGUUCUUGUAUCUCGCAGCUGUUUGCUUUGCUGUCAUGUCGGUAAGAGUGGGAUGUGACGUGCGGCGACAUGCUGUUGCGACGAUACCCAGGUCGGGUGGUCAGGGAAGCACAUUGGAAGGAUCCGCCCGUGUUGCCCUGUCGACGCCGAAGGCAGGCAGCCACACAUGCACGCUUCAGUAGACAGAGUGGUAGAUCUCUUAUACUGUGCAGGCCUCGUUAUUAUCAUUUAGUGUAUGCACAAAAUGUUGCGCUAUAGAAGGCGGUCCGGGGGCAGAAGCAGGCCACCACAAAAUAUACACGUGGUUUUGGGGUUUUUAAGGCAUGGUGAUGAACCCCUUUCAGGGACGUUAGUGACGGACCUUUCCAAAUGGCAACAAGCAGGUUCAAGCUAGCUGAGAUCUGGUUAGGAAUUUCUCUACGAUGUCAGUCGUCAUGCUUGGGUUUAGUUUCUACCCUUGACAUGGAGGGCGGAAAUCUUGUUCUGUAUAAUGGAGACCUUUCAACGUCAAUAAUAUGUGUUGCGUCGCAUUUUGUCUUUUGCCGGUUUGUACUGUCGUGCAUUGGGCGUGAACGGCGCAUGUUGACCUAAUGCGACAUGUGAUUUGCAUUGGUUGCGCCGUAACUGAACGAUGCUCUUCAUGUAUACAUACAAAAGUGUAGAGGUCCUUGUUUUGUUGUGGCAAAAUUUUUGCUUUGCCGUGAUGCCGGCUCGUAACGAUAUAUCACACGGCAAACAACCAAUCAUUAUUGUACAUUAGCAGCAAGCAGCCCUUUGUCCAAUCACGUUUGGACACGGGCCGACAUGUUCUCUUUCGCGGACGGAUUUGUGGGCAUCUGGGAGUGUACCUGUGGCACGGCGGGGGCUGAUGCAUUAUCAAUGUUCGAUGUUGUACUGUAGCAUCUCCGGGAUUUCUCGCGAGGACCGUACCUGUAAAAAACCCCAUGGAUAUUGCGGUCCAUCACAGCAUCGUACGCAUGUCAUGUGGUAUACAACGGAAAGGGAUGCAUGCGCCGAGUCACCAUGCUUAUUGUUGUCCAGCAUCCCAGGCCAGAAAUUCCACAACGAUCUGAACGUCUCGCACAACGCGUUCUGUACCCUAGUCUACCGAAUGACAGGUACAGAAUGGUACUCGAAACACUGACGAGCCACGGACUGGACGGCACACAUGCCAUUGCUCGAAGAUGAAAGCCCACCGGGACACCCGGCUGAAACAUGAAGCCUCCCUGGAGCGAACGAACCACCUUCUUCAUUAAAAAUGGUUCAUUCUCCGUGCGACGUAUUAAGAAGGUAUGCCAUGUAGCGAUUCAGCAUAGACAUGAAAUUUACGCCCUGUGUCUAGUAAAGGGUAGUCAACUUGGAAUGCGCGUAACCGAGCUCACUGCAACCGUCUCUAGUGGUGUACGGCACGACACGGCGUCGCGACGUCUGUUGGCCAGCAAAGAGUUAACCUUUUCCUGUCUCCGCUGUAGCAUAGCGAAAGCCCGCUGAAAUGGGGCAGGCCUCCGCAUAGGCGGAAAACUACCACGUUGCCUGCCCCGCCGCAACUACGCUUGUGUUGUUUUGCAUCACCUCUCUUGGCCAUCGUCAGGAACGCUACUAAGCAACUGACAAGCUUUUUACGGUAAUCGAAAUGUACACAGAACCGCUUGGCGCUACCCGGCAAUCCUUGCGUGCGCUGAUUAAACAUACGACUUUGGAGUAUCGCAGCUGGCGUAUGGCAUUAGUCUAUAGGCCGGGUGCAUACAGUCCCAGGCAACGCCAUGAUUUGACAUCCAGGAUCAGCUGCGCGCGCGCAUCGGCUUCUUCUCCCGCCAACGGUUCUCCCUUUCCGGACCACGAUGCCGCGCCUGGUGCUGUGCUCCUCGAUGAGCCACUUUCCCCAAUGGAUGUUGACCAGGAGCUUUGGGCGGUCCUGGAUAUGUGCACCGAUGACGAGUUAGAAGCGUUGUACAACAUCCUGCACUCGACUUCUCCUUUUAGCCCCAUAAUCAAAAGCUUGCUGGUACGUGUGAUUGAAAUUCCAGAAUUGGGUCUCGCAAACCGAGGACAACCGCUUUCUAAGACUUCGGAACCAGGGUUCUUCGCCUUUCAUGCACAGAGCCGGACCUUCCGCAAGGGUACAUCCGGCCGCACCAUUUACAGUACUUCUUCACGCCAUGCCCAUGAACGCGUGAUGACCCUUGGGCGGCACCGCCCGUGGAAGCACCUCCCUCAUCUUCAUGGUUGACCCACGGCCUGCGCCUAUUGGCACACCUGACGAGAGCCGCGUUCCUAGUUGGCGCUUACUUGUCGCCAGCCUUGACUUUGGCUGGCUUGAGCUUUGGAAACCAUGUAGGAAAAAAUGGGGGUUGGUGGGACGCCUGGCAGGAAAAGGCCGCAAGUCAGGCAGGAGGACAGGGUUAAUAGAGGGCCAACCCGAAGUUGGACCACCACAGCUGUGAGAGAGAGAGAGUCAGAGAGAAGCGGAAAGGGGCGGUAUGGCUACCAUUCAAAAACACCUUGAAACGACUUUUAUCAUCAUGUUUAUUUUUCCGUGGGGUCCUGUUCUGGGUUCAGUCUUUGCUACCCUUAGCUAAAUCCCGUCAACCGAAUGUAACACUUCUCCACUCCACACCAAUAUAGCUGCCAAUGUACUUGCCAACAGACCUUAAGGGGGUGUUCACGUUCUCGCUGUGCUUGUGGCAGCCGGGUUUUAUCAAGAUCCGCUCGCGCACGUGUUUUCCUCUCGCUGCACCCCCGCAUUACCCCAGUCCAACAACCCUCCACAGCUACACGCCGCCACGUCACGACCACCCAUCGAUCACUGCCAUUGAUCCGCGGGGCUACCCAUCCACGCAAUUUCUUCUGCAGGUUGAGCGCGAUGAGCCGGCUCUGGUAUCCCUCCGCGGCCGUCGCAGUGUGAUGCACAAGGUGGAGGCGCACUUCCGUUUCCUGGCGGCGGACUCGGUGCACCUGCUGCGGGGAGCUCGGCCCAGCUACCGGGAGGUGCUCCUCAACGUGAGGGACAAGUAAGUGUACGGGCGGCGGGGAGGGGCAGGGGUUGGAGAAGGAAGGGGGACGGCAGCCGGGGGGAGGCGUGGUGUGGAGGAGGGAGGGAAAGGAGGAAUGUGGAGAGACUUGAUCCGGGGGGAACGGGAGGGGGAGAGUGAGUGUGGGGUUUUGGAGGGGCGGCAUGCAUGCAUGCAUACAUGCAUACAUACAUACAUACAUACAUACAUACAUACAUAAUACAUACAUACAUACAUACAUACAUACAUACAUACAUACAUACAUACAUACAUACAUACAUACAUGGCAGGCGGCUGGCAGAGGUUAAGGCCUGACUUCUGCUCCCAGUCGACCCAGUCGACCCGGGUUCAAAUCCGCCUGCCGGCUCCUCGGGUGUUUGAGGAGUGAUGAAAUGGGAGGUGGCCCCCCAUCAUAUGGACGGUGUAGGACGUGAUAAUAUCAACUUGCGAGCUGACCAGGAACUAAGUUGAUGCGCCGUUGAUCCGCUAGAUUUGGUUGGAUGCUGGUGGUGAGUUGCCGAACCCAACGAAUACAUUCUGAAGUCGGAUGGGGUGACGGAUUAGGGUGCCCCUCUAGCAGGGGAGAGCAGGGACUGCCCCGGGAAAGGGGGCCGCUGGCGAAGUUAACCACCCUGUAACAACAUACAUACAUACAUACCCACAAUAUAAAUGUACAUAUCUGCUCGGCUUAUAUAUGCACACGCACACGGGGCCCAACCCCGCAUCACUUCCAGGAAAUCUCCCACUCAUCCUUGGAAAGCACUCCUCCCUUCCGCCAGUUGGCCCUUCAUUUCCUUGCUCAUCAUUCCCUCCCACCCCGCCCUCGUCCCCCCUGACACCCAGGCUCGACAUCCGUUGCUCGCGUAACCUGUCCACCUUCGAUCUGGAGACGGAGAUUUUCCUCCACGUGCUCAACAACUGUGCGGACUACGUCCGCUCCCCCGAACACUCCUCAGCCGCGGCGGCGGCCGGAGUGGACCCCUCCCUGGCGGCGUCGUUCGCAACACUCAACAACGUCGACGUCGCACCAGCGGCGGCGGCGGCGGCAUCAGCCGCCGGAGGCGGCGGCGCCGCCAGGAGCGGCCCCGCUGGGUCGACGACAUCAGGGGCGGCGGCGGCGGCGGCGGCAGCAUCUAAUCCGAACUGGACGGAGCGCCUGACGGCGCCCUUCCGUCUGGGACUUAAGGACUUGGCUCCCACGCUGCUCAACCUGGCCGGGGUGGUGACGGUCACCAAGGUGGGUGGGGCCUGCUGCUGCUGCUGCUGCUGUCCGGGGACAUCUCCACCCACCAACACACACGUACACACACAUACAUACAUACACACAUACAUACAUACAUACAUACACAUAUACUCUCAGCUUUGCAUCAGUGCCUACAAUACUUUGGACGUCGACAGGUUUAUAUAUAUAUAUAUAUAUAUAUAUAGAUAUAUUUACAUUUGCAUAUUAUCCUCCCCUCUUCACAUAUGCCCCCCUUAUCCUCCUCUCCCCUUCCUCAACCUCAACCACACUUACCUUCCCGCCCAUCCCGCAUCCACUUCGUCACCUCGCCCCACCGCAAUAAGCAGGUGGGUCAACAAGCCACUCAGCAGCUAGCCGCCAACCUGCUGUGCUCACACGUCAAGUACCAGGCGGCGCUGAGGGCGGCGACAGCGGGGGUGGGCGGGCUGGCGGCCAAGGGCGCCAUGGCGGGAUGGGGCAAGCAGGCCAUGCUGGAGGUAGGUGGGAUGUUCGACGGCGUAAUGCGCGCGUGCUAUGUAGGUGUAUGCGUCUGUGUGGUUUUUGGGGUAUGUAUAUAUGUACGUAUGUAUGUACGUAUGAAUGUCGUCCUAUGAAGGGAGAUGUGCGAUGACUUCACAAAGUUUUAGCAAAACGGAUUGUGUGAGCCGGAUUGUGAGGCGAUGUGUGUGUCUUUUUUUUCCCCUGGUCCACGCACCCAUUUCACCUUCCCUUUGAUCUCUCCGUCCUGCCAAUCUCUCCUGCCGUAAACACACACACACAUACACACAAACAAGGCCGUCUCUUUCCCCCCCCCGCCCCUCCUUGUGGUUCGUCUUUCCCUCCUUGUAUUCCCCUUUCCCCCCCAACCCAGGCUGCGCAGCGCAGCCUCACCGCCGCCACCGCCCGCUACUCGGCCCUCCGCGGCGCUCUGUCCUUCCUGGGUCCGCUGCUGUGGGGCUGGCUGGCAGUGGACCUGGCGCUGAAGGCGGUGGGGACGGACUACGCUCGGGUGGUGCGGGCGGUGUUCCUGCUGUCGCAGGUAAGCGGGAGGGGGGCCAACUGUGUGAAUGUGAGUGUCUCUCUGUGUGUGUGUGUAUGUGUGUAUGUGUGUGUGUGUGUGCGUGUGUGUGUGCGUGUGUGUGUGCGUGUGUGUGUGUGUGUGCGUAUGUGUGUGCGUGUGUGCGUAUGUGUGUGUGCGUAUGUAUGUGUGUGGGUGAUGUGUAGCAGAGAUGUAUAAUAGUGGCAUUGCGAGGUGCUAUGCUACAGCCCUGGCGUCAUCAGUUACGGUCCGGAGUACACUAGGGUUUUGAAGGGCGGUUCUUCGCUAUCCCCCCGCGGUCCUGGUUCGUGAUACUCGCUGGGAUUUCCCCCGGAGCGCUCCUCCCCAGCGCCCAUGCACGCACCCCGCCCAUACACGCACACAGAUCCACGCAUGCACGCGAGUUUAUUUAUGUAAUUACACACACGCACGUACACAUGCAUGCGCACGUACGCACAUUACCCCGCCGCUGCUGCCGGGGUGCCGCAGGUGCGUCUAGUCCGCACUCACGGUUUCGUGUCGUCUGAGAUGGAGCGGCUGAGGGAUCACUCGUUUGGCUCUGGGGGCCGCGAAGAUGAGGAUGACGACUACCAGGAUCCGGGAGCUGCCGCCUUCUUUUUCUGAAUAGCACUAGCCGCAGCAGGGAGGGGAGAAGGCGGGAAGGAGGGGGGGAGAGGCGGGAAGGAAGCGGUUGCCUCGUUCUGGGUAGCAGCAGGAAAGGAAUGGAAGAGAGAUAAGAGCUGCCGUGGGUGAAUUGAUAUGGGCUUUGGGGAACGGAUUAAUGGGGGCUGUUUUUGUCUGUGUGUCUGUCUGUAUGUAUGUGUGUGUGUUCUGCUUCUGCUUGUGUCGUGUUUGCGGUGUUUGCCGCCCCGCGUCACACAGCCAGUCACCGAGGUGAGGAAGAGCCUCAACAAUGCGCACGGUCACCACCACCACCACCACCACCCACUCCACAUUCCUGGAGCAUAAGGCCCCCCUCACCCACCCACUCACUCACCUGCCCGUAAGACCCAUCUGGCGCUGCCUCCAUCCACCUACCCACUCUACACACACCACCGGAUCUCAGGUACCCCCCCCCGGGAAAUACCUCUGGCAUCAGCAUCGCUCGUCCGUGUUUCGUCUUCCCCGAGGGAAUGGGACGUGAGGUGCGGUGCAGGAAAGUACGGAAUUCUGUGUGUGCAAGUAAGAUGGUAGUAUCCUUUCUUAAAGAAACCUGUCAACUUUGUCUGUUAUGAAGAUUUGUUUUUCUCGUUCUCGAAUACAAACUGAGACGAAAUGCUUCAUAUAACCAUGAUUUUUUGUGGGCUUGAGCGGAAUUGGCGCAUGGGAUGGAAUGAUGGAGGGGUUUUAGGGGUUGACCUAGGCACAGACGUGUGUAUGCAUGUAUUGUGUGUAUGUAUGUUUGCACGUAUGUAUGUAUGUGUCCUCAGCCGUCACUGUGGGACCGAUCCCGACUUCGUAUCCUGAUAUGUGGUUUCGGUGUGACAGCUUACCGCACGACAUGGCCUUUGCGGAAGCUUUCUUUGCUGUAUGUUGAGCGAGUGGAUGGCGGUGGGGGGAGAACCAGCUCUCGAUGGUGGGUGGAUGGUGGCUCCCAACCCCGAUUUCGAUUUUGGUGGCUCGUUGUUGUUAUCAACAGGAUUAGGCAAUGCGUUUCCGUGGCACCCGGAUAGGGGUCGUUAGACAGGUGGUUGUGGCUUUUUGUGAGACCAUUUUCGGGACCCCAAGGAAACCCUGUUUUUUGGGUUUCCGGUGUUUUUUAGUUUAGGACGAGGCACAUAGAAACUGGAAGAACCUUUGCGGGCUGGCGGAACCUGCAUCUUUUAAGCUUGUGAAAAGCGGCGAUUGAAACAUUGACGAAGAACACAUACACCAGCGAGAACUUGUUUUUUUAAUAGGCUGUUUAAAUCUUGUUUUUUUGAAGUUAAUGCCUAAGUAACAUCGAACCAACGAAUUUCCACGUGGAUGUAUAAACGUCUUUUCCGGGGUUGCGAUGUGGUGGAACUGCGCUACUACCAACAACGCCUUGAGACAGGGAGGGCACAUCAUACACCGGACAUAGCUCGUCCGAGCGUACGGCUGAUGCCUGCCUCUGGCGUCCCUUCUACUGUUGCCUGCCGUACAGCACCGUCUUCGGCAUCCCCUCUGUAACACUACACAUAUCCAAGUGCUUAUUAUAUAUCUGUAUCUGCCACUAUCUGCUUUGCUACCUGUGUAACAAGGUCCUCAAUCAGUGCCCACGAAAUAAUGACAAUUGACAGUCCAUGCCCCCCCCCACACACACCCCUGACCCCGGGGCUUUAAUUUAGACUUUUAGGACGCGGAACAUUCUGGGGGACCUGGGAACUUGUAACUUUGCAACCUAAGAACAUUCUGGGGGACCUGGGAACUUGUAACUUUGCAACCUAAGGACAUUCUGGGGGACCUGGGAACUUGUAACUUUGCAACCUAAGGACAUUCUGGGGGACCUGGGAACUUGUAACUUUGCAACCUAAGGACAUUCUGGGGGACCUGGGAACUUGUAACUUUGCAACCUAAGGACAUUCUGGGGGACCUGGGAACUUGUAACUUUGCAACCUAAGGACAUUCUGGGGGACCUGGGAACUUGUAACUUUGCAACCUAAGAACAUUCUGGGGGACCUGGGAACUUGUAACUUUGCAACCUAAGAACAUUCUGGGGGACCUGGGAACUUGUAACUUUGCAACCUAAGAACAUUCUGGGGGACCUGGGAACUUGUAACUUUGCAACCUAAGAACAUUCUGGGGGACCUGGGAACUUGUAACUUUGCAACCUAAGGACAUUCUGGGGGACCUGGGAACUUGUAACUUUGCAACCUAAGGACAUUCUGGGGGACCUGGGAACUUGUAACUUUGCAACCUAAGGACAUUCUGGGGGACCUGGGAACUUGUAACUUUGCAACCUAAGAACAUUCUGGGGGACCUGGGAACUUGUAACUUUGCAACCUAAGAACAUUCUGGGGGACCUGGGAACUUGUAACUUUGCAACCUAAGAACAUUCUGCGGUGGUUGAAUACACGAACGAGAACACACGCGUCGUGCCUCUUAAAGAUCCCCCGACGGAAGAAGUGGAGGGCAACUUCCUUUCUCUUGUCGAAAGGACCACCAUUACAAUUUUCGAACAACGACAAGAAAAAACAAGUCGUACAGUCCCUCACAUUCGUCACAUCUCGUGUAUCAUCAUCAUCAUCAUCAUCAUCAUCAUCACUCCGAUCAUGAUGCCGGAAGAAGAUAUGUUCUGAAACGGGAAUCUAGAAGACGCCGCCCGCUACGUCAUUUUUUCAAACGCAAGAAACUCAGCAUUGCAUACCAGCAGCAGCAGCAGCUCCCACCGCUUCAACCACGUACACAGCCGGACACACAACAUUUCACUCUCGGGACCCAAAGAUAGAGAUCGCUUGUCAAGAUAACUUAAGACGCACAUCAAUAAACUCAUGGCCGCAGGACUACCCCCGCUCUCCCCCCUCCCUCCCUACACUGCAUCCUGGCCGAAUCAAGUCAUAUCAAUUACUGUGAUACUGGCACUGCUACUGCCACUCCUGCUGUCUGUCCUAUCCGUACUUGUGGUGGCGGUAGUCGUAGCGGUGGCGGCGGCGGCGGCGGCGGCGGUACUGGAGGUGACUAUGGCGCCAUGGCCGGUGGUGGCGGUGGUGGUGAUGGUAGUAGUGGCGGUGGUGAUGGUGGCGGUGGUGGUGCUGGUAGCGGUGGUCGUCACCGCCAGGGCAGUGCCGACUGACGUACACAUCGCCGGUGUGACUCCCUCCGCGAUCCCUGCUGGCUGCCGGGCCCCACCAUCGUUGGCAGUAGCAGCAGUAGCACCCACAACAGCUGCAACGGCUUGGCUGCUAUCUGCACCCCCUUCGUGGGUCGGUGGUGCUGGUCGUCUUGGGAGUCCUGGAGCGAUCGCCCACAUGGCGCGUUCCCGGCCGCCUGCUCCGGCGGCUGCUUCCCCAGCGCCAUCCCCUGCCGCCGCCGCCGCCACCGCCGCCACCGCCAUUUCUUCCCCAGGCUCCUCCGCAGCGGUCCCCCCUUCUUCAGGGUUGGUCGAACUCUCCUGAUCCGCACUUGAUGCCCUUUCCACUGCUACUGCUGUUGCUGUUGGCGCUGCUACUGCUGCUGUUGCUGUUGUGUAGUGGGUUUGCUUCGCUGCCGCUUCCGACUCUCCGUACGUGACCGACUGGCCAGGAAAGUGAAGGGAGGGGGGAGAAGGGAGAGGAAGGGGAUACAAGAAAAGAAGUUAAGGAGUUCAGGAGGAGAGAUAGCUAGAUGAGUGGCGCGUUUGGGUUGGCUGUGGUGAUGUGUUGUUGGUGUUGGUGUUGGUGUUUGGUGGUAUAUCGGUCAUGGGGAUAUUCGCUGCUGCACAUCAGCAGCACAUCUACAUCAAACUCCCACGCACACACAGAACACAUCAAUAGAUUCAAGCAGUUAUGCUGCGUUCAAAACUUCAAAACCCUGCGUUCAAAAAAUUCAAAACCCUGCGUUCAAAAAUUCAAAACCCUGCGUUCAAAUUCAAAUGCAAACCUCACCUCCACUCGACCCAGCGCAACAAUCACCGGCGUCAUCACCGCCGCGCUGCUGCCUCCCCCCACUCCCCCCGCCAGGCCGCCACCACCACCGCCGCCGCCGCCGCCGCACCCGUGCUCAGCCGCCGAACACCUCACCGCCCCCAGUACGACAAAGCGACCCAGUACGGGAUACUCCCGAAACGGCUCUACCACGAGACGGGGGUGCAGCGGCUCAAACACGGCUUCCGCCACGUCGCCAGCCUGGAGACCGACUUGCUCGUCCAAUCUCUCCCCCAACAUCUCGCCAGUGCCUUUUUUACGAGGUUGCAGGGUGGGAGAGGGGGAGGGGGAGGGGGAGGGGGUGGGAGAGGGGGAGGGGGUGGGAGAGGGGGAGGGGGAGGGGGAGGGGGCCCGGGCGGUAAAGGGAUGGCGAGGUGGGAAUAUAUACGCGAAAUGCAGAAACUCAGUAAAAGAAAAAGGCAGAAUGCGGAAGUCCCCAGGCUCCCAGGUCCCCCAUGUCAUCAGGAGCCCCUGUUACCCCCCCCGGCUGUGUUGCCCCCUUGACACGGCGGGGUUUUAUGUAUUCGCGGGGCCACAUUCGGUGUAUAGACCACCGUGAAGGUCACGGAAAGUCCCCGGAAAAUGCGAGUGGGCUAGAACAUAAUAUGAUAACUUCCCCUUCCACCCAACCCAAAUCACGUGCACACACAUACAUACGCACAUGCACACGCACAAGCACUUACACAUACAUACAUACACACAUUCGCUCACGCAAUGCCCCCCGCAACCUCCCUCACAGCCAUCGCCAUCCGGAGACAAGGACGCUCUGUUACUGCCGUCGUACCCCCCCCGGUGUCCCCUCGGAAAGGGUUGUCUUCCCCCCCCCUUUGAAGGGGAACAAACCCUUUUGAAAUUCCUCUUCAGGAUUCCGCCUAAGGCUGGAUUGUUGCUCCGAAUCCGGGCCCAAACCCGGUUCCUCGUCUCCCCCCCCCCCACACACAAAAAAACACCUCCGCCGUACCCUUUGUGUCGCAUCUUCUGCUGCUGACCAAGCGGCAAGGUGCAUGGGCUGUGUGCACGUGAACUAGGGCCACAUACCCGGGACGAAGGCAGCCGGGGCGGCUCUCCCGCCGCGAGCUAGGGUCGCGCAGGACCUUGGGGACGUCACACGAAAAUGACCAUUUUGUGUUUUUUUCGGAAAGACAGGGUGAGGGAAGGGGAGUGGAGGGGAAAUCAUACAUACAUACAUACAAAUAGAAGGGUACUGCAGGAAUAGACAGAUACUGCAUCAGGAAAAUGUAAAAUGUUAGAUGCCUGCGGGGAUGACAUGCAGUGCGCGCAACUAAGAGAAAAAACAACUGCUAUGGCGACAGGACGCCCAAGCGACUAGCUGCCGUACAAGUCCAAAGCAAAGACCGCGCAAUGGGGCCCGGGCCGUCGCUCUGAAGCCCUUGCGGAGUCGAUGGCGGGUUUGGGGUUUGGAGGUUUGAGGUCUUAGUCGUACAUUGGCUGCUUAAAAGAACCUUUUGACCUUCAUCCCCCUCCUCCUUUUAAACGAUUUUCCCUAAAACCCUAAAACCCAAUUAGCCCCGUUACCCCUCUUUUUCCCCCUCCCCCGCGUUUCCCCCAGGGGCCCCUCCCCCGCCGAACCACCCUCAUCAUCAACACCGCCAUUACCCACUCUCUUAGUCCCCCCUGGAAUACACACACGACACGCAUACACAUACUCACACACACAUACACACACGCACACACUCCCCGCCACCCGGCCUCCUUCCGGUGAUUUCUCACUUACUCGAAUCCUAGCUGUGAACCGAACCGCAAACCUCGCGGGCUGGUCCCCGGCGUCCGACACCACAUCCCCCCGCCGCACCCGCCACGCCGGCACCCCCUUCACCGCCAAACCCACCCACUCCCCCGCGGCGGCGGAGCCGCGACUGUCGUGAAAGCUCUCCAGGGAGCGUACGACAGACGUCAGUGCUGAGGUUGCUGAGCCCGGCCGUGCGGCUUCGUCGCCGAAGCCGUUUUUCCUAGCUGCAGUAGCUGCAGUAGCUGCAGUAGCUGCAGUAGCUGCAGUAUCUGCUCGUACGACUGACGUGGAAGCUGGAGGUGUUUGUGGUGGGGGGGAAAGGGGGGAAGGGGGGAGGAGCUGGGCCGUGGUUCCCACACGAACACACCCACACGCCACUCGGCCUGCUGGUACAGUGCCGAUACCGCCCACCUUGUAGACCCCCUGUUUAGGGUUUUAGGGUUUUAGGUUUUUAGGUUUUUAGGGUUUUAGGGUUUGGGGUUGGUUAAGGUGGUUAGCGGGGGGUUGUUGUUAGGGUUGGAGUCGUACGAGUGCAAGAAGCUAACGCUUUUAGGGUGUUACGGUGGGAUUGAGGUGAGCAAUGGAUUAUUUCCAAAAGCGAGCACGUGUUGGUUUGCGGCGUCAACGGCCCCACACCCCCUUGCGUUGCGGUGGGUGGCGUUGGGUUGCCCUUUCCCCCAGCAUAUUGCAGACCCCCGUCUGACGGCGGCGGCGGCGGCGGCGGCUUGCCCUUUCCCCCCCCCCAAAACACACACACACGCUUCCCCCUCACUUCCAGCGCCAUUUUGACCUACAAAACCCCCAACCCCAACCCCNNNNNNNNNNNNNNNNNNNNNNNNNNNNNNNNNNNNNNNNNNNNNNNNNNCAUCCGCCGCCGCUCUUCCGCGCCCUCACCAUCCAAGCGAGCCCGCAGUGAAGCUGCCUCUUCAUCCAGGCGGCUCCGCUCAGCAGCCGCAUCUGUGUCUAAUCGCCGCCGCUCCACCGCUGCAGCCUCGUCCAGCCGUUUGCGGUCCGCUGCCGCUGCCUCCUCCAAGGCCUUCGCAUGCUCCUCCCUCUCCUGUUUCAGUUGUAGUCUUAAGCUAGCCGAGUCUUCCAUGGGCUGCGUGGGCUGAGAAGCUUCCAUGGUGGGCACCUGCCGCGGCGACAUUUACGACGAAUGCCAGCAGAAAGUUAUGUCCAAAAGAGCAGGGCAGCAGGCACGCCACGGUAAUAAAUGAGAUAGUCGUUUUUAAUAUAUGAAAAAUCCUAAGUCUGGAUUAGGUUUCCAGGUAUGGCAUCUAUGGCGUAGGUCAUGCAUGGCAGGCAAGUGCGAGCGAGAGCAGAGACGGACUCACCACCUGGUUGCGAGGUGUAGGCUGAACGCGCACGACAUUGCCUGCCUCCUGUUGCAUAGGGGACAUUAAUCAUUAAAGUAUGGACAGGUCAUACCACCUGCCGACGGAGCUACCCUGUCGCGUACCGUGGAGCCUGCUCCACCCAUGUUUAAGAAUGAGAUAAAAAUGCAAGUUAACAGAGAAGUUUAAGCGCGAGCUUGCUGGUCAGGCACUGUUGUGCCGGUAUUCGAUUGUCUAUGCCUUAGGUUUAUUACGUUCCAUGUUAAGCAGGCCAGUAAUGCGAAGUAUCUCUCUUAUAUGUAUCUCCCUUAUACGUCUAAAUUAAAUGCAAAAGCCUCGGACGCAAGUACUCAUGUCAGCGUUACCGGCAGGGCAACUAGGCACUAAGGACAGGCGCCGCGUGAGAUUCGUACAAUGCAACAGCAAUCAUAAGCAGAGCUAUGAGCUCUGCAUGCCUACGAAUGAAUUACGGAUGAGCCGGCGCGCGAAUGUUGCAAGACCAUGUUUGUACGGCAGCCUUAGAUAUGUGAUAUUGGCUAAAUUUAAGCUGGGUAGUGAUCAAUUUGUAAAGUCGCAUAGCGUUGAAGUAUAUAAGGUUUCAUGAUUCCUUGCGACACCACGACAUGCUGUUAGAGAUAAGAGUCCUUCAGUGAACACAUCACUCGCUCAUAUCGUUACACAAGGAGAGAGAGAGAAAGGAUACGCAAGCAGUAUAUAAGCAUACCGUAGCCAAUCCUGAUCCGAUGUCGUAUUGGGAUAACGGCAACUAAUCAAACUACCGAAGUGUCAAGCCUGAGUGUACCUAAGAGCACUUUCCAAAACUCCCACGCGCUCAGGACUUGCACACGUUCAUCGCUAUACGAUGCUUCUCAAACUUCUCAGUUGGUAAAGGCUUAGUUAAGCAAUCAGCUACCAUAUCUUCCGACCUGCAAUCUNNNNNNNNNNNNNNNNNNNNNNNNNNNNNNNNNNNNNNNNNNNNNNNNNNACCCCAACCCCAACCCACAUACAUACACACGCACCAUGCGCGGACUUUAAAUCUCCGCUUCCCCUCCUACACCCGCACUCCCCAGGCAGGUCUGUUCGAAGCACAUACAUACAUACAUAUAUACAUACAUAAACACAUACACACAAUGACGGGCAUACGCAUCGGCAAUAUGGGCCCCGUCCUCGCCACCGCCGCCAUCACCGCUGCCGGCACGGCUGCCGUACCCCGCGUGACGGCCGGCGUCGCCGCCGCCGCAGCGGAGGCAGCAGCAGCAGCGGCGGCGGCGGCAGCGGCGGCGAUCGCCUCCGUCAACGUGGGUCCCUUCCACCAGGGCAAGCGGGCGGCGGCCGGCUCGGCAAGGUUGUCGCCCGUCAGUGCGGAGACCGGAACGAAGGUGGCGGACGGACACUGCAAAUCGAAACGAAGAGCCGAGCGGCGGCGGCGGAGGACGUCGGGUGCCGUACAGUGAGGCAGGUUUAUUAGGGUUUUUUAGAGUUUUCUUUUCUUUCUGAGGGUUUGUUUAUUUUUGAGAGAUGAUAGGGUACCUGAGGACACCAUCCCGCCUAGUUCCGGAGCUGAAGCGUUUUUAAAAAGAAAAAAAGCGUUUUUGAUUUAUUAAAACUCUUCCCCUCAUGCAGCUUCAGUAAUAUGUUUAUCAUGUACAUCGAGGUGCCUUGACAAAACCACCCUAAACACACACAACCCCGGGCCCUAUCUCCCCCCCCCCCUAAAACUCGCCUCCCCCCUUUUAAGAGAGGUCCGAGAUGUAAAUAUUUGUGCUGUGGUGGAGUGCUGGCCAGCUAAAACACUAUCAGGAGUUCUAAUUUUUCGUUCCAAGGUAAUCAAAAUCCAAUCAACCUUGAGAGCCUCAGACGUUUUAGGAAGCGGUUGAUUUAAGGUGAUGAGAGAUGAAGAAAAUGAAGACCGAGAAUGCGGUUUUCGCACCGUAUGCGUGUGUGCGCACAUACAUACACACAUACAUAUACACGUACCUGGCGCUUCGUAAGUUUCCGUACAAUUUCCACUGCGUCUUUGAAGCGUUGCUCGGCCAAGUCCGGGUCAGCCUCAACCGCCGCGUCAAGGUGGUUGAUUGCAACUACCUUGGUUUUCCAGGAGAUCGAACCGGGACGAAUGACCGUUGGAAGUUGGUCAGGUUAAUGACGGUUGUUAACGGGUAAACCUGCUUUGCAAGAGAUUGGUUUGGGAUUCGCGCAAACUUCUCUGCCCUAGGUGGGGUUGAGAUAACGCACGUGUCUGUCUGUCUGUAUAUCUGUCUGUAUGUAUGUGUGUUUUGGACAGGAUCAAUGCACUCACGAUACAAACCUCUUAGGAAAGAGGAGGCCAUAAGGCCCAGGAGGUGCUUUCCCCCUCAAUCCCUCAACACCAUAAAUGAAAAUGAAAAGAAAAGGGGGUGAAAAGGAAACGGGGUUUGGGAGGUGGUGUGUGGGGUUCAAGUCAAGUGCGAAGCUGUGUAGAGCCAAGAAAAUUUGAACGAAACGAGGGGUUUCGGAGCCAAUGACAUCCUCCAGCUCCUCUCAUCACAGCGCUCCUCCCGCCAAGCACUUUGGAAUUGUGUGCACCAGUGUUGCACCCACCAUCAAUCGCUGGUUGGCAAGUGUGGCGACCAGGGUGGCGAUGUCACGAAUCUCGGACCUGACGGCGGGGGACUCGAGAACCGCCGGACGACUGUCGACCACCAGUACGGCAAUGUCCGCCUGUCGUACAGGUAGUACCGCGCAUGGAUGUUGUUGUCCUUGUGUAGUGUGUGUGAGUGUGUGUGCCUGUGUAUGUGUGUCUGUGCGUGUGUGUCUGUGCGUAUGCGUGUGUGUGUGUCUGUGCGUAUGUAUAUCCGUGCGUAUGUGUGCCCGUGCGUAUGUGUGUCUGUGCGGGGAGGGAUGUUGGCGGUCAUGCAACAUGCAUACACAUGCAUGCGCAUCAUGUCCAGGGAAGGGGGUGGAGGGGGGAAUGGAGGGGCGAAGUGGUUACCUGCAUACACACACACACACACACAAAGAUGCACACACAUACCGGUACAUUCAUCUGACCAUAACUACCACUACCAUUCAUCUGACCAUGUAAUGAUCGCACACCGAAACACGCACACACCGAAACACACAUACAUACACUGAGUCGGGGUCAGGAGCACGCAAGGCUAACCGACUUGUGCUGUGUGCUCCCGACCCUUGCGCUGUGUUUCGGCUUCGGCCCCCGGCUCUCGCGGCCCACAGUGUAAUCUAAGUCAUACAUACAUGCAUGCAUACAUACAUGUAUACAUACAUACACUCAACACAUGCCUGCGUUAUCCCUGCAAUGGUACUCCUCAGGUAGUCCCGGUGACCGGGGGUAUCGAUCAGAGUCAGCACCACAUCUGUAUUCCCGCCAUUCCCUCGAGGGGCCGCUCCAGGACUGCUGCUGGCGGUGGUUGUAGCGGUUGCGAAGAUAGUUGAAGAAGGUAGUUGCACACGGUUGAGUUUCAGGUCCAGGGUCAUAGACCGGUCUCGUUCCAAGCGGGAGCGAUCCAGGACCUGACCCACAACAAUAACAACAACAACGAUGACGAACGACAGCAGCAGUAGCAGAAGCGGUAGCAGCAGAAGCAGUAGCAGCAGUAGCAGAAGCGGUAGCAGUAGCAGCAGAAGCGGUAGCAGUAAGAAGCAGAAGCGGGAGCAGUAGCAGCAGUGUUUCGCGUGUGGGGGGUGGAUGUACGACCGCUCGGAGCCCAGAGUUCAGUUCCCCCCCACCCCUAAUCCGCAGGGCCACGGGAAAAAGGGGAACUUCUUCCUUAAGUGGGAGCACAUGUACCGUGCCGUGUCGUGGCGAGCGUACGGCAUAGUACAGCCCGGGGACACCAGAUGGCUACAGCUGAGGCAUCUUCCUCUUGUUGUGCGAGCGUGGUGUUCCUCUUACCCAUGCAUACCGCGAAGUGGGGCGAUUGCUGGUUUCUCUUUCAACCCGCAUCAGAAUCCGCUUCUCCAGUCCGCCAAAUUUGACCAAUAUAUGACCCGCUGCCGUGCUCUUCCCAGAUUGAUGAUGACCCACGAAAACAACUGUGGCAUGCGGUUGCGGGUCUGUAGAAGCCGGUGUCGGCGCUGUCAUGGCGAUGGGCUGACAACUCUUCGGCGCCUAUCGACACUUGCUCACAUGGAUUGGCUCCCUAAACGCAUCCGCAUAGCAUCGUUGGUAGGAUUGCUUGCAGUAGGACGCGGGCGCCCAAAUUUUUUAGACGAUGCACGGCAAUACGAAUUUUCUCUGCUUGCUUGUCCGCAUAAAAUGCCGGCCAUCGGCAUAAACCUCCAAGUGUGCUCGCUGUAGCAACAUUGUAAUGCAGCACGUUCAUUGAAAGGGUGGCGCGGAAACAUAGCUUCGAUCUAGGUGCUGCCGUUGGGCUUGAAGGUUGGCCUCCUCUUGAACAUGGGCUCUCGAAUCUACGUUGGCAACCUUCCUGCGGACAUUGCAGAACGGGAUGUGCGUGAUGAGGUAAGUAGAGGCUUUGGCACGUUGCGAUGCUGACAUCCUGUUUGACCCCACUUGCCACCGGAACGGCGCAGUUUGAGCGAUUUGGCCGUGUGAGGACAAUAUGGGUUGCCCGCAAACCGCCUGGUACGUUUGUGUCUAGGCUACGUGCUGUUAGCGGCACGGGAGCAGGCUAGCUUAGCGGCUUCAUGCGGUUCCGCUGUUGCACUGCUAUUGCGCCACAUUUGCUGUGCUAUCAACUGAUUUUUCCAAGAUUUCUAUUUUGAGUUAGGUAGGUCCCCCCAAGCGGUUGUCUGACGCGUGGCGGCCGCCUUGGAAUAACUCCCAGAAAAGAUGCGGCAGUCAGUGCCUUACACCUGUUGUUGCCAUUGUCGCUACGUCGUGUGAAUGUGGCGGAGACGGACAGGGAGCCUCCACUGUGCUCUUUGCCAAUGGGAUAUGAGGUCUCGUAGCCGUUAGUAAAACAGACGCCUGUUACCCUUCCAUUUUAAGCAGGUUUCGCAUUUUUGGAGAUGGAGGACGACCGGGACGCAUCUGACGCUGUUCGUAAGCUGGAUGGUAAGCGUUCCGACGUUUACUGCAUCGCAAGUCGCCGUCGCCUAAUAUCAUUGCAGACGUGUACAUACAUACAUAAGAAGGCUCUUCAGUUGGGUCAUUCUUCUUCUUCUAGCCGUUUUUCCUCUAAGCAUGUGCCUCUAACCUCCUCGCAGGCUUCCAGGGUUGGCGUGUGGAGUUCAGUCGGCGUGCCGACCGGGGGCCGCCGCCGCGCGGCGGCAUGGGUGGCAUGGGUGGCCCGAUGGGUCGGGAGCUACGAUGCUACGAAUGUGGCGAGAUUGGGCACAUCGCUCGCGAUUGCCGUAGUAUGCGGGGCGGCGGCAUGGGGGGAGGCCGCGGGGGCAUGGCACCACCACGUGGUCGCAGCCGCAGUCGCAGGUGAGCUCAAUAAAUAAUUGAAAUCACCAUUUCGCCAUGUCUGUAUCCGCAAGUCGCAACCUAUAACCUCUCCUAACGCAAUAUUUAUCGCGGGUUUGUUUUUAUGAACUGCAGUCCCGUGCGGCGCAGCCGGAGCCCCUCGUACGACCGCAGGCGCUCGCCCAGGUACGAGACUCGGCUCCGUGUUCACGCGAAUGUACUGCUGUCCGUAUCAACCACAAAGUUGCCUAAUUGGUUUGUAGCACUAAGUCAAUUUACGCGCUCCUCCGCUUUGACUCGGUGUGCAGCCCGCCAAGGCGCCGGGACGAGGGCCGUGAGCGCGACCGAAGCCGGAGCCGCAGCCGGGAUUGAAGACUGUCGACGACGGAGAUGGCCGUGUGGAUUAAAGUUCGGGCUUUUCCUAGGCUCUGUAGCAAGGCGAACUCCACAGCUUGGGCUUCCGUCCUGCAGUUUGAGAGUUUGUGUUUCGGGCAUGCAUAAUAUGCAAACGCGGCUGUUUGUGGGUGGCGACGGGCAUGGGGGGGGUGCUAUUGGCAUGGCCUGCGUUUCCCGAACUGGGUUCAGGUAUGGUCCAAGCAAGGGAAUAUGCCCUUUCGUGUGAAUGGACGUGCAUGACGACGGAGUAUGGGACGUAAUCGGAUUGACGCGCGGAUGGAUUUUCGUGGUAUGAAUAUAGUAUGAAUACGCGUAUUGAUUUGAGUUUUUUGUGUUGUUGGACAUGUUUGGCUGCGAAUGUGGUUACUAUUUGGUUACGGUUUGAAGGGGUUUUGCAUGUGCGGUGGCGGAGGGCGUUCCUGUGCACAUAUUUUGGAUGCAACUGAGCAGUGCACGUUGCGGCCCCUUCCCUCCACAGGGGGUGCCGUCUGAUGCAUCGAUGCGCCUCUCUCCGCUUCGCUUCGCGUCGCUUCACUUCACUCCUGUCUGCACGCCUGCUGCGUCUGCGCCUUUGGCUUCCCUGUGGAUUGCUGAUGGGUGGUCUUCUGUGGAAAAAUUCAACUACCAACUGCUGCAUCUGCUUCUGCUGCGACCGUGGGCUGCUGUCGACGUGCACGCGACCCUGCCGAACGCCCUCCCUGCACGUCAAAACUGUCUGCUUUGGACGUUUCUGCGCCCGUCGGGUCGGCUCUUGACGAAACUCACUACUGUGGAUGGUCGUCGAUUUUGGUGCGUGUAGUUUGUUCGUAUGCCAUCCGAGCUCCCCCUGUCCUUAAAGGUUACCAGACUACACAGGUGAGAAAUUGCAGGAUCGACUUGGACUUCGAAGCCAUGGGAGCUGCCUGGCCUUUGGUGCUGCCCCCUGAUUGUAUAGGCACCCGUACGUCUUAGUGGUGCACAUGUUUAAUGGUUGCAUGUUUGUAACAAGUUACAAAAAUGAUCCACUUUGUCCGUCCGUUCCGUGUUGAGGAGCUUCGUCACAUCAGACUGCGCAUUUUUAUCUGGCAGUACCAAGUGGUUGCAGAAAUGACGUAGAAGUAGCAAAGCAACGAAUUCAGACGUUGUCCAGAUGCAAAGUUGUACUUCACAGCUUCAAAGGAAGUUCAAAUGUCAACAGUCAAGUACAGCGCGGGCAGAAGUAGAUUGAUCAUAUGACACUUACCGUUGCCUUCCCAAAAUAAACGUGAAAGCUGUCAGCAUUUAUUUUAACAUCUGACUAACUGCGCGAACAUUCGUGUUUUCCGUGCUUCAUGGUCAACUGUUUCUGCAGAGUCAUUUCGUGGACUCAAAUAACUUACGUGUCGUGAAUUAUAAACUUCUCAUAAUUGCUUUAUGCUUAAAAAAUGGAGCGUGGACGCCAGUCACGGAGCGUUUCCAGGCAAGGGACAAUCCUGCGCACCCGGAUCGACCACUUCUGUAGGAAGUUUGCAAAGUCAUAGCUACUAAAUCAACAUGCAGGUCACGUAGUCGUCGCGAUGAUCGACGUCGUGAGUCCCUGCAUAGUUCCCAUGAGUCCUUGGCCGGUAACCUAAGCCCUGGACGCAGUCACGGCCAUCGGCGCGAGGGUUUCUUCAAGAGUCUUUUUGGGAGGCGCGAUAAACACCAUGAAGUGCAAACCCAGCAGCAGUAUCAGCAGGUUCCAGGGGACAUCAGCCCGCAACCUCGACCUCCACCACCGACGUCGUCAUCCCCCGGCUCUAAGUUGAAGUCGUUCUUCAGUGGAGGUUCUCCGCAAGGCAGGACAUCUCAAAAUAUCAGCCCUGCAGCAGCCCGCGGCGCAGCAGAGGAGCUGCAGGUGAAGGAACUGCAACACCGUGUGCAGCUUCUCACUGCGCAGGUGGAGGGCUACGAGAAGGUCAAACAACAGCUUCAGGCGGAGCAGCGCGCCGCUCAGGACUGGAAAGAGAAGUGGAACUACCAAAACUUUAAGCUCAACGUCAUGGUGGACAUGCUAGUCCUGCGAGUUCUAGAACUGGAGCAGCCAAGUGUGUCGCAGCUGUGAUGACGGUCACACCACGAAUGGAUUAACUAAUGAGCCACGUUCUAUAGCCCUGCUGCGUAAUCCUGCUGCACCUCUUGUGCUGAUACCAAAGAUGGGCGUCACCAGGAAAUGCGAGUGCUUGCCGGAGCGGACCUGGAGUCGUACACAGGUGAUGGAAAAAGGGGUUGCUAUGAUUGGCUCUAGGGAUAUGUGCAGGAGGCAGUACAAGGGCCGGAGAAGUGGACGCAGACGCAAAUAUCCAGAUGCGAGACAUGGCUGGCGGCAUAGCACGUGUAUAAAGUACGGUGCCUGCCUGUACCCCCUCGCCUCCGGGGUUUCCUGCAAGCAUUGCAGUGCAAUGGGUUCGGAAGGGCCGGGACGGCUGAGAAAAUUGAGAGUUCUUGGCAAUUCACUAGCUACGGCGACUCGCGAGCGAUGGCUCCCGGAUUGGAGCGUUAUGAGUUACAUACAUGGAGGUUUAUGAUAUGGCUGGGGAACAACAGACCGUAUGACGUCAGCAGGGGCAUUGGGAAAGAGCGUGUACACCACGGAUAGUACACCCCAACGGAUGGGUCAUAGGUGUGCUGGCACACAGGGCUUGUGGGGUGGCAGUACUGUUAAGACGGUGGUGUGUGGGACGAGUGCCGACCCGGAUAUACCCAUUUUGAUGUACAUGUGAAUCUAUUGCAUUCCUAUCUAUUGCACUGCGGACGUGGCAUUUGUUGUGUGUCACGACCAUUGUGUCAUGGCCAUGCAUCGAUAUCAGCACGGAGAUGAUGAAAAUAUUCAACAUCGGAAAGCGCGCCCUGCUUUUGGCGCAUUGCGUGUCGGUGCUGCUGGUGUUGGCUUUGGGUGGUCUCAAUUUGCAAGAGGAAGGGGGGUGCAAGUAAGUGUGUGCAAGAGGGCUUGGACCACAGACCACCGGUCCAGAUACAGGUUGAGACGACGAAGACGCAGAUGACGAAGGUGGGGGGGAGGAGGUCCCUGCGGCCCAUGUUGCAAGCGGUCUCUAUUCCUCUUCUUCUGUGUGUCUCUUCCAGCUGCUCUCGUCAAUGUCGUUCCAUCUUAUCUGGGUGAUCUAGUGAAAAAAACUGCUAUGGGCAAUCAUCCUGUUCUUUCCUGCGCUGUCCGGCCCCUUCCUGCCCAGCGCUGAACCUGCCAAGGCGGUGUGCCGAGGUGCAUGUGGUGGUGCCGGGGGUGCAUACCGGUGUAACCUACCUCUCGUCUAUGUUAUGGUAUGUGGUGGCGGGGUAGGCAGGCAUUCACUGUCUGCCAGACGGGCAGAUUCCCGGCAGAUGCGCGCGGGUGAUCACGUGUCUUUUUUGCGUCUUGCCUCGUUUUGUUGGAACUGACUUCCUCGAGGAGUAUGUAUGUAUGUAUAUAUGUAUGUAUACGUGUGUGCGUGUGUAUUAUUCAUUUCGGGCACGCGUGUGGGGCCCCUCCCUAUCUCACUGUGUGUUCUGGUGCAUGCGUAUGGAAGUUCAUGACGGUUACGCGGCGCUAGCUGUGCAAGGGUGUCGAUUGUAGCGGAUGCGUGCGAUUAGGGUUGUACGCUGUGGCAAGUUGUGCGGUUACCCCGUUUGGCGCCAUCUGCGGAGGAGAACACUCUGGUAGUAGUGGACUUCCGGCGUUAUCAGGACGGCAAUAUGUGGAUGAAUCCCCGGAUCGGAUGUGAUGAUGGCUAUGGAAGGGUGAAUAAUGUGCGACCUGUGUGAGUGUCGCAUUCGUGGCGCCGCCGCCUGGGAAGGAGGGAGUCUCUCACCAACGUAGGAAGGGCGAUAAUACUACAAGCGGGGGGGGGAACCCACAACCAACUGUCCGUCACAUAGCCACUUAUAAUGAUUGUAGUGACUAUCCUUUGCUAUGAAGCUGAUGUCAGCCACCACCAUGGUUCUCAUCAUCUCAACCUGGCCCCAUCAAGAGCGACGAUUUCGGAAAUUGCUAGAAAAAACCGAAUGAACGAAAAGCCUGCAACUAUGAGUUCGGAACGAAGGGGUAACACCUAUGUAUACAUAGCCCGGUACAUGCUGCUGAGGGAGAAGUUCCCAAUCCAUGUGCCGCCACCACAUGCGUACCACUUCUGAAGUCGGAUGGGGUGACGGAUUAGGGUGCCCCUCUAGCAGGGGAGAGCAGGGACUGCCCCGGGAAAGGGGGCCGCAGGCGAAGCUUAACCACCCUGUAACGACAUACAUACCGCACGCAUGCAGCCACCAGACGCAAGUGCACGCCGAAUGGCACAUGGCCCGCUGCCGCUGCUGCACCUGCUGCAGCUGCUUCUUCCUUUCCAAUCUGCGCUAUCUGUCCCAUCUGUCCGUGGUGCCUUUUACUGCACCACAGAGGCUCUCGUCACAGCGGCUGCCUCCUCUCAUCCCGCUGCCACAUCCUGACUCCUCAACCGCCAACGAACGGCGCAACGAAAAAAAGCCAUGAUGGCACAAAAUCAAAUCAAAUCAAAACAAGAUAUUGUCUGCGUAUCCAUGCCUCGCCUCAGUAGCUGUGAAGAAGAUCCAACCAUACAUACAUACAUCACCAGCUACCCGUCACCCCCACGCUCCUCACGCCAGUCCACCGGGCGCCUUCACGUUCCAGCCAUGCCGUACGGAACUUCCGAAAGUCCGAAAGAACCGCCUCCGCAUCCCACAAUGCUCCCAUACCCGCCCCCUCCCCCACACCCACCCGCACCUGCAACCCCAUUUUUAACCCCAAUUCAGCCCCAGGGCUAUCGUCCCUGCAGCCGCCGUCGCCGCCGCCACUGCGACCACAGCACCUUCCAGACUCUUCCUCCCCAUUCCCCCAAUCGUCCCUUUCCGCGUCCUCCUUCGUGCGAUGAAACCCCUCCGUCGGUGCCGCCGCCGCCGCCGCCGCCGCCGCCUUCUUCACCCACACUCGUUCCAGAAAGUGCAGGUCAUCAUCGCUGUCGAGUAACAUUUGCAAACUGAUUGUAACGGGGGUUUGCGGCGGCGGCUGCGGUUGCGGGCCCGCAGUGGUUGCUAUGACGACGAAGUUGCCAUUGCUGUUGUUGUUCUUAUGAUUGAUGUCCUUGCUGUUGACAGUGGUGUGACUACUGUCCAUGCCACUUCCGCUGCUACUGCUGCUACUGCUACUGCUGCUACUGCUGUUACUGCUGUUACUGCUACUGCUGCCAAUUGUGAGACCCAGGCGCUCCGUGGUGUACGCGAACCUGGGCCCUAUCUGCAGCAGCAAGUUCUUGGACAGAAAUGGCGGGUACUCCAGAAGCUGUGUUGGGUAUUGUGGCGGCAGUGGUAUUGGUAAUGGUGGUUGAUUGGCGGUUGGGAUGAUGAUGAUGAUCCCGAUCGGGAGUUUUGCGGAGGCCAACAAUGUUGAGGGGGCCGCGGGGAAGCGGGACGUGUGUGCGCUCGCGAGGUCUCAAGUGACAGAGAGAAAGGAGAGAGAGAGAGAGAGAGAGAGAGGAUCCCCGCAGCAACAUGGACGGGACGGGGGGGGGGGUAUUCGACAGAGGGCUGCUGAGGCGCCAUUCAGUGCAUUUGGCUGGUGUAAGUGUGGCUGUGAGGGAGAGAGAGAAAGAGAGUGUGUGAGCGAAUGUGACUGCAAGUGUGUGAGGACUGGGGUGGCUUUAGGCAGCAAGGUAAGAAACAAAAGCAUACACAUAUACAUACGCACAUACACGUGUGGCUGUCCCCCUCCACAAAUUCCCCUGGCGCCUUCACCCCUCUCCCUCAGAGGGUUCUUCACCAGGGUACCCAAAAAUUUCGGUCGUGCCAGAAAUCCUCUGAAUAACCUUUCGUGGCCCUCCAUCCCUAUCCCCCUCCUUCCCCCCACAUCACCUGCUCUCGUCCGCCCGCCAUUUUCUCCGUCAGGAAGCGCCACUUGCGGCUCAGAUUGGCGGUGGUGAAUGAGAGCAUUUCGGGGCAUCCCUGGAGCACCAGCGCCGCCUGGCCCGCACUGAAUCCGCAGUGGGAGGUUAGGAAAGACAGACGCAGGUGCACCUCGGACGGCAAAUCCCCUGUGGAGAUGGUUGAGGUGUGAGUGUGUGGGCGUGAUGGGGAGUAAUGAUGAUGAUGAUGAUGGUGGAGAUGAUCACCACCGAGACCUAGUCGACCUUCGCCACCACGAGCUCUACGCUUUUUUCUACCGGUUAUAGACAUCAUCCCCCCUCUCUUCCCCCCUCCCCUCUCCCCCUCGAUUACCCCUCAAAACCCACUUACGGGUCAGCAGAGCUCCGUUCCGUAACAGCAACCUCCUCGCCACACCCCUCUCCAAUCCAGCACUGCACAACAGCUCCAGGCAGGGUGCCAGAUCUCUGACGGGAUCCAGGGAUAGCACCCGAGGACACCGACACAAGAAAUCCCGUACAUCCUCCUGUCGUACAGACACCGUACAGUAUCGUACAAACCAAGCGUCAACAUUACAUACUUGAUCUGAGGGUUAAAAAGUAAAUUUACGUGUGUGCGCUGUGUCAGAGAUUCAUCGGUUGCGCAGAAUGUAGCGGUUCGAGUACGGCAGCGUACGGCUGCGGGUGAGUUGGGGAGUUUGGGAAGAAAGGAAGAAAAACAGGCGUAGUAGUCGCAACACCGAUUGAUUUGUGACUCGUGUUUCGGCAAAGCAUAUAGGCCUCCAUGCCAUGUCAUUGUGUUUAAGCGCAACAAAGCUAAAUGUGCCAUGCCUUUUCUCCGACAUUUUUUUACAUUUUUCCUGUCCUUGACUUCAUCCCCGACGUACCUGUCCUAAUCCCAGCCCUUGUCGUAAAAACUCAACGGCGGGCUCUAAGCCGGUGUGUACGUCACUGAGCAGCACUCCGGGGUUUCUUAGGAUGACGGAAGACACCACGUCGCGAGGAGUCAAACCCAAGCUCUGGCAGCAGGAAAUGGGGGGGAGGAGGAACGGGGGAGGAGGAGAAUGGGGGAGGUGGAGAAGGCGGAGAAUGGGGAAGCGGAGGACGAGGAGGCAGCGCGGGGCUAUGGAAGGGGGACUUGCACAAGUGCGAGAUUGGGUUCAAAAAGGGGGCCCCUGCCAGGAAGAAGAACAUGGGCCGAGAGGAAACCUAAGGGCUUCCGUACCGUGCCAUAUUGUGCCGUACCUGCAGAUACGCGAUGGCGUUUCCCGCUUUGAAGAGGCUGCCAAGGGUGAACAGCUCGGGGAAUGCCCCGAGGAGAGCGAAGAAGUCCUGUCGUGACAUGCCAUAUGCCGUCAAGACUGCAAGGAGGGCGUUGCCGAGGAGAGAGGGAGGUGUUCAUCUCGUCCGUGUCCAGAGCCUUCGCUUUCUCUAACCUGCCUUUCCUUCCGCCUAGGGACGUGGAUGGCUUCAGGGAGGGGCACUGCGUAACUACCGCGAUACUGUGUCGUAUAAUUCUUGGUGACACGCGACCAGCCUUCCCGCCAUGGAAAGUAGACCACUACCAGGGCCCCUAGGUGGUAGAGUGUGCUAAAUCCAAAUUUGUUGAUAAUUAGGGUUGAAGCAGCUUGAGACUCACAGUCGAGCCACACGCCGAGGGGCACGCAAAGCAGCUGCGGAUUGCUGAGCAGCAAUGUUUUGAGGCGCUGUCUACUUGUGAGCGACGUUAAAGUAGCCAGCGCAGGCUCUGCGUUCCUGCUCAGACCGUUAAUAUCUCCAACACUGCGAAAGGUUUCAGCUGGUAUGCCCAAGUCCUCCAGGUGCUCUCGAACACUUGCCGGCAUUUGGAAGGGGGACGUCGAUCGACAGACCAGGCGCAGACUGCCAGGUGGGUUUGCUACGGCUGGAAUAUUACAUAGCCAACAUGCAUUCUGCGUUGAGGCUUUUCUCCAUUGGAGCGGCCGGAGCCGGCUAUGCCUGGAUAGCGUUUGCGCGUGCAUUAGCAACCCUAACUGGUAAUCUGAUCUUCACCGGCCUUCAACAACACGGCUGGCAAACCAAGUUUAUAGAUAUCAAAACGCAAGAGUGCAUUUUGUGGGAAUACCUUAGUAAAUUACAACUGAUGCCCCUGCUGACUUCAAUUCCAUUUCCCAGCCUACGAAGAUAGAUGAGAUAUCGUCUGGCAACAUUUCAAUUUGCAUAAGCAAAACAUAUUCCUUGCGGCUUACAUGCUGAAAAAUGCAAAUGAAGGAAUUAGUCGGUUGUUGCCGUUGCUUGUGCCACGGCUUGCGGCAGAGGAACGUCUGAUGGCCAAGCCAUGCGGAGAAUGGAUUAGUAAGGAGCUGCGAACAUCAGUCCAUUCGGUAAUGUCAUGUCGAACUACACAACUACUGCAGGGACGGAAUUCCUGGAGAUUCUGAACUAGAAGGGGCAUUGGAAGCACACCUGCUGAAUUUAAUUGUAAAUAGAUUGUAACACAUGGCGUGUGUAAACGUGAGAGUGCGGCAAAGCUGGAGCAGGGUGCUGCUGAGAUCGCUUGCAGCAGUUAGUAGGUAGAUCGAAAGGCACGACACUUUGCCUUAUUGUUGCCGUGGUAAUUUACCAUUCACGUCGACGCUGCCUGCCGUACUCACGGCGCUGGGAAUGGAGAGCCCUCAGAGAGGGGACACAGAUGAGAAGGAAAAGAAGACAAUCAUGGAGGGAGUGGAAAGGUUGUGAGGGCAGACGGUUUGCAUUGGCCCCUGACAAUAUGCAAGGAUAAUACUUGCAUUGCUCCUAUGUACCUUACAAUAAAAUACCUCAUAAAUGUAAGAUUUUGUGGCAUUUCGUGAUAUGUUGCCUGUUUUCUUAACUUGCUUGCCAAAAUGACGAGGAUGGGAUUUGAACCCACGCCCUUACGGACUAGAGGUUUUCUUCCAGAUAUAUCUUCUGGUAGACCUAAAUCUAGCGCCUUAGACCACUCGGCCACCUCGUCAAGACAUGCAAAAUCGGACAAUGUGAUAGUAUAUAUCGGCGUUUUUAAGAGUGAUGGUGACUGCUGCGCUACAUGGUGUAUGCAAUCCAAAUUGAAUUUAAAAACAGAUACUAGUGAUAUGUGUGUGUGUGUUACAUGGUCGUGGGGUGCGUUCCCCGUACCUGCCAACUGCCCUAAUACGAGCCGAGGGCUCAAGGGCUGCCAGAUCGCCCCAUCCUACCUCGCACUUCAAACAAAGCAAGUGACAAAAGAUACUAACGGAGGGAACGAUAGAGUUGCGGUGGGACCAUAUAUGUUCCAGAAUCCUUGUCAGGCGUUCAGGUUCCCAGUUCAUAGCGUCCUUCAUAUGCUCGAAGCGUGGGAAGUCCAUAUCAGAUCUAAUUUUGUCGUACACCGGACAGUCCAGCAAAAUGUGCUUCUCAUCCUCGAUAUGUCUAUCAGUGCCGCAGCAGGGGCAUACUCGCUCCUCCCUAGGUAUAUAACGCCGUCCCUUACGCGCUCUGUUAGCCGCCAAUGCCCAACAGCAAAGCCUAAACUGGAUAAGCUUGCGAUUCGCUGAAUGCGGGAUAAACAUUGUGAUAUGCGGGAGCACCUCCUUCCUGCCCGCUUGUUCGGCCGCCAGACCCAUCCAAUGCCUAUCCUUCGCCAUGUGAAUUCCUGGUUGCUUGCCCAGCUCUGGCUGGACAUCUAGACGCGUAUGCUUCCAACCACUCACCAAUCGGUCCUUGAACUCCAAUACCACACCGUCUGGCAAUGGCCUGUUCAUUAGCCAUUCCCCUCGUUCGUCUACUUCGUGUAGCCCUUGCGGGGCCUCUUUCCAUAUCGUCGUGCCCCAGAAAACUUAGAAAACGGAGGAUUAGGGGCCCCCAUCCGGCCCCUUCGGGGUUGAAGAGGGACUCUGCGACCUCCUGUCGCAAAACUUGGUUUGCCACAGACCCACGCUGUAAACGGACACGGUUCCAAAACCACACAAUCUGUUUAAAAACGUUGUAGUGUAGGGGUCACUGCGACAAUUCGGCGAACAGGAGGCGAUGUGUUGGUCUGGCAGCUCCCACAAUUUGUCGCAUGAACGAUAUCUGAAGCUGCACCGCUCGGUCCUUUAGGCAUGCCUCGAAGGGCCCCUCCGCAAGGUUACUCUCAUCACUUUGCCUCCUAUGCCUGUCCAAGACCUCUGCCAGCAUAAACGGCCUCCCCCCCGCUUGACAACCGUACAACAGUAUUGCUCUUGCCUGCGUAUCGAAACACCUCAUCCUAACGUCUGGGGCAAACAACUUUAGCUUAUCCAAUUUUGUGCUCAACGCGAACAUAGCUGCUCUAGCUGUGUCGUACAUCUGCUGACGGCAGGCCCAAAACGGCCGUUCCGGCCCAUACACUAACCCCGGAUAUCAGGCAGGAUAGUGCCAGCCAACCUAAGUUCAUCCAUCUAGAUGUAGUUGCGCUUGCACUAUUCGUGUACAUGCGUUGACGAGGUGGCCGAGUGGUCUAAGGCGCUAGAUUUAGGUCUACCAGAUAAAAUAUCUGGAAGAAAAUCUCUAGUCCGUAAGGGCGUGGGUUCAAAUCCCAUCCUCGUCAUAUUGGAUCGCAAGUCAAGAAAGCAGUCAACAUAUCACGAGAUGUGACUCUUACAUUUAUGAGCCAUCGUACAUAGGAGGAAUGCAAGUAUCAUUCUUGCAUAUUGUGAGGGGCCAAUGAAAACCGUCUGCCCUCACAACCUUUCUACACCCUCCAUGAUUGUCUUCUUUUCCUUCUCAUCUGUGUCCCUUCACUGAGGGCUCUCCAUCCCCCAUCGGGACCAGCGCCGUGAGUACGGCAGGCAGCGUCGAUGGAGAUGGCGGCAAAGGUAUCCCUACCCAUACCAUGACAAGGGUGGGGUCCCCAUGCCGCUUGCCCCCUACAACCGCCACCAUACCACCUUUACCACCACUACGCAUUUAAUUACCUACCCAGCAUCCCCAGUAGUCAGAUGCCAUGGUCCGAUACCACGGGCGCACUGCCGUACAGCAGCACCUCUGGCGAGUACAUGUCAUGUUGACUUAGGGUUUCGUUAUUCCCAGCCAGCAAGCUCUCGCGCAGGAUGAUGUCCACCACCAAGUGCUACAUGUUACAAUGUUACAAUGUUACAAUGUUACAAUGUUACAAUGUUACAAUGUUAUAAGUUCCGCUCUAUCGUUCCCUUUGGUCGUUAGUAUCCUUCAUCACUUGUUUCGUUGGAAGUGCGAGGUAGGAUGGUGCUUAUAGGCGGUCUGGCAGCCCUUGAGCCCUCGGCUCGUAUUAGGGUGGUUUGCAGGUACGGGGAACGCACCCACGACCAUGUAACAACAACAACAACAACAUCAGGCCCCGCCGCAGCUGCAGGCCCCGCCGCAGCUGCAGGCCCCGCCGCAGCUGCAGGCCCCGCCGCAGCUGCAGGCCCCGCUGCAGCUGCAGGCCCCGCUGCAGCUGCAGGCCCCGCCGCAGCUGCAGGCCCCGCCCCAGCUGCAGGCCCCGCCCCCACCACCACCCUUGCCGCUGCAGCCGCCACCAGUGGCCCCGCAACAGCCAGGCCCCACGGCGGCGGCAGCAGCUCUACAAGGGCUAGGGGCACAGGCCGGCCCCACGGUGGUGGAAGAGGAAACCACAACCCACAGGGAGCGCGACACCACACUGGCGGCACCACGGGAGCAAGAGCCACCAGCAGCCAUAGCCAAUACAGUCCCCACCUUCCAGUUCACAGCAGGUAGGAAGGAGCCAGGUGGCAGGCAACGGGCAACCGGGGGCAAAGCUAGGCAGCAGAUGUGCCCUGAGACGAACCAGGCCCCUACACCCUCUGAGGCCCCAAAGAGGAAGCGGCAGCGGCUGGAGCACCUUACUGCGGAAGAACGGGCAGAGCGAAACAAAGCCCAGACCCGCAAGGCCUUGGAGGCCCGAAAGAAAAAUGUGGAGAUACGGAGGGCACAGAGGGCAGCAGAGGAAGCCGGNNNNNNNNNNNNNNNNNNNNNNNNNNNNNNNNNNNNNNNNNNNNNNNNNNUCGACUCAACAAGGCAGCACAACAACGCCGACGACGGCCUGGCACCCGUGCCCGGGAAGCAAUUGCUGCGGUCCAGCGGGCUCAGCAAGCAGUUGAUGCGGCGCCCACAGCACNCCAGCCACUGCAGCAGCUAGUGGACGCACAAGCAGCACUGGCUAGGGCGCACCAGGAGGAUGGCAGCAUGGCAGCCAAGGAAGCACGGGCCCACUGGCUCCGGGCAGGGGAACGGACCGGCCCUGCCCUGACAGCCUUCCUUAAAGCCCAGGCGGCCGAACAGCAGCCUGCCCCAGUCGCACUCCAGGCGCACAGCGGCCGCCUAGUGACCAACCCAGCACAACUGCCGCAGGUCGUGGCAGACUACUGGGCUGAGAUCAGCCGAGCUCCUGACUUCAUCAGCCCCAGUGCCCGACAGGAGGUACUUGCCCAGCUGUCUGCGGCCAACAUCAGCCUCCCUGCAAACGCAGAUGAACAGCUUGGCUCCAAAACCAUCACAGCAGCGGAGCUACGGGUCGCACUGGUCAAGAGCCAGCCCGGCAAGGCACCAGGAUGGGACGGCAUCCCAGCCGACCUAUACCGCAAAUUCUGGUCCACCAUUGGCAACACCAUGGCGGGCCUCUUCACCGCCAUAGGCGCAACGGGGCAGGUGCCGACCGGGUUCCUGGAGGGCAUUAUCACGGUGCUCUACAAGAAGGGCGACCCCAAGCAACCCGGUAACUACCGCCCUAUCACGCUACUAUGCGCCGACUACCGCCUGCUCGCCAAGGUACUGGCCAACCGCCUGGGGCCGGCCCUGGGGCGCAUCAUCACCCCCGAGCAGUCGGCCUUCCUCCCCAAACGGCUCAUCGGGGCCAGUGUGAUGUCUGNNNNNNNNNNNNNNNNNNNNNNNNNNNNNNNNNNNNNNNNNNNNNNNNNNCGUACCGUCGUUCCUAGAAGCCAUGGAGACCUUCGCAAGGGCGUCAGGCCAGUGCCUCAAUGUGGAAAAGGUGGAGCUGUUGAGGGUCGGUGCUGAGAACCAGCAACAACAGCAGCAGCCACAACCGGCGGGUAGGCAACAGCUGCAGCAGCCACUACACCAACAGCCGCAGCAGGAGACAAUUGGUGGACUCAAAGUGGUCACCACCGCCACAGCCCUGAACUUGCCGGUAGACAACCGACCCACACCCCCGCAACCCGAAUGGCCCAAGAUGCUGGCAGGCGCCUACAAGCGGAUGCAGCGGCUCGCCCGCUUCCCACUGUCAGCCUUCGGCAGGGCCACCGCCACGUCCGCCUACGGCCUGCAGACGGUCACCUGGCACAUGGAACAUGGCGGACCCCCUCCAGACAGCACUCUGGACCACAUCGAGCGGCUGACGGCCCGCCUGGUCGACCGGCAACAGGGCCCAGAAGACCCAGGCCAGCGUCUCACAGGUGUACCCGGCAGCCUUUUAGUAGGCCAUCCAUCAACCGGGGGUUUCGGCCUGCUGCCGCUCCGACAGCACAUCCACGCUCGCCACGCAGUCUGGGCCGUGCGAUUCAUUGCACAGGCACUACCGGCGGCAGGUUGUGAAGGUAGGGGUGCGGGAGGGGAAGUAACCGGGGGAGCAGGCGGAGACGAGGAGGUGGCAGCGGCAACCAACAGUGAGGCCCGGGGCCUACACCCGUGGGUACGCACGCUGUCCACCUACCUGGAACUCACCCACCCUGCACUCCAGCCUUGGGCUCUGACAACCGCCCGGGCCACGGGACCGUGGCUCGGCAGCAGCGACCUUCCCGCAGACAUCAGCCGGAUCGUGGGGGCACUGGGUCACUUACCGCCUUUGGAGGACAUCGGCAGAACCCCUCUGGAACCCGGUGAUUGGUGCUGGGCGGCGGCGCUGUGGGGCAACCCACUGCUGCCCAAUGCUGCAAGCACCGAGGGCCCCAGCCGUCGACCAGGCCUGGAAGCAUACCACGCAGCACUCACACCAUGCAGGAAACUGCGCACGGUGGGGGACCUGGUACGGGUGUGGGAAGCGGUAAACACUAGCCAAGCCACCACCCUCCAGGGAGCAGCCUGGCAUUCGUGGGCCCGUGAGCACCUCGACCCAGCCACAGNNNNNNNNNNNNNNNNNNNNNNNNNNNNNNNNNNNNNNNNNNNNNNNNNNNAGCAGCAGCAACGGCGGGCGCAACAGGAGCCUCGCCACUGGCCCGCGCACGCGCCCGGGCGGUGGCAGACUUCUGGGCGCGUUUGCGCUCGUUCGCAAUGCUGGAGACCCCCAGACACGGCUGGGACAGGGUCGGGCCGCAGCACCCCAUCCUGGCGGUCGUGGAGGAACGGAUGCGGUGCGCAGCACCGGUGGAAAUCACGGCCUAAAUAGCCGAGAUAGAGUCGGAUCGAGGUCUUACCGGAAAGGGAGCAGGGAGAGUGAGAGUGAGGGAGGGGGUGAGAGAGCCAGGAGUAGGGAUAGGUGAGGGAGCGAGGAGAGCAGGGAGGCCCUGGGCAGUUGGAGGGCUGGGCGAGAGGGCAGUGCCCUGAGCGUGGUCUAGCAGGGGGAGUUGAGGUCCCGGGCUGUGUGUGUUUUGUAUACACGUGUGGUUGCCCUCUCCCCGGGAAUUGGGGCCCGUCGGAGUGAGGGGAAUGGGUUCUGUGCUGUCUGGCAUCAGAGUAGAGAAGACGUAGGUGGCUUGUGGGAGUGGAGAGGAGGUGGGAAAGCGGUGGAGGAGAGGGGUUUGGAGGUGGAGAACAGGUGUUGCUGGUUCCGGCCGGUCAGGGUCAGGAGGGGAGGGGUUUCGGUGUGGUAAGCGGGAGCAGGCGGCGUCUGUGAGCCGUGCCUUUUCCGGGCUUUAUUGGGGGGCGCCGUGCUGGCUUGUCAUCCCCCCCGCGGCUUUAGGUGUUUUUGCUGUGUCUCGCGCUGGGCUGCAUCCAAGAGCCCGCAACCCCCAGGAGGAGACUGACGUGCGGACCAGUUUCGCCUCGUUUGUGAGUGGACCGGCGAGGAAGUGGUGCCACCCUCGGGAAGUGUUCGUUGUUCGUUGCUCGUGGUAGUUGAACAGCUGGCNNNNNNNNNNNNNNNNNNNNNNNNNNNNNNNNNNNNNNNNNNNNNNNNNNAACGAAGGGGAAGAAGAAGGGGGUUCCCCUAAAGGGGAAGAACACACCCCAAAGUCUCUUCUUCGUUUUCUUCGUCUUCUUUAGUUCCCCUAAAGGGGAUGAACCAAAGUCUCUUCUUCUUCCCCUUUAGGGGACUCCGUCUUCUUUAGUUCCCCUAAAGGGGUGAAAACGAAGGGGAAGAAGAAGGGGGUUCCCCUAAAGGGGAAGAACACACCUUUAGUUCUUCCCCUAAAGGGGAACUUUAGGGGAUGUUCNCCUUCGGGGAUGAACUAAAGGGGAUGGGGAACAAAAAGGGGAUAACCAAAGGGGAUGACUUGGUACAAGGAAAGGGUCACGCUAAAAGAUUUGGUAAAACUUGUGGACUGUUUUGGCUCCCCGAAGCUAUUCCCCUUCCCUUCGGCAUCAUCCCCUAAAGGGGAACUAAAGUUCUUCCCCUAAAGGGGAAGAACUUUAGUGCUCUUCUUCUUCCCCUAAAGGGGAACUAAAGUUCCCCUUUAGGGGAUGAACUAAAGGGGAAGAAGGGGUGUGUUCCCCUUCGGGGAGACGAAGAAGAGACUUUGGUUCCCCUUUAGGGGACGAAGACUUUGGGGACGAUGACUUUGGUUCAUCCCCUAAAGGGGAACUAAAGAAGACAACCCUAAAGAAGACAACUCUAAAGGGGACAACCCUUUAGGAGAUAUCAUCCCCUAAAGGGGAAGAACAAGAAGGGGAAAUCAUCCCCCUCUGGGGUUGUCUUCUUUAGUUCCCCUUUAGGGGAU
RNAcentral lists this long non-coding RNA (94761 nucleotides) under Volvox carteri. RNAcentral's name for it is "long non-coding RNA (VCAR_LNC002243)". The stretch from base 89393 to 89501 matches the Rfam family "tRNA". Lineage: Eukaryota; Viridiplantae; Chlorophyta; Chlorophyceae; Chlamydomonadales; Volvocaceae. The record is from RNAcentral.